RNAcentral lists this long non-coding RNA (91942 nucleotides) under Vigna radiata. Its description in RNAcentral is "long non-coding RNA (VRAD_LNC009305)". Lineage: Eukaryota; Viridiplantae; Streptophyta; Magnoliopsida; Fabales; Fabaceae. The record is from RNAcentral.
UGUUAAAAUACACCAAAUUCAUAAAUAAAAGUAAAAUAGCAGAAACAAACCCUAUCAUAGAAAACAAUUUAAACAUCUUUUUAUGAAAGACAAAACGCGGAAACUUUGCUUCCAUUUUUCUCUUUCGUGCAUCACCAAGCCAGACGCCCUUCUUUCCAUCGCUUUCUUUAUUUGUCCCACAUAUUCUUCACAUCCUACAAAAACAUCACAACACAUGCACAUAUUAUAUAUACUGUGUCUGUCAAUGUCAUAAAGGGGUUCGUGGUCCCUAUAAGACCGAACCAGAAAAAUCAUUUUCCGUAUCAAGUUAAAAACGGUUCGUAUUCAAUUUGUUUUGGAACAAGUAUACGUGUAAAAGAAUGGAACUAUUUAUGAAAAAAUAUAAUAACAUAGAAUGUACGUAGGAAUGAAGAAGGUUACCAUAGAACUAUCCUAGUUGACCACCGUCUAAGAGUGGUAAGGAGGGGGAGGCGAUGCGUAGAUGUAGUGCGGGGGUGGUGGAGGAGGGGACUUGUACUUGUAGGGCUUCUUGUAAGGGGGUGGUGGCGGAGAGUGAUAGAUUGGGUGGGGAAUGUAAGGAGGAUGAGGGUGAGGAAGAGGGUGCGGGUGGGGCAAAGGAUGGGGGUGAGGAAGAGGGUGUGGGUGUGGGUGGGGAAGAGGGUGGGGGUGUGGGUGUGGAAGAGGGUGUGGGUGGGGGUAUGGGUGGACAGGAGGUGGAGGCGACAGGUACUUGUAAGGCUUCUUAGGGGGUGGAGGAGGAGAGGGGUACACGUAGGGAGGGUGUGGGUGUGGAUGGGGGUGGGGCUGAGGGUGUGGGUGUGGGUGUGGAUGCGGGUGAGGGUAAGGGUGGACUGGUGGUGGUGGAGAUGGGUACUUGUAGGGAGGGUGAGGGUGAGGGUGAGGGUGGGGGUGUGGGUGGGGAUGGGGGUGAGGAUGGGGAUAAGGGUGCACUGGAGGUGGGGGAGAUGGGUAUUUGUAGGGCUUCUUGGGAGGAGGAGGUGGUGAGUGGUAGUAGUAAGGCUUCUUCGGAGGAGGUGGCGGUGGAGAGUGGUAGUAGUAUGGUUUCUUCUUCGGUGGAGGUGGGGGUGGUGAGUGGUAGUAAUAUGGUUUGGGUGGAGGUGGUGAAGGUGGCGGGGGAGAAUGGUAGUAGUAAGGCUUAGGUGGAGGUGGUGAGGGUGGUGGGGGAGAAUGGUAGUAGUACGGCUUAGGUGGAGGAGGUGAAGGUGGUGGGGGAGAGUGAUAGUAGUAUGGCUUCUUCUUGGGUGGGGGUGGUGGUGGUGAGUGAUAGUAGUACGGCUUAGGUGGAGGUGGUGAAGGAGGUGGUGGUGAGUGAUAAUAGUAUGGCUUAGGUGGAGGUGGUGAAGGAGGUGGUGGUGAGUGAUAGUAGUAUGGCUUAGGUGGAGGUGGUGAAGGUGGUGGUGGAGAGUGGUAGUAGUAUGGCUUCUUUUUGGGUGGUGGUGGUGGUGGUGAGUGGUAGUAGUAUGGCUUAGGUGGAGGUGGGGAAGGUGGUGGAGGAGAAUGGUAGUAAUAUGGCUUGGGUGGAGGAGGUGAAGGUGGUGGUGGAGAGUGGUAGUAGUAUGGUUUUUUUGGUGGAGGUGGUGAAGGAGGAGGAGGAGAGUGAUAAUAAUAGGGUUUCUUAGGUGGUGGAGGUGAUGAGUACAAGUAGUUAUCAGCUGAGAUUUGAGAAGGGAAGGUUAAAGACAGUAAUGAGAAUAGCAGAGUAAGUGUGGCGGAGGAGGCCAUUAGAGACCCCAUUGUUUUUCCCCUCAACCUCACUACAACGUGGGGUUUUGUUAUGCUUUUUCUCAACCAAAGAGCCACCCUUUAUAUAGAAUCUUUCUUUACCCCAACUAAUCUUUUUGGUAAAUUUCUUCUCAUGCAUGCGCAUUCCAAUCAUCUCUUCUCCUUUCUAAUAAAACAUAUAAAUUCCCAUAUAUAUUGACGUUGGCAAACAGAAAAAAGGCUUAAAUUAUGAAAAUGAUAUUUGUCCUUUUUGGGCAGUAAAUAUAAAUAGAUGAAGGGGAAUGUAAAAUGAUUUUGAAAUACUGAAACAUUAACUGGUUGGUUGUUUGAAAAGUAAAUGGAUGGCAUUGGAGACUUAAAAAAGUGUGGGACUGUAUGGUCCGUAGCAGCCUCAAUGAUUUUGAAGGAGUGUCUCUCUUUUUCUCUCUCUAAUCAAUUCAUAGAGGCUGCUUCUGUACACACUUUAGAGUGUGCACCACACCACGGCUUGCACAUGUUGCAUGCCAUUCUACAGUUCCUUUUUCGAUAAUACAAAAUUCCUUUUACUUUUUCCAUCUUUUAUUUCUUACCCUACUCUGCCCAUUUAAAUGCCACCCAAAUUCAUGUCUCCAUCUCUUUAAUUGCUAAUUUUACUUUUCUUCUCAAUUUUUUAAACAAACAACUGUGAUUUAUAAUUAACUUUUUGGUUGAAAAAAAGUGUAAAGGUCCCAACAAAGGUGGCUUCUUCUCCUUAAUGGGAUACUCUGACGUUAAUUGAGUUAAUGAAAACAUUAAUAGUGAAUGGUUGGUGUAACCCAAAUUACGUACAACGUUGGUUAUGAAUAAAGGUUCAUUCGGUGUAAUAUUGUAAGUAGUUUUAGUAUGACUAUAUAGUUAAAAUAAAAAUUUAAUCGAAGCUAAAAUGGAAAACACUCAUUCCCAUUUGUAUCUAAAUUUAGUUAUGAAUGAGUUAAACAUUGUUUAAUCUGGCCAAGAGAUUUUUUGGUUAACGGAAUUUAAAUAAAUUAUCGAAAAUGGGAAGAGUUAAACAAAGGGAAAGGAAGAAAAGUAGAGAUAGUAUAACCUACAAAUUUCAUGCUCUUAUUUUAGUAACUUUCUAUACAAGUUACCAUUUGUCACAUGUUCGAAAGGGUUGGUAAGUUUCUAACUUGUGUUUCAACGUCUCCUAAAAUAGUAAGAUCCAUUCAUAGCUACAUAGAUAGGUAUCUUAUACCUAAGUAUCAUUACAUCACUACUUAUGUAUGCAUAACCUAAAAUAUAAAAGAGACAGAUAUUGGUACACUAUAUUUUUAAAAUUAUUAUUGACUAAAGAUUUAGCAGUACAUAUAUAAAAGCAACCGCAGACAGAAGAGAAACUAGACAAGUUUUAUUCAUAAGAGUUAAAGAAUUUAUAAUUCACCGUCACUGUGUAUUAUCAUAUGAAAUCGAUUAAUAAAUAAAAUAAGAAAAGCAUAAUAAUAUGUAUGAUAGAAAAGGAAGGGUGAAGAAAAUAUUUAGCUAUCAGAUCCAGACUGGCCAUGUAUAUUUGACCAUUCAUGAUCUCAUAGAUGUCACAUUCCCAUUGACUGAAUGUAUUUUUCCAUAUGUAUGAAUGCGACAUGCACAGAUAGCACUGUGUCUCAGCAACAUCUCAUUGAUAUUUAACUUGUAAUAUAUUUCACACACAUUGUUUUUCUUUGUGACAAUGAGCAACAGUUUAAAGUUAUAGUAAGUUUGAUUUCGUGCAAUUUUUAGUGCAAAAAAUAUCAGAGAUAGUAGAACAAGAAAACAGGCAAACACCAGCUACUUCACUACUGUCUUGCGGUAAAAUUCCUUUACUUGAUCAUCAAGUGAAAGUGACUGCACAACGCAUAUUUUUUAAAUUAUUUUCAUUUUGAAACGAGAUUCUUCGUGUGAAAAGACAAAAUGAGAAUCUACUAUACAUGUUUAUUUUAAUACGUGCGAAAAAAAAAAUUAUUUCAAACAAUUAAAUACAUUAGGGGAUAGUGAUUUCUUAUCAAUUCAAGUAAUUCUUUUUUCUAAUAGCUCCAAACACAGUUUUAAAAUGUAAAACAUAAUUUAAAAAGAUUCCAGAGAAGAUUUUUUUUAUCAGCUAAAAAACAUAUAUAGUUAAGCAGAACUAUUUACUAAAGAAUUUUGGUUGAAAAUUUCACUGAACAAUGUACUAAGCAGAAGUAAUUAACAAUUAAAACGUGUUGUUAAAAUUAAAAUACAAAAGAAUUAUUAUUAUUUUUUUGGUAUCCUACGUAGCAAAGCCUGAAAGGAUUAGAGAGAUCUACCUAGUUUGGUAAAAGUUUGAAGGAUAUGUACAUGAAAUGAUGAUUGGGUGAUUUGGGGGAGGACUUUAGAGAGUGUAUUCAAGAAAGUUGGUCCAUUAUAGUCUAUAGUGGCAACAUGCAUGCAUAUACAUGAUGAAGAUGAAAAAGUAUAAAUAAUAUUUAUAGGGUAAAUGAUUGAUUAUUUUAAUAAUAAUAAGUAAUGGAAAAAUAGAAUAAAAAAAUUGGUAGGGUUGGGGAAACUUGAUUGGGGGUGUCUGGGAAGAUGGAAGUAUAGUCCAGUUUGAAUAACCUUUUUACAGCUAAAUUGUAACGUGUGGACACCAUGCAUGCAGCUCAAAUUCUGAUACAAUCAUAAAAAAAUAUUACAUCACAUGCUCACUUCAAAGGUAAACCCCUUUUUAUAUUUAACAAAUUCAAUUUAUCAUUUCACUAAACAAUUAUUCCCAACUUGUAAUCAAAAUUAAAUCCGAAUCUUCAAGUCUAUGUAUAUUUAAAUUUUUAUUUUUAUCGUGUUAACAAUAAAAGGAUUAUUUUUACAAGUAGAUUUCAUGUAUAUUUGCGAAUAUUCUGAAUAAUAAUGCGCAAGAACUUGUUAUUAAUUUAUGGAUUAUAUAUGUAUGGCAUGUGGGUUCAUAUAGACAGCCAAUAUUUACUUUAUAUAUCACAAACUUUAUACAUUAUGAGAUAAGACAUAUUUGUCCCUGUAUUAUGUACUAUUUUAAUAUUUUAAACUAAUGGUUUAGAAUUUGAAAAACCAAAAGUGUUCCUUGUAAUUUUGUACUCUUUAAUUAGGUGGACAGCAUUUCAUUAAUCACCUUUUGCAUGCAAUUUUUUCCUUUAUUUACAUCAUGGGUAGACAAUCAGGUUUUAGUAAAUAAUUCUACAAUCUUUAAAGAAAUAGAAAAAAAAAUAUAUUUACAUUUUAAAUUCUAAAACUAUAAGUAAAAAUGUAAUGCGACAUAAAUACUAGGGUUUUGUAAUUACAUAAAGAAUUUCAGUUUGUCUUCAUUUAGAUUCCACUCCUCUCUUUUAAUUAUGUCUAUUUUUAAAAAUAAAAGACUGGUAUGAUAUUAAUUUAAAAUUUAGAUUUCAAACAACGUAAAAUGAAAUAUUUCAAGCACAAUUUUUUACAUAUACUUUUUACAAAUAAAUACAUCUAUCCUGAGUUAGAAAUGUUGUUAAACUUUCUUACUCAAGCAUUACAAUUAAUCUUUCUUACUCAAGCAUUGCAAUUACUAACCCCAACAGGAAAUGUCAAAUUUAAUAUAUAUAAAAGCUAAUGAGAUGUAUAUUAAUGAUUAAAGCAAGAGAUUUUGAUUUGCCAUGAUAUCUAAAAGAAAAAAAAAAAGACUAGGAUGAAAGUAUGAGCAUUCAAAGUACUAAAAUAAUAUUAAACAAUGUGAACAAAACAAAUAUGCAUUAUUAUAUCACUAUUUAGCACUUGACUAAAAUAAUACAUUAUAAAUGGAGUGUGACAAAUUUUGAUGCAUUCAUUGAACACCGUUGGAUGAGAGCUGCCUCAUUAAAUUAAUUGUGGCUAUUGGAUUAAUUUAAGGAUGCAAAGAGUGAGUUGAAAAAUCAAACACACUAGAUCAAAGUGCACCAAAUUAAAAUCCUUAUUUAACUGUAUUCAUGUGGAAGCAAGAAAAAAAUAAACAAUUCAAUAGACAAAAAGAUAAUGUGUUGCCUUCAACUUUUUUAAGAAAAACGAAAUGACAAUAAUAUCAUCUUUUUUAAGUUACCGACACAAAAAGAUUACCAUGAGAUGGAGUUCACAUCUUGAACAUGGACCAUCAGGAUCAUGGUGAUGGAGUGGAUCAGACGGCUAGUGUUUCACAUGUAGAGAGAUCAAAAUGUCCAUUAUUCACUGCAAGAUAGGUACAUAAUCGUGUAUAUAAAAAUCCAUAAACAAAAGUCAAAGUAGGUUCACAUCAUGGUGUUGUUAUUCUGGUCCCUAGUGUAUGGUAUCUUCCUAGCUUCUCUACUUUGAAGAGUCACCACACUUCAAAACAAAACAAAACCCAAAACUAUUGAUAGAAAAAUCAAAGGUGACAGAUAUUAUUAACAAGCUGUAUUACACUUAAGUUAAUUAGUAAGUCUCUUAAUUAAUUAAAUUGUUAGAUAUUCAAGACCAUUAAAAAAAAUAAUAAAGAUAUCAUUAUCUUGUUGGAAUAAUUCUCAUUCUGUAAAUCCCCUUAUACGUGAUGAAGCCAUGAAGGCAUGACAUUGGUGAUGUGGACCACAUUUUCAGUAUAAGAAUUAAAUCUCUUUCUGAUUUUCCUCAUUGUAAAGAAUCCAAAGACCUUUGUCAUAAGAUUCCACUGCUUUGUUAGCUUUGACAACUACAAUUUCAAUGCAUGGCUACUUUUGUACAACUUUCUUCAAUUCAUCCUUAAUCUCCGUAACUACUUAAUUUUGCAAAUAAACCUUACUAAGUACAUUAUAUUAAUACUAAACCAUGCCAUAUGAGUGCAUUACAUUAAUUAAUACCAAGUCAUUGACAGAUCAACAAUAACUGCCACAAAAGCCUAGUCACCAGACGUGUAGUUUUGCAUAUAUGAAGUUAAUGAAAGAUAUGUAUAAUUACAAAGGAAAAAGUCUUUUUAACAACUCUUUUUUAACAACUUUUACGUGGCAGUCUAUGAUUGGUCCGUUUCAAAUAUUUUUUUAAACAUAAAUUUAAACAUACCAAUAAAAUGAUGACACGUGUCCUGUUAUCAAAAAAUUGUUAAAAAAGAGUUGUCAAAAUAUCAUUGUCCAGUUGCUAAAGUAAAGGAAACAAAAGUAAUGGAGCUUUGGGUGCAAUCAUGUGCAUGUUGUAUACUUAAGCAUCUUACCUUGUUAUCAUUACUCUGACCCAAAAUCAAUCAAUUUGCUUUCUAUAAAAAACAAGCAUCUUACCUUUUAAUGAAAUAUUAAAUACCCAUGAUAUUAAAAGCAUGUAAAUAAUUUGUAACACUUUCAAAGGUUCAAACAUUGAACUUUUAGGACAUCCUAUUUGAGGUUCUAACAUUGUUUUCUUAUGUGUGAGAUCCAUUGCAUUGUAUUGUCAUCUCUAUAUUUCAAAAGCCUGACAAUUUUUACUGUUUAUAUCAGUUCCAUGAAAAACAGUGAUUAUGUUCAUUCAGAAUUGCAUUUAAUUGGGAAGAUAAGAAAGAGUGGUAGAAGAAGUGAAGAAGACCCCACUGUAAUUGCCUCAGGCAAAGCAGAGAGAUUGAUCAGGAAUGAUGAUUUUUCUUUGUUUUUUUAUUGAUUACUUGCAGAGAGAGAGCGCCUAACAUUAUACUUAUUCUAGAGAAAUGAAGAAGAAAAGUCAGCUACCUACUACACAAAUGAUGCCAAAGAAUGAUAGAGAUUGAGUGAACCAACACUACCUACUUUUAUUAACUAUAAAAAUCAAAACUUUUAAUUAGUUCUUUUCAGUACCACUACUAUUAUUUUCUCUUUAAUUAACAAAUUAUUCAAGCUGCACAAAAUACUCUAAAAUCUAACCAAAAGUUUUAUGAUGUUUAAAAAUAACUCAGAAACUAAAGUAAAAUAUAAUUUAUGAAGUAAAUUUGGCAUGCUUUAAAUAGUAAACUAGCUUCAUAUUGGAACACAUCAUUCAAUCAAAUUUCAACUUUCAAAAGCUGAUGGUUUAUCGGGUAACUUUGCGUGAAACUUGUUAAGAAAACAAAAACAAUGACAGCAAAAUGACGUGAAUAACCUGUUUAUUUUCUGACAGGAGCAGUAAUUGCUUUUACUUUUAAAAUAUUCAUUUUUUUAACUUUUCUUAUAUGUACGUAGAUGAAAGGAAAGAGGUGGACCCCACCUGCCGACACAUACAAUACUGUUUAAGGGAAUGAAGACUUAUAGGUCAAAGUGAAGUUACCUAAACAGAUUAAAGUUUUUGGUAAAUUAGAUCAUUUUUACUUUAUAUUUAUAUAAUUUAUUUAGAAUUUUCAUAUUAUUUAUAUUUUCAUAAAGUCAAGUAAAUGAUCAAAUUUACUUUGUGAAGUUAACUUUUCAAAAUUAUUCUUGUUUGUUUAGUCUUCUUGAACUCUUUACUUCUGUCAUUAAUAAUGUGAUGUUUUAUUAUCUUGAAGAUAUAUUUUCAUUUACACUAUUAUUAAGAACAAGAAAAAAAAUUCUUGUGAUUUGUAUCUAUUUGACGUAUCAGACCAGAGAGAUCAACCUAAAAGAAUUUAUUAAGAAAAAAUUAUAAUUUAGUCAAUUUUAAUUUAUACUUGUACCAAAAGAGGCAUGUGAACCUCAUGCCUACUAGUAUUAGCUAUGUUUGGAUGUAACUGUUAUUAUAUAAUUCCUCCUUAAUCAUUUUGGAAUAACUUGAUUAGUUAUAUUUUUCUAGUUGAGAAUUUCUCAACAUAUUGCAAUUACCUAGGGUUAAUUAAUUAUUAUAAUUAUGGAUUGAUAUAGAACCAAUAACGGUAAUGAUAUGAAUAAGAAAGGGUCAUUGGGUCCUAGUUAGAGGCAACCAGACCCAUCAGACUAAGGGUACAUGAUUUUGGAAGGGAUUUUUAUAAAGUCAGAUUCUUCAAUUGCUAAUUUUUCACCCUCUCUCUAAAAACCCUUAUCCUAAAUAUUGCUCUGUCUUAUCUCUAAAAUACCACUCUGUUGAAUCGUCCAAUCUUUGGUAAAGAAGGUACAUAAACACUCCUAAUGUAGAGGGUUUCAUUCUGAACCGAUUACUUUCUCCGUCUCCUUCCGGUAAAUGGUUCUCCUGUUUCUUCCGUUAUUUUCGAAACCUAGGGCUUGGGUUUUACUGAUCUCAUGCAGUUAGAACCUUCCCUUCUUUGAUUUCUAUUAUAUUCUAGCUUUAAGAGUUGUUUUCCAUCGUCUCUUUGAGAGCCUUUCUUUGUUGGUAGGAUAGAGAAACCUUAAAAACCUGAGUUGGCACAUCCCUGAUCAUAGAGCAGCCCUGGCCUGAUCCAGUUAGUUGUGACUAGUCAUAUGUGCUGGCACCAAAGGUGAGUCUGAUGCGUUCAGAAAUCUAGGUCCUCUCCGGUGACCAAUUGGGGUAUAAGGAGGGUUGGGGGAAGGUAAGAUCUCCACUCUAAUAACAAUUAGAUAAACAGUUUAAUAAUUGGGAAACAUUUUAGGUUGGUUAAGGGGAAGUAAGGAGAGCUAACUCUAUUUUGUUUUGUUUGGUGUGUUUGAUGUGUGAUUUACUAACUAAACCGAGCUGAAUAAUGUUUAAAAAUCAUAAUUUACAGUAUUCAUAAUUUAUGUACAUUUGCUAUUAGAUAUGAAAGAAAAAUUGGUUCCAAAAGAAAUGCCUUUUUCUUUCUUUAGAAACAUUUGUAUAUGAUUGUAUCUAUAUUCUAUUGUUACAAACGUUUCUUUUUAUUUACAAAUUUAGACAAUCACAACUAAAUUUUAAAAUUGUCCUGAAGAGUCUCAAUAGUUCUUCCUUAAUUUUUGCCAUGUCUUUAAAUGUAUGUUAUUAUAAAUUUAAAUUAUGUUAAUGUUUUAUAUGCAUAUUAUAUUUUGAAUUUCAUAUUUAUUAGGACAUUUCAGAUUUAAUAAUAAUAAUAAUAUAUUUUGGAAUAAGUGAUAAUAAAUUGAAUAAUUAUAUUGGUAAUGAGUAUUGUGUUAUAAGUCUUGUGUUGGAUAAGUAAUACAUCUUGUGGAGAUUAUGUAUAUGUUGAUUGUGGCAAAAAUAUAUGAUUACAAAGUGUAAAAGUACGAUUAAAGUGGUAAACCAAGUUUCAUCUAUGUAGAAUCUCUUGGUGAGAUUCUUAGUGUUUUAGAAUGAAAGUAGGAGUUCAGUCUUGUGGGUCUUCUUGACGCUCCAAUGGCCUUUCUUCUCAUGUAGAGAGGAUUAGACUGUGUGGUGAGGAGUAGCAGGAGGUCUUAGUCUUGGAGGCUUCCAUCAUGCUCCAGAGCGCGGAACAGUCUAACCUCGUGAGUGUGGCAGGGCGGGAGAGCCCAAGGCGGUAGAGCCUAAGUAUCACAAGCCACCACGGGUGCAUGACCCACCAUAGCUCGACUAUCAUUCUAAAGUCCGGACGAGUCAAGUCUAGUAUUUAACAUGAUAGGAUGAAUGUUUUAUCUUGUUUGCUUUAAAUCAAUAUCUUGUAUGUACAUACUCUUAAUUGUAUGCUUUUUAUAUAAUUAGCUCACCCUUGCAAUUGCUUGUGUUUGUGCCAUGUUUGCGUUUGUUUCCCUUGCGAUAAUCAUCCACUUGUAUGGGAGCAGAUGGCGAGGAGAUACUUUGGAAACAACUCUUGAUGGAAAGGAAAUGUUGCUGCCUAGUUCUCUAGGUUUUAAUUAGAAAUUUUGUCAUGUUCUAAGUUUUAAAUUCUCUGUAUUUUAAGGGAGAAACUCUAGUAUUCCAAGUUUAUGUAUUAUAUUGUUUAAGGAUGACUGUAAUCUUAUUACUCUUAACUGCUUUCUAGUAUUAUUCAUGGUGACUCCUUUAUUAUAUUAUAUAUCUUUAUAAUAUAUAUAAUUGGGAUGUCACAAUAACUAUAUUUUGUUAAAAUUAAAUAAUAAUAAUAAACAAUCAAAUUAUUUAUUUUUUAAUAUAUUUUAAAAAAAUAUAUAUUACUUUAGUUUUAAUUUGUAUAAAAAUAUAUUAAUCAUUUAAAACUAAUUAAUAAUUUUUUAGUAUAUAAUUUGUAUUAUAUAACCUUCCCUCUAACCGUGAAUUAAAAGAAAUAUGAUUAAUUAAAAGAUAUUGAAUAGUAUAAUAUUUGGUGUAAAUAAGUGAAAAUAAAAGAAAACUUUAUCUUAUUUUAUUUUUCUUCAACCAAAUAAUUUAAUAAUUUAUUUUUUACUUUUUAUUUUCUUUGAUGCAUUUCUAAAACUAAUUCACAUGCGAUCGUAAUAUAACUUAAAGUUUAUAAUCUGCUGAUUGUUUACAAGUCAGUUAAAAUAAAUCAUGAGUUAUUAGCCAUCGUUUAAGUUAAAAGUGCACUGAUUUAUAUAUUUUAGACGUAGAAAUCAAAAGAGACAAAACAUAAUUUAUAUACUUAACGACCCAAUACGAUCCAAAAAAAGUGGUAAGAAAAAAAGUUUAAGUUAUGUUUAUAUUGUUGCAAUAUCAAAAAAUGAAGUAUUUGUUAUAAAUCCAUAAAAAACGUAAUAUAUGUAAAAUGUUCUUAUACAUACACCAAAUAUAUCUCAUUCCUAGUAAUAAAUUACUAUUGCAAUAACUCUUAAAUAAGAUAUGAGUGAAAAGAAAACAAUAAAUUAAAAUAAAUAAUGUGACAAUUUAUACCAGUAUAUAUUAUUCUUAACCAAUUCAAUAAUUAACACCAAAUGCUAAUUUAACAAAAUUAACGGGUGAAUUAAAAACUCUUACUAUUUAAAUCAUUAUAGUAAAAAAAACUGUAAUUAAAAAUAUUUUAUAUUCCAUUGUCUUGCAUAAAAUUUAGUGCUAUAUACACCUUUAAAAAUGACAAAUCCAGAAUAAUUUAGUUAUAUUAUUAUUGUUAUAAAAAUCUUACAAUAUUAGUGGGAGCAAUCGGAACGAAAACAUGUGAAAUAAUAAAUAAACCUAUAAAAAUCACAUCAUAGAAUGCAAAACUAUAUCAUAUGGGAAUUUCUUGUACAAAAUUUACAGAAUGAAUAAUUUUUAGCACCACGUGUGCAUAUAUAACAGAUCAUAUGCUAGCACAAAACAAACUAUACGGCUAAUUAUCUACAAAUUCAUAGCCACGGUUUCUUUUGCCUUUAUGUAGUUGUAUCAAAGGAUUUCUUUUAAGUAAAUAACCCUUCAGAAAAAUAGUUUCAUAAAAAAAAAGUCAUUAAUAAUAGCAUAAUGGUACUUUUUAUUUAUAAAAGUAUUUUAAGCACACUACAAUUCAAACUUUAUAAAUCAUAAAUUUGGAGGAGUUGUUUCUACAUUACAUACUACUAUUUAAGAUAAGCUUUCUUUAGUUUUUCAUAAAUAUCUUAAAAGACAUAUCAAUAACGAUUUCUAAUUGAGUGAUAAUAUAGAUAACUUUAUUUAACACAAUAUAAUUAAACUCUUGCUACAUCUACCUAUUCGAUGAAAGGUGAAGGCUGUAGAAGUGGAAACACAAUUUCAAGAUAAUCCAAGUAGCUAUCACAUUCCCAGUCUUCUGAAUUAGAGCCUUGGCCCCAUAACCCUGAAGCUAAUAACAGUUCUCACAAACACGACCAACAUAGCAAGAUAAUAUUAAAAAUAAAAACCUUUAUUUGAGCAAAAAAAAUAAAAAACGCUAAUCAGGUUCAAACUAAAAUUAUCAAUAUUUAUACAACACAGUAAAUUGACUAGGCCCAUCCCAAAAAUCUCCAUGUUAGAUUUGCUCAAAAUGCAAUUGUAAUUUGAUCUCAGCCAGUUAAAAUACUAUGUGCACCUAGGGAGCUCAAUUAAUUAGGAUUGUAGCCAGGAGGGAGAGACUAAAUAUGCAGGUGAACAUCAACUCUGAACAUUCUCACCUCAGAACAGUAGUAUGGGAUAAAGAAAAGUAGGACAUUAUGACCAGCAUAAAACCUGGGUGAACUAAUUCAUCACCUCUUGCCACGAGGUCCAGGUCCGGAUCUGGGACCGGGAAACCGAGAAAACUGAAGCCGCAAGUGGCUAGACUCAGGAUUGAGUUCAUCAACUUUAUAACCUGUGUCAUCACACCACAAUGUCAGCAAACACUGAAAUUUGGGUACAUAAUUAUUUGAAAAAAAUCAUUGACUACUGAGUUCAAAUCCUACAAUACUGACUCACUGAGAUCACAAGGAACAACGCCACUAGCUUGAAGACAUAACUUAAUCUCAGAUCAAGUUUCUACUAUAAUUUUUAUUUACCAUUAGAUUCUCCUUUCCAAUAAUGACCAACUUCCAUAAAUUGUGUGGAGGAAUUUUUUAAUAGUUCAACUUGUCACCAUUUUAAUUGGAGAACUUAAUGACAAUGAUGUAAGAAACGUUAUUAAAAUUUUGUACACAAGUAUGCUGACCACUUGAACAGCAGCUGACUAUGUGGCAGAACAUUGGGACUUUACGUAUCAUAAAAAAAAAAAAAAUAUCUUCAUGUUAAAAUUAGACACACGAGAUGGGUGAUUGCAUUUUCCAAAGUGAUGAUAACAACAUGAAAACAAAUAUUAAUAGUAUCUCCGUAUGUGUUCAUUUUAUGUACUUUGGGAAUGAAAGAGGAUAACAAAUGGGAACAAGGAAGUUGGAAAUCAUUUAUAACGUGUUCACCACUUCAGUUCUAUGAAGUAACCAGUUUGAAUAAACCACUAAGUCACAGAUAACUUUCAUAAAGAUAUUCAAUUUAACAGUGUUUACCAAUUUCCCAUUUUAAAUGCUCAGUUAAAUACAAUAUACAGUAAUAUCAUAAUUAGAUAAGCACAUCAUACUCUAACACUUGUUCAUAUGGAAUUUUAUUGAUAAAUUUAGUGCAACUUUAAAAUGUUUUACCCCGUUACAAUUCAAAAUUUUAUAACAAAACAUUAAGUUUAUUUGGUUACAUUUUCAAAUGUGACUUAUUGCACUCUUUACGCUAUUUUCAGAAGCUCACGGUUACAACUUCAAAUUCUAAAUGUCAUUCCUCCCUUUUCAACGAGUUCCCAAACACUGACAGAAUUCAGGAACAUAAUAGCCACAUAUUGGUUCAGAAGGCCAAAAUACAAGGUAAUUCUACAAUUUUCACAACCUCCAUCAAGUCCCCUUUUAUGAGGAGAUGAUUUCCUAUACGAUGACUCGACAAUCAAACAUGAAAUUAAUUUCAUUUUAUCUCAGCAGGUAACAAGAAGUGAUACCUUGCAGUGCACUCAGAGCAGUUGCUGCACAAGCCGGAUUUGCAAAAUCCACAAAACAAAGGAUUAGAGGAUCUCCUCCACGCUGCAAGAAGCAUGCAUUUCAGCAUAAAGGAUAUGAUAUUUCAUUCAAUCAGCAGAACAACGAGAUACAAAAUAAUAGAUGGCAAACAGACAACUUACGUGUUUCGAUUCUUUGCUCACAAGUCUUACUUCUCUAUAUCCAACAAAAGGGCGAAAAAUAUCUUAAAAUGGCGUUAAGGAAUUUGAAAAGCUAUAAUAGAAAAAGGAAGCUUACAAGACAGUUGACAGUAUGAUAAUACAAUUACUAAACAUUAUGGGAGGGAAAAAGGAUACGAGCCACUUCCCUUCUCGUGCUAUCAGAUGGGAGACCUUCAACAUAUAAAGUACUGGAUGCAUCUGGCGGUAGAGGUACAGUCUCUGGUCCAGGCAUGGAAGCUGUGUCUACUGGUAACUGACCACCAUAAUUGACAUUCCGUCCAUUUCGUGCAAGAUCAUGACCACCACCAGGAUGCCCCAUAACACCAGGAUCAGUUAGCGAAUGGCCUGGCAAUCCACCAACACCCCUUGCCAAUCCAACACCACCAAUUGCACUGGCUUCCCCAGAAUUAAACGAAGUAAGCUGCUUUUAUCAACCAAAAAGAAGUUUUAAUCAAACAAGCUGUGAAAGCACAUCAUCACAUAUUAUGUAAAAAGAACAGGCUAAUAUACCCCUGCACUUUGAAGGUAGCGGUCAUAUGCAGAUCCAAGUGUUUUAGUGUCCUUUAGCAUUCGGUGACCAGUAUGGUCAUCAUUUCGAGCAAUAUAAUUAUGCAUCUCAUUGCCUCCCGAAGUCAGACCAGAAGGUGACAUAUCUGCAAUGUAAAAGAAUCUAGCCUUUAUAACUCUAGUAAAACAAACAGAAGCUGAAUACACUGAAUUAGAGAAGUUUUGAUCAUAUGCAAUGUUGUAUACCAUAGCCAUCCCUCCAAUGCUAACCACUAACAGUACAAAAAACAUCUAGUAGCAAAUAUGCCAGAUGCUGGCAAAACACAGGUAACUAAACAGCACAUGACCCAUAUUUAGUGCUCAUAAUAAUACAAAGAGUAGAGUGCACACACAAACAUGUUUUUUUGUCACCUAUCGAACUAGCAGUAAUCAGAUCCUUACACACCAAGUAGCAUAAAAAGUCAACCAUAGUUACUUGACUAGUUGUAUUAGCUUAACCACUCAAACUAUAGUUCCAGGAGACUGCUAACACACUAAUACUUUCACAACUCUAAGCAGUUAACUGGCAUGUACUAUCCACCAUGUUUGGUCUUCUUCCUUGUAAGAGAAGUCAAUUCAUUUAGUUAAUAUUCUCUUUCAUUGUCUCUCCAUCUCUAUAGCGCUCACUACUAACUUUUGUCACGGGAUUGAGAGCUUUUCUUGGAUCUAUUUCCAUACCAUGGCUUUACCACUUAACCCAUUCCAGUCUUCAGAUCGAACAACAUCACUUGGUGGAUCAUCUACUCAACCCACUCUCCUGCUCAUGUCUCAUUCUCACACCCAAUUUCAACAUAACUUGAUGAAAGAAAUUUCCUACGUAGGCAACAGUAAGCACAGGCUAAGUAUUAUUAUGACCAUAAAAUUCCCAUACAAGUUAGGGAAGUUGUGCUUUCUGACAUGAAAGUUAGUUUUGUUUGAAGUAAGAUUGGAAGGAUCAAAUGCACUAUUCCAUGGCUACUUCACCAAAAGAAUAUCUUCUGACCAGAAAGUCAAUGGAUGCAAACAUUCCUAGCAGAUCUGAAAAUUUUCAGAAAUUACAUUUAUUUGCACUUGUGCUAAGGUGUGUCAAUUCAGAUCUCAAUUGAAACAAGAAAAUGAGCAAUUAAUUUCUGAGCAUCUGCCUUGAUUAAAUCCAUCAUCAAUUCCUUGAUCUAUCCAUCAAUGAUCCACUUUCAUCUUGUUACCUCAAUAAACACCAUAAUUGAUCCAUACGAGUAUUGACACAUAGCAUCUUGUUCGGGAAGCACAACUGGUAAGCAUCAGCAAUGCACUCUUUCAAAUGUAGCUCGAUUUUUCAAAGAGAGAGUGCUGCAGUUUCAAGCAUUCAUCACUCAGCACGACUGCCCUGGUCACCUUAUCUUCAAAAUGUUCCCCAGGAAGCUGUACUUCAUUAGGCUGUGUCAGAGAUCGUGAAGGUCAUGCAGAUUGGUGAUGCUCGAUUUCUUGUCAAUUAAGUUUGGUCAUGAUGCCACAAUUGCUAUCACUAAUUUGAUAAUAAAUUGUUCAAACAACUUGCUUAUUUACUUUCACCCAACCAACACAUACUACUCCGCACUGCAGUGCCAACCAUUGGGAUACACUCCAGCUUUGGCUCAAAACAAAAGUACAACUCACCUACUCCUGGUUUCCAUGGGGCACCACCUUUGGGAGCACUUUAAUUCCUGUUUACACUAAUUAACAAAUCCAACAGUACAAAGUCAUUCCAACCCAUUCAACUCCAAGCAUUUCCUAGCAAAGGUACACACUUCCACCUUUACUCAAACUGGAAAGGUUUUCCAUUCAAAUAUAGUUUCCAGAAUCAAGUCAAUCACCAUCUAACUACAGGAUCUGCAGAAUUUAUUCAAAAACUAGUCUUAUCAGGCAUGGCAAAGAUUUCGAUACACAAUGGAUAAGUAAGGGACAACUCUGCUUACUUUGACUUCCAUCCUUCCAUCUCACUUAUUUUGUCCAAUUCCGAAGGUGUUCUUGAUUCAAAUGGGCUCUAUCAAUUUCAUAACAUGUAAAUUACUUCCUCUUGUACUACAAGAGAACACACAUAUUAGACACAGACAAAACAGGAUUUUUCCCUUUUCCUCAAGUCUCAUUACAGUUUAUAUUUUUCAAUUAUGUUUUUCUGCUAUAAACUUAAUAUACAGAAUAAAAAAUGUAAAGGCUUCAAAAUGAAACAGCAAUCACUCUUUACUCAGAAUGCUCACUAAUGGGUCAACAUUAGAAAGACCCAAAAGUCAAAACCCAACAGUAGAAGUAAGGAUCCUUCAGAGAUGGAAGGUGCACCAGAGAAAGAGGCGUCUAACUGUCCUGCAUUAUGACAUGUUGUAUUGACUUCUUCAAAGAAGGAGAGUGAGACAUGUAUAUUUCACCAUGUCUAGCAUGUGAAAUAUAACAGGUAGGGGGCUGAGUUCCAUAGUGAUGCUCCUUAGGAAAUGUUACGAAUUUAUGAAAAUGGCAAAAGGAAAGAAUUACAAGUUCCAACAGAAGAGAUUUUGAUUGUUGAGAAAAGGAAAAUACAAGUCAGCACAACUGCAUGCACAAAUCAUUCUUACAUCAAUCCCUCGAGUUCUUGUAUAUGAAUCUCCUUACACAUGACACAUUGAUAAAUACGUUAGCAAAUGAAUCACCCCAACACUAACAAUAAAAGUCAUACUCUUGUAGAAUGAAUACUCAGAGUGAGUACAUAACACACUUUCUGUGUAUAGAUUGUCUUUUACUACAAACAAAAUAAUCAUCAAGAUAUAAUUCCUUCAAAGCUUCCUAUUUGCUAUAACAUAUACAGAAUAUUACAGCUCAAUGUUGUACAAAGGCUUCAUGUCAUGAUGACGAAAACAAUGACGAAACCAUAGCAAGAUGCAAUGUUGACGCAGAAUACUAAGAUGUUAUAUUUGAGUAAGAAACCAAACGUGAAAAUAGACAAACAUAAGAUCAUAAUUCAAAGAAAAGAAAACUAGAAAGCUCAAAAAAAGCUAGGAACAUUGAGAUUAGCCAAUAGAAUUUUCAAACACACCACAAACAGAAAUCUUGAAGAUGGAUUAGAAGUUCAAAAAUUGAGAAUGCAGUCCAAAGGGGAUGCUGAGCUUUGAAAAGGAAGGUCAUAUUGGUUUAAAAAGUCAAAGUAUGAGCAGAUUAUCAAGACAGUAGAAAUUAUGUUAAAAAAACACUAUGAUCUGGUCUAGAAAACACUCCUGCAUCCCAGAAGUUCACAAGUAAUUCCAGUAAUGGUCCUUUCCUCACAAUGUUGAAUGGAUUUUGGAAAUGGCCAGAGACACCUAGGAUCAUAUGAUCCUGAGUAUUACCAUAAGGCUACAAAACACACUGUACCAAAAGAAUUUUCAUAAAUAUAGGCAGGUUGCAAUAAUCAGCACAUAAAAUAGUAUAAGUAGUUUAAUUAAAUAAUAUAUUUUGGAUCAUUUUAUAGAUGAACUCCAUGAAUGCUGUCACAAGUCACUGUUCCACCCACUUGAAAAUCCCAGCCCAAAAGUAUACAGAAGGAUACUCCCGUGACACAAAUUGGGUCCCGGAAAAAUUUAAUCUUCAAGAGCUUCAAAUCAUAAAAGCACUUCUUUUAAGGUAUUAUAUCUCAAAGCCCAACAACACAUCCAUAUUCUAUGUUUGUCUAUGCACAUCCAAACUCAAUAACAUCACCACUUCGCUUUGUCAUCUCAAAAACGGAAAUAUAAAGAUUUAAAAACAAUAGAGACAAUCAAACAAUUGACCAAAUCCUAAACCAAUGAAACUAAAAAGGGGUGACUCCAAACCCUAACUUUGAAUUUUUAAAUAGAAAAGUGAAGGAGAGAUAGGAGAUAACCAUAUUCAGUACGAGGUCGUUUGAGCAUUGCGGUAGAGGGCAGAAGCGGCUGUUGCUGCUGCCGAUUCCAGGAGCCAUCAGUCAUGACGAGAGAAACGAUGGAUUUCGCAGAUCUGAUGAACAAUGGUUAUGAUUAUGACUACCGGGUGAAGAUUGAUGGAGAUCCAAUUACAAACCCUAAUUUGCUCAAUACCAAACCCUAGCCUUUGUCCUUCUACAAAAGAGACAAUUUUUUUAAGAGAACUCAGUUUUUUUUUUAAGGAGAUGGUGUGUGGGGUUACAAUUUAGUUUUUUCCAAAUUUCCAUUACCAUAUGCAAAUUUAAAAUGCAUACCACAUAAGAUAAGAUUAGAUGAAUUUAAUUUAAUAUAUAAUUUUAAUUCUAAUAUCUUUAGCUUGCACAAUAAAUUAAUCUUUUUAAGAGAAAUUGUAUUCUUCUCCCAUAAUUUAAUUUUUGUAAUUUUAUUUACUAUAAUAGAAAUGAGUAUCCUUCUAUUAAAAAUAUGAUAAAAAUAUGAAAUUAAUUUAUUAGAGUAGAAGACGAGGGAAUAUUUUCCCCAUAUUGGAUAAUGUUUCAAUGGUCAUUUUUCAUAAAGGAAAAUCUAUUUUUUUUUUCCACUGUAACAUCUUUUAUUUUAAUAUUAGUUAGAAAAAAAAAUAUUUUAUAAUUAUUAUCAUAAAAUAGAAACGGGAAAUAUAAUUUUUAUAAUUUUAGUUGUGACUUAAAAUAUGUUCCAAAAAUAACAUUGUAUAACCAUGAAAAUUGUUUAUAAUAACUCUAUAGUAUAAUUUAUACGGUUAAAAUAUUUGACUACUUUGAAUUGUAAUAUAAUCUUGUUAUUUUAAUUAUUUAUUAUUAUAAAAUUUAGAUGUAUAUAAAGAAAAAAUUUAGGGUUAAAUAUGUUUUUAAUUUCUAUGCUAUCAAGCGUUCUUGGUUUUUAGUCUCUAUUUGAAAGUAAGGUACAUUUUAGUCUUCCUCCUUAAGGAAAUUUUGAUUUUAGUCCUUCAAAACUAACAAUGUUAAAAACCAGCUGACGUAACUAAGAGCAGACUGACCCGAUUUUUUUUCUUGUAUUGUGUCAAUGUUUCUAACCUUUUCUUCCUCGUCUCUUCCUUCCGUCUUCCACUCAACCUCGUCUCUUUUUUCCUUCUAUCUUCUCACUUUUUCUUACGCUGAAAAUGGUGUAAUCUCAUAGGGUAGUUCUACUGUUAAUGUCAAUUUUGUAAAUGCAACAUGAGAGAAGGCAGAAGAGCUAGCUUCAGACGUUAAGAGUAUUACCCAGUUGUAAAAUGAAUAUGUUGUUCCCUUUGGGCUCUGGGAGGUACUUCCAUUCUCUUUUUGGUUAUUUAUUGACGUCGUUUUGUUUUGUUUUGGUUUAGAUUGUUGCAGUUUUAAAUUUAUUUUGUUGUUCUUGUUCUCAUUAUUUUUAGUUUUGAACUAGAUCAAUAUCUUUAAAAGCUUGAUAUGAAAACUACUAGAUAUAAUUACAAGUCUUUUGAGCUUUAGUAUCUAGAUAUCGAUGGCAACCGAGAUUCCAAUGGUGUAGGAAAGGAUUCAUUGUUAGGUCCUCCUUGCCCAAGGAAGAAACGGUCUAUUUUUGUUCAUCUCCUUCCUUUUCUUCUGAUUAUUUUUUUAGCAUAAUCAAACUGUGAAAAUAUACUUAUGAUUUCUUUUCUUUCAAAUGAUACAAAGUUAUAUAAAGGGAAGUUCUGACUUUUUUUUUUCUUUUCUACUGCAUAUUCUUUCUAUAUUUUCAAACCAAAAGGGCGUUUCUGAUUUUGUUGUAUCUUUUUUUUUUCUUAUGAGAAGAUUUAGUUGCAUUUGUCACUGUACCACUGGGCGAUUUAGUCAGUGUUGUUUUGUAGUAUUUUUGCUAAAAAGAAACGAGGUUGGUGGAAGAUGGAAAGAUGGAAGGAAAAGACGAGGGAGGAAAGGUGAGAAACACUGGAAAAAAAUCGUGUCAGUCUACUGUUAAUCACGUCAGCUGGUUUUUAACGGCAUUAGUUUUUGAGAACUAAAAUCAAAGUUUCCUUAAAGAGAAAGACUAAAAUGUACUUUAUUUUGAAAAAGCGACUAAAAAAAAACGCUUGAUAAUAUAGAGACUAAAAACAUAUUUAAAAAAAAUUAUUUUGUACCGUGCAUCCUAUAAUAUUAAUGUUAUACUAUAUAUAACCAGAUUUUUAAAUAGAAUGUAUAGUACUCAAAUUCAAAUAUAUUUUAAAAUAUUGAAUUGUUUUCUUUUCUCAAGUUGUAGUAGAAUAAUGUAUUUUAUAUUGAAGAAAAAUCUUCUUAUAAAAUAAUAAAAUGGUAUAAUUAUAAUAUUAUAAAUAUAUUUUUUUAUUUUCUAUACUAUAUGUAUUAAUUAAUCACUUAUUAAUUAAGCUUAAAUUAUAUUUUAGAAUGUUAUAUAUAUAUAUAUAUAUAUAUAUAUAUAUAUAUAUAUAUAUUUGUUAUUUAAGAUUUAAAAAAUUAGAGCAUCCAGCAACUAAGUACAAUGGUCUACACCCACCCAUUUAUUCUCUCCGAGGUAGACAAUUAAUAAUUUAAGUUGACUUAAACAAUGGAUGAAAUAUUUCAAAUCUUUAAGUUCAAGCAUCUACAUUAACUAUCAUUUUGGAAAAGUUUAAGGUCUUCAAAUGAGAAAAAAAAAACAUGUUCUUUUUACAUAGAUUUUAACUUAUUGUCAAGACAAUACAAAACGAAUUCCAGAAUGUAUAAAGUUUAGGUGCUUAACUUAAGUUGAUUAAAGUAUCAGAUAAAAAAAAUUACAAAACAAUUGACUUGCUGCAUAAAUGACAACCUUAAAUAAUUAAUGUCAACAAAUUUAACUAAUGUUAAUUCAGACACCAUUUAAACAAUCUCUCCCUUUUUACAUUAUCUUUAUGUGAACUCAAAUACUUAUCAUUACUUAUAAUCUUAAUAUUUGAUUGGUUGAACUUUUAUUAGAUGAAUAAAGAGUUCUAGUGUAGAAUUGUCUUUUAACGUCAUCCCUUAGACGUAAGUUAAGCGGUGACCCGUCAUAAACUAAUGACCGGUGACACUUUCGUAAAUAAGCUGUUAAUAUAGACGUCAGUUAAGAGGGGUCCUGACGACUAUAAUAUUAUAGACGUCGGGGCCCUCAUAACCGAUGUCUAUAGGUCCUCAUAUACGUCGGCUCCCCCGAAUAGAUGCCAAAACUAAACGAAAAAGUUAAUAAAAAAUAAUUUUUUAUUCUAUUUAGACGUCUGUUAUGGGGGGAACGACUUCUAAAGCACUUUAGAUGUCACUUAUUUAGGGAACCGACGUCUAAACCCUAAACCCAAAAAUUUAAAAACUCAUUUUUUGGCUCCAUAUAGAUGUCUGAUCUCGCCACUCCGACUUCUAAAGCAUUUUCGACGUCUGUUAUUGGGAGAACCAAUGUCUAAACCUUAAACCCAAAAAUUUAAAAUCUCAUUUUUUGGCUCCAUAUAGACAUCUGAUCCCGCCACUCCGACUUCUGAAGCAUUUUAGACGUCAGUUAUUGGGGAACCGACGCCCAAACCCUAAACUCAAAAAUUUAAAAAGUCACUUUUUGGCUCCAUAUAGACGUUUGAUCCCGCCACUCCGACUUCUAAAGCACUUUAGACGUCUGUUAUUGGGGGAGCCGACGUCUAAACCCUAAACCCAUAAAUUUAAAAAGUAACUUUUUUACUCCAUUUAGACGUCUAUUAUGGGGGGAACCGACUUCUAAAUCACUUUAGACGUCUGUUACAGGGGAAUCGACUUCUAAAUGUCGGCAUUAAAAUACCGUGAUCGCGAGACAGCCGUUACGCGCACUCAUUGUUCAUCAUCUUCGUCGCGUUUUCUCUCUACAAGUUACACUUUUCAGGUUCGUUUUCUCACUUUUGCGCCGUUUUAAAUUAGUUUUACUCCGAUUACAUCAUUAUUUGAUGCAUUAUCUUUCAUUUGAACCGAUUAAAAUGCAUUUUCGUUGGGUUUUGGUGCACUUAUUCUCGUGUCCUUGGGCGACGUUCUUUGGCAGCGAUUUCUUGCGUUUUGCACUCUCCAAUUCCCUCCACUACAUUUUUAAAACCAUAUAAUAAAAAAAAUAUACAAUACAUUCUCUUCAACUAAAAUAUAAAGUUGUAAACUUAAAUCACCAUCAGACCUAUAUGGAUCAAACGUCUAUAUAGGCGUCUGACCUAUAUAGGUUCGACGUCUAUAUAAACGUCAGACCUAAAGGGUCGGACGUCUCAUUAACGUCACCCAUAUAGACGUCGGACAGAGAUAAAUUGUUAAAAACCCAAAAUAACAGACGUCUAAAGUCCUUUCUGCAUGUUGUAAAAUAAGUAUUCUAUCACGUGUUAAGAGAGAGUUAAUAUUGACAUUUAUUUAAAUGUAAAACAUAUAAAUUGUAUUCAAUUGAAAGUUUGUAUUGUGGUUUAAGUGAAAGUUGUAACGAGUUAUGUUAUUGAUAGAUUAAUAUGAAACAUGUAAAAUAUACAUAUACUUAAUAAUGUUAAGUUGUAAGUAAUAUGAAACUAUGUACCUUGUGUUUUCAGAUUUUGUUGUGGUAUCACACAAACAUAAAUAGAGUUUGAAAAUGUGAUGAUAAGUACUUUUAAGCAUGACAUUUAUAAAGUAAUAAAAUAAGAUAUUUUCCUUUUUCUAAUGAAUUACUCACAAAUGAAAUUGUAUGUUGUGAGAAACUAGAAAAAGAUUAUUGUGUAACACUCCGGCAACUUACAGGGACUGUUGACUGCCCUUACACAUCACCAUGAGACUUUCCAAUGUGCUUUGCCCUCACUCGCACACUUUCUGGGAAAACUUCCCGAAAGGUCACCCAUCCCAGAAUUUCUCCAGGCUAAACACGCUUAACCAUGAAGUUCUUAUGGGUUAGACUUCCGAAAAGUAAAUACAUUUUGGUGAUAUGGGUAGCCAAAUCAAUUCCUUUAAGCUAUCCUUCAACUGUAUAGUCUCAUACCUAUACUUAACCAUGAAAUUCUUAUGGGUUAGGCUUCCAAAAAGUAAAUGCAUUUCGGUGAUAUGGGUAGCCAAAUCAAUUCCUUUAAGUCAUCCUUCAAUUGUAUAGUCCCAUACCUAUACAGUCUCCAAAUCCCUCUCAUUCCAGUGUAUGUUCGAUUCGUCCAUGUGUCCCUUCCACUAGAAGCCUGCCAGGAACUGCUCUUUGUCUGUGUCCCCUGCACCAUGCCUCUUGCACCGGCGAUCACUCUCUGCCCUUGUCAGUGUCCGAGUGUUACAUAUUGCAUCAUCAUUUUCUAUAACAUCUAAGCAAUUAUUGGUAUACUAUUGGUUUUUACCAUACAUGUUUUUUUUAUAGAUCAUGCCUUAGUUUAUAUUGAAACAUAUUUAUUGUAGUAAUACAUUUAUAUUAUAAUGAUUAAAACAUGUUAAUUAAAUGAUUUGUAGGUGAAUAGUGAAUGCUAAACAAAAAGUGACCGCUAUGAGUAUUUCGAAAAUAAUUAAAACUUUUGAUGCAAAAAGUUAAGGUUGGUGAUCACAUUUCUAUAUUUAAAUUGAUAUUUCCAAUUUUAUUAUGUACAAGAAAAAAGACAUGAGAAAGUGAAAAGAGACGUUAUGUAAAACAAUAUAUAUAUAUAUAUAUAUAUAUAUAUAUAUAUAUAUAUUUCUUUUACAAUUUCAUCAAUAUAUUAUAUUUCAUUCUCAGAAAGAUUUGAAUUACUCUUACAUUAAUUAGUCGGGAUAAAUGAGUUUUAUUAUUAUUAAAAUAAUAAGAUAAAACUUUUUCAUCAUGAACUCUUUUCACCCCAAGAUUAAACCUUUAACUAUAACGUCAUCAAAUUUUCAAAAUUUAUUAGAAAAAAUUUAUAUCUUACAAUAAUAAGAAUAAUAACAAAUUAAUAUUAUUUGAUGAAAGUAUAAAAGUUAAGAAAAAUUACGAGAAAAAGAAAAUAUUUAUUUAUCAAUAAAAUAAAAUGAAUGAAUAUUAAGAUUAAGAAAUAAUCUAUAAGCAAGCAACUAUUGGUAUACAAUUCUUUCUAUUAAUUAAACUGAAGAAAUUGAUAAUGCAUUUAAUUAAAUAAUUUUUUAAAUUGUUGUGAUUGUAGGUGGUAUGUUUGUUUAAUUGUUGAUGAUAUAUUUAUGUAUAUCCAAUAGUUGAACGAAAGAGAAUAGAAAUACUAAUUUAUAUUGUUAUUAUUUUUUAAUGAAAGUAUACAUGCUAUGUUAAUAGAUUUUUUUAAAAUAUUCGUAAUUUUGUAAACGGUUUGGUGAGUGUUGUUGCAUUAAUAUAUUGUUUGUACCUACAGCUAGGUGUUACACCAUCGACAUUAAUCAAUUUUUGUUACUAGGAAGCAAUCACAAAUACUCAUUAUCCUUUAUUGUUUCAUCUUAUACUUCCAAGACUUCAUCGUGCACCUCCGACUUUUUCAAAAGAUUUACUUUUAACUGUAAUAAAUAUCUUUUUUACUUUUCACUUUCUAUUUAAAGUAAUCUUAUAUCUUUAUCUUUGCAUGUUUUUAACAAAAUUUUAAUAUUUUUAUCUUUUAUUUAUAACUUUAUAACUAUUUAAUUUAAUUUAAAAACCAAAUAUUAUUUAAUAUAUUUUUGUAUUUUAAUAAUUAAUAAAAUAUAAUUUUUUUUCGUUUAAAAUAAAUUAUUAUUAAAUUUUAAAUAGAAAAUAAAAUUUGAGAAAAAGUUAUCGGAUAUACAAAAGUUUUUAAUAAAUUUGUUUAUUAUUUAUAAUUUAUUAAUUAUUUAAUUUAAUUUAAAAAUUUAAUAAUAUUUAAUAUAUUUUACAUUUAAAUAACAAUUAAAAUAUAAUUUAUAUUAUUGUAGUUGUAAUAUUAAAAAUAUUAAAAAACUAAUAAUAAUUAAAAAACAUAAAAUUUUUCGAAUCCUAUUUUAUUAAUUUAAUAUUUUAAUAUAAUUUAGUAUUUUUAUAUAUAUUAAAUAAAUUUUUAUAUAAUUGUUUUUAUUUUUAUUAAUUUUAUUUUAAUUAUUUUAAUUUUAAUUUUAAAAAUAUAAGUGUUAUAUAAAAAAUUAAAUUAUUUGGAAUUUUAAAUAAAAAAUAAAUUUUUUUAAAAAAAGGUCAUCGGAUAUUGAUAUCCGAUAACACAUUUAUCAGAUUUCCAAUUCCGACAGGAAUGUUUUCAAAUAUUUUUUAAUUUAUAUUUUAUUAAUUAUUUAAUUUAAUUUAAAAAUUUAAUUUAAUUUAAUAUAUUUUAUAUUUAAAUAAUUAUUAAAAUAUAAUUUAUAUUAUUAUGAUACUAAUAUUAAAAAAUUUAAAAUAAAAAUAAUAAUAAUUAAGAAAUAUAAAAAUUUUGAUAUCCUAUUUUAUUAACUUAAUAUUUUAAUAUUAUUUAACUAUAUUUAUAUAUUAAACUAGUUUUUAUAUAAUUAUUUUUAUUUUAACUUUUGUAAUGUACCUAUUAUAUAAAAAUUAAAUCAUUAUUGAAUUUCAAAUAAAAAAUAAAAUUAAAAAAAAAAGUUAUCGGAUAUUGAUAUCCGAUAACAUAUUGAUAUCCGAUAACAUGCUCAUCGGAUUUUUAAUUCCGAUAACAUAGUUAUCGGAUUUUCAAUUCCGAUAAUAAUGUUUAAAAAAAUUUGUUUCUUAUUUUUACUUUAUUAAUUAUUUAAUUUAUUUUAAAGACUUAAUAUUAUUAAUUUAUUUUAUUUUAAAUAACUAUUAAAAUAUAAUUUAUAUAAUUUUAGUACUAUUAUUAAAAAAUUAAAAUAAUAAUAAUUGGAAAAUCUAAAAAUUUCGAAAUUUGAUUUCUUGAUAUAAUAUAAUUUAAUAUACUUUAUUAUAUUAAAUCAGACUUUUUGUAAUUAUUUUUAUUUUUAUUACUUUUAUUUUAAUUAUUUUANUUUUAAUUUUAGUAAUAUAAUUAUUAUAAUAAUAUAAAUUAUAUUUUAAUAAUUAUUAAAAUAUGAAAAAAUAUUAAAUAAUAUUAGAUUUUUAAAUUAAAUUAAAGAGUUAUUAAAAUAUAAAUAAAAGACAGUUUUGAAAAAAAUUAAAAAAGGAUACAGAGUUAAAAAAUGUAGGAUUAUUCUGAAUAGAAAAAAAAAAGUAAAAAGUAUAUUUACAAAAGUUAAAAAAUAAAGUUUUGAAAAAGUUAUAAAUAUAAGAUUAGGUAUUGGAGGUGCAGGAUGAAACCCCUUACUUUAAAUAGAAAGUGAAAAAUAAAAAGAUAUUUACUAAAAUUAAAAGUAAAUUUUUAAAAAAGUUGGAGGUGCAGGAUGAAACCUUUGGAGGUGUAAGAUGAAACACCCUUAUCCUUUUGGCAUUGAGCUGAAAAGGUUUGGGUGUUGCUCCCUGCACCUCCCCAUUUGCUUCCUACACCUCCCCAUUCCCUUUAUACCCUUCAGUCUAUUUUUCUAUUCCUAUUUUAUCCUUUAGUAAAAGUUUAUAUUUAGGGUAAAAAUUUUAUGAUUUCAGUUCUUCACCCCCACACAACCUAUGCAUUCAUUCUUACUCUUUUUUACUCUUUCUUUUUAGAAAUUCUAUGAAAAUGUGGUGAGUGAGAAAUUGUUUUAAAAAGAUUGGUUGAAGAAUUUUCUUUGGAAUAACAAAGUUUAAUUUUGUGUAUGGUACAGUGAUGGUGCUCAGACCUUACAAGAUGAGGUACGUAACCUUGUAAACAAAUAUGGACAUUCAUCGCCGGAUGUCAACAUCCGUUUAAGACAAAAUGGAUGUUGAGAUCCGUUUGGCAUAAAUAUUUAUUUUUGUUUAUCUUUUAUUCAUCCACUUUGUGUCUACGUCUCCAUAUAUUAUAAUCAUAACACUGACAGAUUAACUCAUUACUCCAUUGCAUAUGCGCAAUCAUCAGAGGGAAAAAAGAUGAAACUCUCUGCAAAGGUAAUUUCAUUUCGUAUUCNCAGUGGAGUAUUGAUUAUACANGCUAUGAUGCUUUUCUAUACCUCAUUUCAGUCAAGACUGCUGCAUGUAUAUAUUAUAAAUACAAAUUCCUUUCGGUGGAAAUGUUUUUAAGAAUAAAUAAUAUACAUUUAUAUAUUAUCAUCUAUUAAAAAUNAUUAUUCCUAUAAUUUUUUUCCUUUGUAUGAUAAUUAUCUGGAAAAGUAUAUCAAAAAUGUUUUUUACUUACUGCCAUGAAAUUUUUUAUACGACAAAUACAUAUUAGAUUCUAAGGUAAUAUUAUUGCCUCAUCCAAUAAUUUUUUACAUAAACUUUGUAUAUCCACUGUAUAUUUUACCUUUCUAUCUCUCUUUCUUUACAGAUACAAAAUUAACUUUUCUAAUGAUUAAAAUAACAGUGGUAGAAAAAAAAUAAAGAAAAUAGAAGUAUUUGUAUUGAGAAUUGCAGUGUAGUUAAUGACUAAUAUUCCUACAAAGGAGUGUCAUUGAUAGAAAACCACAACAAAAAUAAAGAAAAUAGAAGUAUUUGUAUUGAGAAUUGGAAAGUCCUCUGUCCAAUUUAUGGUCGAGAUGGACUUCAAACUGGGCUUCUUACAAGACGAAAAUAGAAAUUAGAAGACAGAAACUUAGUAUCCAAUUCUGAGAAGAACCAGCUCCUUACUUUGAGAACCAGGACCCACUAUGAUGGCUUACAACUUGUCUGUAAGUUAUUAAACAUUGAAACAAAAUAACCCAUCAACAAAAUAAACAGCAUCAUACAAGAAUUAAACAGAUUUGAAGGCUGCAAUCUAACAUCCAUUAACCAAAAGAAUGGUAUCAAUAAAUAAAGCAUAGCAAGUAUUAACGCAUAACACAAUAAAUGUAGUAUUAUAUAAUAUUUUAGAAAUAAUACAUCAAAUUACCACUUACCAAACUCUUUAGUCUCUCUCGCUGAAAUAGCUCUCUAUCAAUUAGACGUCGACGGAUGUCGACAUCUGUUUCAAGGCCAAACGGAUGUCGACAUUCGUUCUGACCUGAGCAGUUCACACAGCAGCGACAAGAAGCACACACAACAGCGAUAACAUGCACAGUAAAAUCAGUAAAAUCAAAGGUGAUGGAUACUAAAGGAGAAAAAAAACGAACACACCUGGAUGGAAGUAAAAAGAACCACCACAGCAACAGACGCACCACCACGAACAAUAAGAACCCACCGCACGCACCGCACCACCGCACCCCGCACCACCUCACCUCACCACCACUCAGAGCAAAGGUGAAGUGUGAAGGAUGAAGGAGAAUGAUGAAAGUCAGAGGAAGAGAGGCAGAUGUAUUGGGGGGGGUGGCUGCGAGAGAGAAAAAAUGAAUAUUUAGGGUUUGGUAAAUAAAGUUAAAAAUAAAAAUGUCAAAAGGUUAAAAAGGUAAAAUAAAAGGAUAUUUUUGUAAUUAAAUAAAAAUUAUAAAAAAUUGGGGAGGUGGAGGAAGAAAAUGGGGAGGUGGAGGGAGUAACUCCCGAAAGGUUUUCAUGGAAUGGGCCGGAUGUACAUACCUCAAAAAGCCCAACACUAUUUCUAUACAUAAGUUUUGGACGCUUCUUUCUACACUCCACAUUUUUCUUUCUGCAUCUCUAAGCUUUUUCUUUUUUUCCCAUUUUAUCCUCUUUAUAACAACAAAUCGUAUAACAUGAUAUGGAAGAACUAAUUAGAUAAAAAAAAUUCAGGAGAUGUAUUGUGAACUAGAACUAGAAAUACGGUUUUUUUUUUUAAAAGGAUAGUUGUCAGAUUUCAGAUACAUUUUAUCAGAUUUUCAAAUUUGAUAACCCUUACAAAAAUCAAAUUUUACAAUCCAAUAUUAAAAAAAAAUUACAUUUAACUAUAUUUUAAAAUUUGGUAAAAAAAUCAUGUAUAAAUAUAUUUUAAAAUUCAGUAAAAAAAAUUAAACAUAACUAAAUUUCAAAAUUUGGUAAAAAAAAAAAUACUUUUUAAAAUUUAGUAGAAAAAAAUUGACACUUGUUAUAAUAAAUAAAGUUCGAAUUUCACCAAGCCAUCCAAAAAAUUAGACUUAAACGAGUUAUUGGUAUAUACGACUAUUUAACAGCCAUCACUUAACUAAAGAUAAAAAUUAAAUUAAUAAUUACAACUAAUCAUCAUCUUCUGAGGAAUUUCACAAUUUUUAAAAAUAUUUAAAUAAAUUAAAUUUAUAUUUAUCUCAUCUAAAAUCAUUUCUUAAUAUUGAUAAUUUUUUUUAAUCAAACUUGAUUGAUGCUAUUUUUAAUUAAAAUUUAUUUAAAAAAUCUAAUAAAAAAAUUCAACUAAUUUUAAAAAACCUUAAUUCUCAUUUGAAUAAUAUUCCAGACAUUAUUUAAGAAAACUUUAAUUCAUAUACAGCAAAAAUGAUAGUAUUUUAUAAUAAUAAUAAUAAAAAUAAUCUUAAUAAUAUAAAUAAUAUUUCUUUUAACAUCAAUAAUGAAAUUUUAAUCAAUAUUCAUAAAGAAAAAUGAUCUACCGAUUUUAUAUAAAAAUCUUAACUAACAUGAGAAGUAAUUUCAAUAUAAAAUAAAUAAAUAAACGUAAUUGAUAUUAAAAAGUUAUAACAUUUUAAAUUAACCUAAAACAACAGUUAUCAUAAAUUAUAAAACAAGUUUGUUUGAAUUUAGUUGAAAAAUACAUUUAAAUAGAGAUGUCACUGUUCACCUUAUGUGCUAUGAUGCUCUCGAGACAAUUGUUCAUCUGUUUUCAUUUUUUUUUUUAUUUGAUAUCCAAAUUCGAUUAAGUGUGAGAUAAUUUUUGUUUAUAAGAUUUCAAAGUUUGAUUAAAUGCAAAUUUUUUUAUUUACCUAAUUUCGAAAUUUGAGAUUGUGUAUAUUUUUUUUUAUCGAAUUUUGAAACAGAGUUAUGUAUGAAUUAUUUUUUCUUAUCCAUUUUGAUAUCCGAUUUAAUGUAAAUCUAUGAUUUUUUUUUUUAUUUACUAGAUUUGAAAAUAUGAUAGUUUAGUUGUAGUUUGAGUUUUGAAAUCCAACAACUACACUUCUAAAAAAAUUAACUGAAUUUCUUGUUUCAAUUCUUAUCCCAUCUUCCAAAUUUUUUGAUCUGGUUAAUUAUCUCAUAUUAUAUUAUCCAAGAUUGCUAUUAUGAAAUGAAUAAAAUGAAAAAAAAAAGGAAAAAGUUUAGAAGUACAAGAAGAAAACCUAGGAUUGGAAGAAAUGCCCUAAGUUUGUCUUUACUAAUUGCCUGACUUCCUAAAGAAGUGUAAGGCUAGAAGAAGGGAUUUCUUUCUACACCUCACUUUCAUUCACUUAUCUAUCCCUUAUUACAAAAGUUUAUACUCCAUAUUUUCUUCCAAAUUUACAUUACGAAUCUUCUUAUCUUUUAGAUUUACAUUAUAAAUUAUAGAAUUCAAAAUGUAAAUUUGUAUUAUAAACUAUCAAAAUUAUAUUUUAUAUUUUAAUUGUCUUUUAAAUUUGUAUUAUGAAUUAUACAAUAUUUAAUGUUAAAUUAUAUUACAGUUUGUGAAAUGUAUUUUAUAUUACAAAUUGCUUUUCAAAUUUGCAUUAAUUCAAAAUAUAAAUUUGUAUUAUAGAUUGUAUAAUACAUAAUAUAAUUUAUAUUUUUCAAAUUUGUAUUACAUAUUAUACAAUCUAAAAUGUAAAUUUACAUUAUGAAAUUAAUUUGCAUGUCAGAAUAUCUUUCAGAUUUAUAUUAUGGAUUGUAUAAUCAAAAUAUAAUUUACUUCUAAAUUAUGUUUCAUAUUUGAAUUAUAAAUUGUACUAAUACAAAAAUAAUAUUUUAUGACGUACAAAAACGAUUUAUGAUAUACAUAAUUUUGUAUAUUAUAAUAGGUUAGUUUCUAUGACUCGAAUGACGUUUAACCGUUUCAGAAUAUUUUGAAAAUAAAAUCUCUUUUAAUCCAUUUCUUCUAUACUAUAAAUAUUUAAAGAAUGGUCAGCUUUAUUCAUUUUCUCCAUCACCGUCUUCAAAAAAAUGACAAAUUCUCGAUUGUUAUUGCUGGACUUUGGAUUCGCAGUUUCAAUUACAUAUGACAAAUUUAAAUUUAAAUUUCUGUCGGUUGCAACAGUUACCUUGCAAAAGUUUAAAUUUCUCCUACGGUCUUAUACCAACUAUAUUCUUAUGAUGUUUUAUCGUGAUAUUAUUUCAUAUUUAGUACUAUAGUGUAUGAUUCUGUAUGUUAAAUUUGGAGUAGUGUAAAGUGUAUAAAGGUGUAAAAAUUACUGUGUAUUGUGUUGGAAAAGUGAGGAAUAUGGAGUUAUGCCAUACGUAAAAUACCAAAAAAUUAUUACAAGAAACAAACAAGUGUGAUUUGAACAGAGAUGAGCAGAGAAAUAUAAAUGAAUAAAACAGGAAAAGAAAAAUUCCCAUUAACCUUUUCUCCCUCAAUCUUCUUUUGGAUGGAAUAUAUUCUCCAUGAACGUAACUACAGUGCACUCUGCUUUACUAGAUCAUUCAAGAUAGGAUCAUUAUUGAAUUGGGUAUAAUAACUGUAGUUACAACUUUUUGCAACAAAACAAACUAUAUAUAGUAUACUUCCAUUAUUUUUCUUCUUUUCUUCACUUCACUAAUGCUGUCUCCAACUUCUUCAACCUUGUUUGCCUUUUGGAAACAAAACCUAAACAACAAACUAAUUAAGGCAAGAGAAGGGAUGUAUACUAUUUGUUUUCUCGCAUGAUAUGCAAAUAAAGGACAAGAACUAAAAUUUAUUCUAAUAAAAUUUAUUAUUUAUUAAACAUAGUGUAUUACUCAUUAGCAGAUUAUUCACUAAUAUAUAAUCUCUUGUAUAAAGAUGUAUAUAAUCAAAAUAAGAAAUGUGACCAAAAUAAAAAAUGCUUUGAAAAUUUCACAUUAAUUUUAUAGUAAUUUUUUUUAUCUAGAUUAAGGAUAAUAUUGUUUCUACGUAAUAUGAUUUUAUAGAGAUUUUUUAGGUUAUUAUUAUUUAUUUAUUCGACAAAUAUUAAGAUAUAUUUUAUUUUAGAAAUUAUAUAAUUCAUUAUACUUCUUUAAUAGAGAUAGAUAGAUAGAUUUUAAUUAUAUUGCAUAAAAACCAACGGCCCUAAGUACAUAUAUUAUGGAAUUACAAAAUUUUGCAUAACAAUUCAUAUUUUUUUACUUUUAAUUAUUUUAUAGAGUAAAUUAAAAAAAAAAGAGGCUUAUUUUGAUUGAAGGAUUCCUAACCUUGUUACCACUGUAAGUUUAUGAUUUAUUUAUAGUAACUUAAUUCUCUUUCAAUCACAAUAUUACUCUUAACGAGUCGUUUUACAUUAUAACAUUAAUUAUAGUUCAAAUUUUAGAAAGAAAAAAAUCUUUCUUUCUUCCAGAACAUUUUUAAUUAAAAAAGUUUAAAGUAAGAAAUACAACCCUAUUUAAAUACAAACCUGGAACCAUUUCUUUUACAGGGUUUAAUGUUGAUGAAGUAGGGGUUGAAUAAUGAAAGAGCUUCCCAUAUCCAUGGAAGGAACAAAUUACGUAAGCAAUAUUUUCUCGACAAUGGUCACACCAAACAAAUGGUUGUGGGCAACAACAAUAAUUAUCCAAUAAGGAAAUGAUGUAUGCAAUAGCAUGUAUUUUAUUUUGGAUACUAUUACUUUUACACUUAAACAAAUUUUUACACACAUUUUAUAUUUAUUAUUUUAUCUUUUAAUAUAUAUUUUUUUACAAUUAUAAAAAUUAGCUUAUUCAAUUACUAAAAUACUUUAAAAGUGGAUUGUGAAAUGAUGAAAAAAGAAAAACAAUUUGGUUUUAUUUGUGUUACGAGAUGUAAUAGUCUCUUUAAAGACACACUAACACAAGUUUGAGUCCAACUACAUUAAUUUGUUUUCUCCUUAGGACCACUGAUUCCAACACAAUCAAUUUGUCCCUGUUUCCCUUCAGAACGUGGGUCCAACUUUAUCCCCUCCUCUUAUUUCGGUGCAUUCCAUGGCCCAUAACAAAACCCUAUUCUAUUCACCUCAACCCUUUCCAUUUUAGACAAUUAACCUUAUUUAUUUAUAUAGAAAAAACUUCUUUUAAUAAUAUUUUAUUAAUAAUUUUUUUACAAUACGUCAAUUUAUGAUUGAUCUAUUUUAAAUAUCUUUUAAAUAUAAAUUUAAAUAGAUCAAUAAAAUAAUAACAAGUAUUCUCCUUAUAAAAAAAAUUGUCAAAUCAUUAUCCUUGUUUAUACUCACAAAUUUAACACAUUUCUACUUCUAAAAUCACUUCGCUACUCAAUCCAAUGGAAAAAGUUCCCACCAACUUAUAUUGCAUGUUCAGUUAAAGUUAUUUUGCGAUGAUAAGCAAGCGCAGAUCUGAGAAGAUUGAUUAUCUUGUUUGUUUUAAUCCAAGGAGGAAUUCUCUUAAAUUUACUGAGAUAACAUCCCUAAAUUCAUGGACGUGACCUCAUUGAAUGCCCCCUUAUAGAAUUUUGUCCCUAAUACAUUGAUGAGGGACAUGUGUUUCCAUGUUGCGGUGUGAGACUUGGCACGAAACUUUCGGACUAUUUCAGUUCCAUAGUCGGCCAUUAAUUUCCAUGAAGGUCCACAGCUUCACCUAACCAGACAACACUAAGCCUACUUUGCUCCCUAUAUAUUGUACCCUCAUAUCAUACACAAACAUUUUAUAAAAAUUAAAUAAUUCAUAUAUAUAUAUAUAUAUAUAUAUAUAUAUAUAUAUUGCUAUAGUUCUUUUAGCUGGUUUCUAUUCUAUCCUCCCUCCCUGAGAAGCAGUUUCAAGGUCUCAGAAAGAAUUUUCCUAGUCUCUCCAAUUUUAUUUCAUUGAAUAAAAGUAGUACUAUUGCUUCAUGUUGUCUCAUUUAUUGCUACAUGCCACCAAAAGCCUAACGCAAAUAUCAUUCCCAACAGCCAAAUCUUGAAGCACAUGACACUGCAUUUACUCCCUCAAUGUUUCCGCACACACCGCCCUCGUUUUUCAUAGUUCCUUCCUACACUACCGUUUCCACGCUUUCACACAUUCUUCACAAGCAACCCACUCUUGCCACUUCAGUCACCCCAUCAAUUCCUUCAUUUAUUAAGAAUGUCUGAAACUCAAACCAUCUUAUAGCAUUUCAUCCCCUCCAUUCAUUAUCCUCCCUUUUCUCUCUCUCUCUCUCUCUCUCUCUCUCUCUCUCUCUCUCUCUCUCUCUCUCUCAUUGUUCUAAAGGAAUUAAACUCCUUUAAUGGAUAGAAGAUAUCUCAACUUGGUCCUGGUCACGCUGAUGCUUUUGGUUGUUGGCCAUAGUUAUGGUUCUAGACACACGUACCAAGUUUUCAAAGUGCAGCCCAAGGGUGAGACCUUGCCUCCAAACUUCUUUGGUUUCUUGCCAAAAGCAAUGCCAAUCCCUCCUUCAGGACCAUCUAGGAAGCACAACGACAUUGGAUUACAAAGCUCAACGCGGAAACCAUAGAGGGACAUGUAUUUUAUGUGUUCCUUCUUUACCAUUCCAGAAAAUUUAAGGGUAAUGUAUAAGAUAUGAUGCCUUAAUUAUUUAUAUUUUGCUCUUACCCUCUUUGGUUUACUUCCCUCCUUUGUUGCUACUACUUUUUAGAUCAUUUUCAAGGACAAGACAGUUUCAAAAUGAACUGUUAAAGUAUAUAUAUGUAGAUUAAUUAGGUGAUUAUUACCACCUUCUCCACAUAUGUAUGUAUAUCUGGGCAAGCUUUAGCUAUUUUCAUAUACUUUGUGAUAGAAUAGAUCCUUUGAGGGUUCAAAGCAAGAAAUGUUUUGUGGUUUGGCUUGUACUUGAAAGCAAAGAGAAAAAAAGGUGGCAAACCUUGCAAAGUUGAUGUGUGUCUACUUCUGCUUCUGUUUCUUUCAAGUAAGCUUUUGGUUUGGUAUAAACGCAUGCAAGCUGGCAUUAUUCUUCCUCUGGGGGAAAGAAAAGUGGAACUUUCAACUAAUAUUGUUUUUGAAGGAUUCAGUGAAUGGAUAUGUACGUCGACACGUAUCAUGUCUGUUAUUAGAUUAAUUAAGAGUUGGAAAAGAAGUUGCAUCUUUUUGAUUCCUGUGGCUUCUAAACUCUGCUUCUGUUCUUCUAAACUUGGAAGUUUCUUUGAAUCAUUCUGGAGUUUCAGUGCGUGCAAAACUCAUAACUACUGUAGCUAGGAGUGACCAUACAUUCUCAUAGACUUUAGGGAAGUGACGUGAGAAUCGUGUCCAUUUUUUGCGUUUUGAUUUGGCUUUAGUUAGUAGCUAAUAAAUGUUCGUACAUUUCUUAGCCACCCUACACUAUACACUGCACCCCCUGCAGCUUCAAAAUUCAACGUGUGAUUUGUGUCAUUCUGGAUAAUUAAAAGUGAUCGAUGACUUAAAGUUUGAUUUUGUUUAUAAUUGCAAAGUUUAUUUGUUAAAAGUUUCAUAAUGUUGUGUGGUGAAAGUUUUAGGAUCUUGGAAAAAUUGUACGAUGAUUAAUAUGAUGAUGGGAUUGUAGAGAAUGAAGGUUAUUAUGUCUAAGUUGGUGUGGAUAACAUAAAAAAAGUCUUAAUUGCAACUAUAUGGGACAAAACAAAAUAUUCCACAUGUUAGAUUUAAGAAAAAAUUGAUCUUGAUGAGUUGUUUUGUUGGGUUUUUCAGUUAAAAGCCAAUUGAAAAGAAAUUAGUUCCAUAAAAUGUUAAUUGUGUUGGGUGGGUAAGCUGUUUCAAAUCAUGUCAAAUCAUCAUAUCGUGAUUUCAGACCUAGCUUUGAAGCCAUGUGAAAGCCAUUAUUAAUAAGGAUGGCUAGUCAAAUUUUGAACUUUGUCUUAAUAAGGAAAUUAUAUCGACUUUUUCUUCAGCCUUUUAAGGAAAAUUCUUUAACAAUCUCCUUAUUAAUUAAAUACAACCAUAAGAGAAAAUAUGUAUUUUUUUUUAAAUAAACCACUUUAUGUAUCCCAGAAAAGAAUUGUCCCAGUAAUUUAAAUAUUAUAAAAAUUAUGUAAAUAUGUUUCUAAAGUUUGUUAACAUAAGUUAAACGAUCGAGAUAGAAAUCCCAAAACAAAAACAAAAUAAGAAUAAUUUAAUAAAUUUGCUUUAAAAGUUAUUUUUAUGUUAACGUUAAAAAUGAGUCUCACAAUCUUAUUAUUUUCUCUGCUUCAAGUUUGUAUAUGUUAGUUAAUUUUUUUUAAUAGUCUGUUCUUUAUUAUUGACAUUUAAAAAAAUUAUUAAAAUUAACUCUUUUUAAUAGAAUUUUAAUACUUUUUAAAAUCCCGUUUUCUUAAAUUUUUUUUACCCGACUUAUUCUAAUGAGAAGUCCAACAUAAAAACAGACCAAACAUUAACGAAUAUAAUGUCUCAAACUAAAUUGCAGUUUUUUUUUAACGUAAAUUUAAUUAUGAAGUUAUUUGAGUAUAAUUUUGUUUAUUUUCCAAGGCAAUCGAAAAAUUAUUAUUGAUAUAAUUUUAAGAAAAUAUAUUAUCAAUAUCAGCAAACUUAUCAUAUAUGAUAGAUAAUUCGUUUUUAGAUUAUAUGCUAAAAUUGUUUUAUAAUGCACAACUUAUUUCUUUAAAAGAAAUUCUUUUAUCAAAAUUAUUAAUGUCUAGAAAUUAAAACUUUUAACAUUCCUUGCGUGAUUAAUUAAGUGUUAAAAUAACAGUAAAAAUAUAAAACGACUCAUACUUCAAUUGUUUGAAUGUAAUUAAAUAAUUUUUCUGUGGGUUUAACGAUGACUAUCUUUCUCAUAUUUCAGCUACCUUGGUAUGAAUUAAUGUGGUAUAAAUCGAAUUUAUUAUUUUAAAAUUUAUAUUCAAUCAUUUAAUUUAUCAAAUUAUUGGAUUCGUGUUGUUUAGAUUAGGAGUUAAUUCAGUGAAAUUUUUAGAAUACAAAUUUAUAUUAAAUUAAAUUUUCAAUAAAAAAUUUAUUUUUAUUUUAAAUGAUUAUUAUCAUAAUAGACUAUAAUUUUAUAUAAAUUACUAUUAAUUAAAUUUUAACAAGAUAAUUGCAUAUUAAAAAUAAAAUUUAAAAUUUAAAUGUUUAUAAAUUUAUAAUUAAAAUAUAAAUUUAAGUAUCUAUGAAAUUUCAAACGGUUACCUACAAUAAUGAUUUAUUUUACUUAACUUUAUUUAUUCAAGAUUACCUUAAUUACAUGUUUAUACAAUCCAUUAUAAUUAUGUAUUCAAAUUUCCUUCAUAUUUCUUCAGUUUCAGUUGGAUAUGAAAUUUUUCUCAGCCCUAGUAACUUGCAGUGAAAAGCGAAAGGGGUGACUUUUGCACCUUUAAACGUGUGUGUUAAGCAACUUAAAAAUAAGAAAAUGAUAAUAAUAAUAAUAUAAAUAUAAGAUUUGACAUAUAUAAACCAAAUUGAGAUUUGUUUUUUUACGUAUUUAAGCGUGAGUUGAAACUUUACAUUAUAUUGAAAUAAAUAAAAUAAAAUAACAUAUAAAUAAAAAACCAUCACAAAUUUGUUAUCUUUAAGAUUUUAUAUAUUAAUAAAUAUAUUUCCAGUUUCCCUUUGAAUAUAUAUACAUAUGAUAAACUUAAUUUUUGUUGUAUUAAUUAAAACAAUGGCUCAGUUAAAUACACUUAUAAUUGUACUUUUCAAAAAUAGAAGAGUGAUAAAACAAGAUAUUACUUUUCAAGUCAAGAUUACAAAUUUGCUUAAUUGCUCAACUAAACUAAUCUAUACUUUUUAAUAUUCAAACUACAGAUAAUACAUAAAAUUUUAUUAAAUAAAUAUAAAAAUACAACUUCAUAAUAUGAAAUAUAAAAUAAAGUAUUAUUUUUAGUUUUUUUUUUUUUAAUUCAAAGAAUAAAUACAAAUAUAAAUCGAAUAUGUCAUAGUAGUCAUGUUUAAAUUUUAAUACAAUACAACAAUGCCCAUUAACCAAUAACCAUAUUACAUCUAAAAAUUGAAGAAUUAAUAUAAACACAGAUAUAACAAAGUUUAUAAGUAUGACAUAGAAUUUAAAUUCAAAACCAUUAUUUAAGUUAAAACAACUUUGACCCAUUGAUCUAUUCAUACGAUCCUAAUCACAACCUUAAAGAAAAAUAAAACCAAGUUUUGCAAUGUCAUAAAAUCUGGUUUUCUUUGGGUAGUUUUACUUUCUUGACAUACUGAUCAUGCAUAUUGAAAACAUGAACUAAGAUGACACAUAUCUACCCUAUUUUUAAUUACUUUAUACUUUAUAUAUCCCUAAUUUUCAGAUUCUUCGUAUCUAUUUAUUUGAAUCCACCAUACACCUAACCAUGAAAUGAAACCUAAUAAAGUCAAGAAUCUUGUUGACCGUCAUUGAACUAAUAAGUUGACUUCAUUCAUGAUUCAUAAAAGUGUCUCUUGUUCAUUAUAACAACCUCUUUUCUGAAUUUCAUGCAAAUCAAUGACAAAAUAUAUGAUAAUAUCAAACUAGAAAAGUUUUGUAGUGUUGUUAAUGUCUUUAUUAGGUAGUUCUUUUUAUGUUCAGUGUUUUGGCUUCCAAUCAGAACGUUUCUACCUGGUGAAUGAAUAAUGUAACUUAGUUUAUUCUGUAUGAAUUGGAGGUGUAGUUAGUAAGGCAAUGUUCCAAACAGAGGAGACAAACAACAUACGAUUCUCCAAAGAUUUCAUAUAGCUAUGAACGAUGAAUAAGGAAAUUAUAUUUGUUGUCAGAAGAGGAUUUCACACUCAUCUAGUCAUAGGGUGUACGUGUUUAUAGUUUUUCUUUCCCGAAAUUAAAUCUAUUUGGAUGGAUUUAAUUAUACUGUGCUGAUGGAAUAAAAAGAUCAUUAAGAUUGUCAUUAAAUUAUUUAUUAUUAAAUAUGAUUAGAUUUGAAUUUGUUGAUUUUUAUAAUAAUUAUUUUAAACUUAGUAUUUAGCAGCCUUUAAUUAAUUGAUAAUAUAAUUAUUAUACUUAUUCAGCGUGAAAAUUAACUUACAUUAACCAGGAAAUAUUUUUUUGUGACAAGUAAUUGUGCAACAGAGUACAAAAUGUACUCCCUGUAGAAAAAAUUAAAUAAUAAUUUACAAGAAAUAUGAGCACGCAUACAUUUUAUUCCUGAGGUAUACAUGUUGAGGUAAGAAAAAAGGUGCAACAGGGAGAAAAUAACCAAGAAAAUAGGAAGGUUAUCUGAACUGAUGAUUUUAUAUACACUACAAUACACUGAUAUAUGUGAAGGGCACUUGCCCUAAUAAAAUGGAAGACAUAUUUCACUUGAGAGGGAACAAAAAGAUUUGAAGAGACAAUGGUUUGAUUCCUACAAACCUCACUGUAACAAAAAGUGUUAAUGGAGAACUUCCCUCCAUCUACUUCCCUAAGAUUAUAAAACAGGUGAACCACCACCAUCUGCCUUACGUGCCCCUUGGCCGGAAGAUUUGUCGCUGCUUCGAACGUUGUACCUCUCGUAUACCCUAUCACGGUUCUCCGACCACCAAGUCUCAGCUUGGUGCUCACCGAAUCUUCGCCGGCUGUACACAUGCACCACCAAACAUGUUUAGACAUAUGCAAGUUAAUCAAAACUUCCUAUGCUAGUGUUACGAGAGCCAGAAAUCAGCCUAACAAAUAACUAUCUUGAGCUAGUUAAAGAUUUUGGACCACAGAGAAUUAUUUACAAAGUCUUUGAAUCCAAAGCACCAUAUUGAAAAUUAUCACUGGUAUACUAUUGGAGGCUGGCUGCCUACACUUGGAAGUCAUAAACAUAACCAGGAAAUAAAGAGAAUUGUUUCUAUUACCUGAACCGCACUCGUUUCAGAUCUCUUGUUCCAUCACGCAGGGCAACAAGAGUUAUAUAGACACCAGGUUCGUAUUGUUCAAUCCAUUCUGCCUCAACUUGACUACUAUUAGCAGGUAUUAUGGCAUUCCUUGAUCUCAAACCACUCUCAUCAUCUUGAAAAUUUCCAGAAUCCCUACCAUCAACAGUAUCUGAUGCAGUACUACCACUUGUCUGGAUCACGCUGCUGCUGCCGUUUGGCAAUUUAACAUCUGGGUACUCAUCUGUCCCAUUAGGGAUUACAGAUCCCCGAUUUUGCUGGUAAAGAUUAGCUCCAUAGUUUCCGGUCAGAGUGCCUUCGAUUCUGCUCGGCAGGGAUGAUUCAAUUCCAAUGGAAGCCAAACUAGAGCCACUGAUUGACUCGGCCCUGGUGUGACGCUCCCCAUUUAUUUCUGGAUAGUGAAUUCCAUUUGGCUCCAGACCAUUUGGCAGGUAAGCUGGUCUGAUAUUCUCCGCAUCAUAAGCGCCAGGGGGAAGCCUCUCAGCCAGAUCUUUGAGCUGAAAGUGAAACAAUGUGGCAGAUUAAUAAGCAUGAGUGUGGAAAAGUAAUAGCUCCAAGAGAAGUAAAUUAACCUGUGCUGUAAGUGACUUUAUAACUUCCUUUGCAGCCUUAGCUUUGGCAGAUUCCUCGGCAGCCAGAGCCAUAGCCUCCUGAGUCUUUUUUGAUGACCUUUGAAGCUCUAAUUCUUGCAUUUCACAUCUCUGUCUCAGGGUCUCAACCUAACAAAAAUUAUGUCAGAAUUAUCUUGAUACCAUAACAAGUAAAUAUCAAAGCAGCUAAGUUGUACUUGAUUGGGAUGAGAAAAAUAGGGGAAGAAUAAUAUACCUGAGCACGUAACUUUAAUACUUCCUGAUUCAAAAGCUCAUUUGUUUUCUUCAAACUAUCAGCAAUACUUUUUGAGAAGGAAAGCCCCGAUGUUGUUGGAAUAGGUGUAGCUGAACGAGGGGGGCUUGGUCUUCUAGAGAAUGGAGACACAGACCUGGAACUCACUCCAGAUGGCGUCAGCACAGGUCUUGGAGCUGUUCGCUUCAAAUCAACAGCUGUAGACAGGACAACAUCUUUAAGCUGUAGCAAAGAUUGUGGUUGUGGGUUGCGAACCAGAGAGAAUGUAUCAGCCUUCUUCCCCUGUUUGGCUGCCUUGCUAUCAAGCUGCUUUAUCAAAUCCAUAUUAGAAGGGACAGCUGUCUUGGUUAAUCUUAGGUCAGACUUCUCUAAUCUGUCCUUGUUUUCACCUGACAAACGAGGCAGAGCGUUCCUUCGAUUAUUAUUGCCUGAUUCAGAAACCUUGUUCAAUUUUACAAAACAUGAAUCACAUACGCGAUAUGGCUUUCCAGGAUUUGGAGCCAGUGCAGCUCUUAAUGCUUUCCGAGAACUACAUGAAUGACAGUGCACUAGCCCACAAUUAUAACAGUUGUGCCUCUUUCUAGUGAAUCCAAACGCUUGUCUACAAGCAGAGCACUGAGACUGCUCAGCACCGGAUACCCACUUAUGAAGGCAUAUGGCUGCAGAGUAGUUUGAACCACAAGCAAUAUAUUUCACAUGUCUAUCUUUCAAGGCUUCAACCAAGGUUGGUGUUUUUCUAUCUUCAACAUCUCCAUGACCCAAUCUCCCAUUUGCUCCCUUUCCCCAAGUGUAAACCUCAUUUUUGCACGUUAAAACAGCAACAUGAUAAGCCCCGCAUGCAAUUUCUUCAACAGAUUCUCCUGCAAGCUUGUCUUCAACCAAACAUGGCAGCUUUCCAUCCGACUGGGGAUUCCCAAGCUGACCAUAAACCGUGCUUCCCAUUGUAAAAACUUGACCGGAUGUUGUCAGCCCUACUGUCAAACUGUGCCCACAAGCAAUUCUAUGAAAAUUGUAAUCAAUAAGUGAAGGUACGCAAGUUGGUUCAAGCCGAGCAUCCUUGUCUCCAUGUCCAAGACGGUUUUUAUCUCCAUCACCCCAAGUAAACAAUUUACCUGACGAUACACUAGCACUUGAUUGAGUCACAAUAACCUCUACAACAGCUGCAGUAUGCCACACUCCACAUGCAACAGCUAUUGUCCUCAACCCAGACAAGGAUUCUACUUCUCUUGGAUACGGAACAUUUUCCCUAUCUCCAUGGCCGAGGACACCAAAUGUUCCAUCCCCAAAUGUAAAGAGCUGACCAGUUGAGGUUAUCAAGGCUGUAUGCCAUGGACCACAAGUGACUAACGCAACUUGAAGCCCCUCUAGCGGACCUGCAAUUCUCUUUGGUAUCCAAUGACUAACAUCAGUACCAUGACCAAGAAGCCCAGCAUUAUGAGUACCAUCACCCCAUGUAUACAGUUCCCCAAACAUCGUAACAGCACAGGUAUGGAACUCCCCACAGGCAACAAAAUCAACAGUUGCAGAAGUCAUGGCGUCAACUAGACGAGGUUGAAUCACAUUCUUCCCAACACCAUGGCCAAGGCGUCCACCAGAUUCUUCACCCCAUGUGAAAAGUUCACCCUGCCUUGUGACUAGAGCAGCAUGUUUAACACCACAUGAUAUUUGAAGCACAUCUAAAACCACAUUCGACUCCAGUGGCCUGGGGAGGAGAAUAUCUGUUCUUGGACUGAAAUAACUAGCACUUUUAUCAGCUCCAACUUUUACAACAUUCUCACAGAUAACCUCCCCCCAUAUGUAUACAUCCCCAAGAGCAUCAUAAUCGUCAGGUGCAGACCCAUGACUAGAUGUGCUGGGGGCACUUGAGACACUAACACGAAAAACAUCUGAACUAGAUCCUUUCACUUGCAUAUUUGAUGGGUUUGAUGGUGCAUGUGACCUAUCAAAAUUUACAGUAUUUUCAGAGUGAAAGGAUUGUGGAGAAGUAUUUGCCAGACUAACAGAAAUGUCAGGAGAACUGAUGUCUCGUGAAGCACUAACUGAACUUUCACUUGGACUAUUUGAUGUCAAGUCUCUGCCGUCCUGAAAGAAAUUAAUUGAGCCAGAAAGAAUUAUACGAAACUGUCCAUGUAUUUUACUAAUGAAGCUAUUAUACAGUAUAAUAGUAAUAAUAAUAGUAUUUGGAAAAAUAGAGACAAUUUGGAAAACUUAUAUUCAGUCCAUGAUUCCCAAAAAUACCAUAAUCAACAAAUCCUAAAUUGUGUCCAAAGAAGAACAAAGGCGAAUAACACUUUGUUUCAGAAAACUGCGGAAUAAUCUUUCCAGGAUAAGAGCUAAUCCUUAAAAUCAAGAUAAACCUUCCUCAGAGGAAACACUUGUACUCUUUUAAUGAAGCAGAAAACCAAUGAGCUCCCCUUACCAUAAUUCAUCCAAAAUAUUCAUUUCAAUGAAAAUGAUGAACACACCACUACUGGAUCAAGAGUAAGAUCAAUGAUCUCUUUUCUUUCUCAGUAUAUAUCAUAGAACAAGAAACAUGACACGAGUAAAAUGACAGUUACAAAGACAACAAGAAGGUAUUUUUACAUCAAGAUAGAGGCCUCCAUCACUCCAUCCAUCAAUUUUGGAACGCCCACCUUGACCUGAAGAUAUCAGUGCCUUGAGACCAGUAAUCCACACUUCUGCCUCAACUUUAUCCUUGCAAAUCUGAAACGCAACAUAAAGCAUUUUUAUAACAAUGAUAAAUGCAGAAAAUAGAAAUAAAACAAUGGUGUAGUCAUCCAAGAAACUUCAAAAUUCAUCACCAACCAGAUCAAGGGACCGCUUCCCGUUGUUGUAAAUAAGUGAAAAAGAAAGAUACUCCUUCUCAGGACGCAGAUAUCUUUGGAAAACAGCCUGACAGAAGAGAAGGCAAAUUAAUAACAUAGAAGAGGAGAAACAGUUUAUAUAUCAGUUUCUUUCGGGAUAUCAUUGAGUUAAUAAAGAAGAACGCUGUGCCAUCAUCAGAAAGAUAUAAAACUGUACUGUAGAAAUCUCACAGUUCUUUGUCCAGGAAUAAUUCUUGAGACAGAAGAUAGUUUCAGAUUUCUUUCUCCACUGCUUGAUAUCCAGAUUAAAGACAAUUCAUCCUGUGGUUUACAGAUAUUUGAAUAAGUGUAACUAGAAAUAACUCAAAUUAGUGUCAAAACCAAGCCUACUAUAUACAUGUCUGUUAAGCUUAUAGUCUACAAAGUACAGCCAAGGAGCCAACAGAAAAUAGGCCUUCUUAUUAACAAUCAUGAAUAUGACAGUAAUAGCAUGCAUCACACAAAGAGACGUAAGUCCAAUAACAAAGCUACAAAUCACUGUUGGUUGGUAAUUAGCACCAGAGUGAGAAAAUGAUACCACUUGGGUAACAAGCAGUAAAUCUGAGCCAAAUCAGACAAAAAGAUUUGAGCUUUUAUUCACGUCCAGUUAACUACUGAUCACCUCAACUGGUUAUACCAAACCCAGAGUGCGGAAACAAAAACCAACAAACUGCACUGGACCACAUAAACUCUUGAACUCAUUGCUUUAGAAACUAAAAGGACUGUGCUAAAUUACUAAAUUGUGGACAUAGAAAUAGAAUUGAAAAAUAAUAAUAAUAAUAAUAAUAACAACAACAAUGAUGACCUGCAACCUUCCCCUGAGAAUGAACCAAAGAAUCCUCUGGAUUCAGGAAAGUGUGUAGUUUGGCCAAUCAAACCAUUUUAUAUGACAUACUAGAAGGCAUCAUAUUGAACCAUCUAAUUAUGAUGCAGUCAAACACAGCUAGCACAUAGUACCAAUGAAAAGAAAGGAAAGAAAUGGACAUGAAGAGAUUAAGAGCAAGCCCUAUAGGAAUACUUCGUCAGAGAUUACAAAUAGUUAACGUAGAAACACAAAACACCACAGUAUGACAAACUUUUCCAAUAGAAGAAUAGUGUCUUGUUUGGCCCACCAACAUUUGAUAUCGUUGGUACAACACUUCCCCUAUUGUAGGUUGUGGGGCAGCUACAUGUAUCAAUGAAUGUAAUCAUAACCAAAAUUUUCAAAUACAACAUUUCUAGUAAGCAGGGCAAAUAAAAAUAGCUUGACUGUAUAAUAACAGUUCUGAUAAGUAUUACAAGUACAAAUUAGCAGGCUUUCGGUACAAUAUUUUUCAUAUAACAUCAGCUACCAUGCCAAAGCCCCUAUCUUUCAUAGAGUAAUUUGAAUUGAGCAUAUUAACAGUUUAGUACAGUGCAAUCCAGAAAGUUAAUGAAGCAAGAAAAUUAGAGAAUUCACUAACACUUUCCUGAAAUGAUUUCAUUUGACUUACAUUGGAAAGUCUAAACGGACAAAACUUAGGCCUUCCCUUACGACCAUAUUUAAGUAGUUGAGCACCCUUUUUCAAAACAAUCAAUGCCUGCAGAAUGAAAAGGUAAAAGAUUGAACAUACAAACAAUUAUUUACAUAAAAAAUACAAAAACUUUGGAGAAAUGAGAAAUAACAACGAUCAAGGCCAUCUUGUUGCAUAAAUGUUGUGAAAGUUUCUUAAAAUCUCCAGCAACGAUUUACAACAUUAGGUUUCUCCAAGAAACAACUCUUUCAGCCUUCUUAAUACUUUAACCCAGAUUGAUGGUUUGAAAAUAUUGUACAGACCACAGACUUAUCUGGGACCACUAUCAUUAUUGUCCAGGCAAACAACAAUAAUCGGGUGCUCAAUUUCACUAGUCAAACUCUAAUUUAGGCAUAUUCCAUGUCGUUACUACAACCAAUACAACAACACUGACGCAAGCUUCGAUAUCCCAUAUCAAACUAUCCAAAACAUUUUCAUAAGGUGCUGAAUCAAACUUUUAUCAUUAAAACAUCUACCCUAUUGGCACUUACCUCCUAUUGGUGUUAACAACCUAAACCAAGUCCGCCACAAUACCCCGCGUCUCAUAUGUUAAUUCGAACACAGACAAGCAUCCCUUAUCUUUCCUCUUCAAGACACUCAUAUUCCACGGCAGUUGAAAAAGCAACAGAUCACUAAUCAACCAAAUUCCACUUAACCUUUUCAAAAGGAUCACAGACCCAAUUCACAACAAUAACAGUAUAAAAUAUCUAAUUAAAAUCUCAUCCUAAUUCCAGCACCCCCCAUAACAAAAUAGUCUAUACAUAAAUUCCAUCACCAUGUCUUCACUCCUGCACCGUCACCUCUCACUAUUUCCCAAUCACUUUCAACAAAGAAACACACGCGCGCGCGCACCUGAUCACAAUCAUCACAUUCCCCCAAAAACAGAAACCUUAAAAAAAAAAAAACAGUUCCAAAAUUCUACCAAACAUUUAAAGCAAGAAUCAAACUUUAACUCAAAAAACAAAAUUUUGAUAAUAAACAAGUAACUGACUUGGUCGAUGUCACGGUCGGCAUUCCUGUAGCUAACAAGAUCUGCCAUUCCAUGUGAGAGAUUCACCGAAACGCCACCACCCUCUGCGAUCGCUGCACAAAGUUCCGUACAUCAUAAACCUCGACCUCAGUCUCUCGCUUUCUCUCUCUUCACUUUCUCUGAAAAUAAAAACCCACUUCUUAUUCCCACUCAAAAUGCAAAAAAACCUUCGCGGAUCUAUUCCUUUUCACAGAACCCGAAACCCCGUUAGCCCCAUUCGCAGUUCCAAGUCAAAGACGCAAACUUUUCAACUCAUGCAAAGACUUGGACCGGGUGAGGAAACAAAACGGAUUCGACCAACCCGGUUCAGUUGGAACAUGAGAAGGGGGUGUUUCUUGGAGCCUGAAGAUAAUCUCCGGCGAAGAAUGCGGGUUACGGCGGCGUCGCCGAAGCAGGGGUGGAGGGGCAGAGGAGAGAUAAAGAGUUUUAGAGAGAGAGAGUAUCCAAGCCUGUAAAAGUACAACUAGUCAAAAGAAGAAGAAAGAAUGAAAAGAAAAAUAAAAAAUAAAAACUGAAAUUGAAAACAAGCGCUUUACUGUGUGGGAAUAUAAAUUAAAUAAUAAGGAAAAGCAGAAAGAAACUCUCUUGAAAAGAAAUGAGAAGACAUUUCCAAAGCAUGACUCCUAUUUUUGAAAAUUAAUUAAAAUAUAACAAAUUAACUGAUUAAUUAUGAAGGUUUAAUUAUUUAUUUUUUUGUUUGUUUUUUAUGUUUGGAAAAGAGGCACGUAGGUGAGAAGGAUGGUUUGGUAAUUUGGCAGGGGACAAGGGGGGUAUUAAAGAUUAAUGUUUGGUUAAGGUUGUAAUGAAGGUGAAAAUGGCAAAAAGGCCCUUCACUUGAGUUUUGGUUUUUUCUCUAGAAAAGGAAACGAAUUACUUUAUAUGCGAAAAUACAUUGAUUAAAUUUAAAUUUAAAUUAUAGUCUCAACUUAAAGUACGAAAAAAUUAUCGUUUAUUUAUUCAACAUAAAUAAUAUUUUGAAAAAUGACUGUCUCUAUUCAAAAGAUAAAAUAUAUGCAAAAUUUACUUCAUAUGACGAGUCUCAUUUUAAGUUCAGCAGUUAUAUUUCAAGAGUUAUAAAAUUUACAUGAAUUCUAAUUAAUAAUUUGUGUUAGAAAAAAUGUUGCUACUCACAUUUUUUUUUCUAAAUUUACCCCGGGCUAUUUCUUUAUGCAAAACAUUUUAUUUAAAAUAAAAAUAUCUAAAAUAUAGCGAAAUAAUUGUUUCAUUUUUGUAUCGUAAAUUGCUGAGUCUAUUUUACUGAGUAAAUCAGUUACCUAUUAAUGUUUUUGCUCUUUUUGUGAAAACUAAUUAUGUUUUUUUUAUUAACAGCUGAGAUAUUUAACCUAAAAAGUACACUCUAUGAGAAAUAAAAGACCUUCAAUAAUCAUUAUAUAUUUAAUUAGAAUAUAAUCAUUAAUUAAAGUUGUCAUGUAGCAAAAAUAAUAAAAUUAUUAGAUUUCUUAUUAAUUUAGCAUAUUAGGCCUUUUUGGAGGAAUUAACUCAAAAAGGAGGGGAGAAGUAAAUAAGUUUCUUGUGAAAAGAAAAUGUAUCAAUUUUUCUAGGGUUAAAUAUGUUUUCGGUCUCUUAAUUUUAAGUAAAAAUUGAAAUGAGUAUUUAUUCAAAAUUUUGACCCAAUUUAGUCCUCCAAUUUUAGAAAUGUGCGAAUUUAGUCUUUUUAACCAAAUUUUGUUAAUUUUAUUUGAGGUUUUAAAACAGUAUAAACAACCCAAAUACUAUUAUAAAACAUGUUUGAAACAUCAAAUAAAUUUAACCAAAUUUAAUUAAAAGAACUAAAUUCAUACAUUCUUAAAGUUAAGAGACUAAAUCUAAUUUUUACUAAAAAUUAAGAGAUUAAAAUUAUAUUUAACUCUUAAAUAUGCAAUUACUGUCUCCUUAUAGUUUUUAUCCACUACGCAUGACUUUAUUCAUGUCACUGAUGCAUCUUGUAAAAAAUUAAAUGGUUAUUGUCAUAUUUACUGUUAUGAAAUCAAACAAUAAAUAAAAGGUUUAAACCUCUUUUUGGUCCCUAAGUUAUAAGCGGAUAUUCAGUUUAGUCUCCGUUUUUAAAAAUGUAAAUCUUUGGUCCCUAAGUUUAGUCUCCUUUUUUGACUUAAUACUGUUUUUGGUUGUUUCUUAACAACUGCUACAUCUUUAAAUUACUCUGAUUUGUUUCUUAAUAAUAAGAGCAUUUUAGAUUGCUUUGAUACAUUUUUUAUAACUUAGGAAUCAAAGGUUUACAUUUUUAAAAGCAGAGACUAAACUGAACAUCCAUUUAUAACUUAGAUAUCAAAAAGAAAAGUUUAAACCUAAAUAAAACUUUAAUUCCUAGACCCUGUCAGUGUACCAAAUUUUUUUCAAUAUUAAAAAGUCAUUUUAUUUAUAAUUUAGAAGGAGAACAAUUAUAAAUAAUAAUAAUAAUAAUAAUAAUAAUAAUAAUAAUAAUAAUAAUAAUAAUACAGGUAUAACUUACUGGAAAGACACUUCAGAUUUUAGGCUUGUAAACAUAACAAUCUAUCAAAUAAGUGAAAAGGGAGGAAAAAUAUAUAUAAAUACCGGUGUGUUAUACUAAACAUCUAGAAUCAAAUAAAUAUAAACAAAAAAAAAGUUUUUGUUUGAAUUUUAGUUAUUAGAUUAAAUUGAAAUAAAAUUAGCUAGAGUUAAAAUUGAUUAUAUUUAAAAUGAGAGAGUGUCAUUUUUAGGUAAAAGACAUAAAAAUGAAAGAAAAUAUUAGAGAGAAGCAAAAGGUGAGGACGGGUUUUGCGGGAGGGAAUAGAAAGAUGUAAUGUAGUGUUUGAGUGAAACAAAAUGCAGGUUCUAUGGCAAGUGCUGCUUCUGAAUAAGAUUUCUCCUUCUAAUUAAUCACCAAACCUAACCCACUCUCAUCUUUCUGUUUCACUCUUAGUCCAACCUUCUUAUUUCUCUAUUUAUAUAAUUUUAUCUUUUUAUUUCUAUAAUUCUAUAAAUGAAUUAAAUACUUUUUUAAGUAUCUAAAUUUAAGUGCGAAAUUAUAUUUUUUUUUUCAAUUUUUAUAUAAUUUGAUCACCAAAUUUAAAAAUUGAAUUGAUAUAAUCCUUUUUAUCUAACUUUUUUGAAAUAUUUAUAAGGUGUCAAAUGUAAGUCUUUUUGUCAAAAUUAUUUUGGAUUAAUUUUAUAUUUUUUUUUUGAGAUUUUUACUAAUUUUGACACUUUCAGAAAUAUUUUGAAAAAUUCCUAUUAUAUUUUGGAAACUUGUAUAAUACAUUACAAAUAAAAUUACUAUACGUCUCAGAAAAUUUUGUUGUUUGAGUUUUUGUCGAUAAUUUUAUUACACUUAUAACCUUGUUAUUCACGUCUGUGUUCAAAAUAACAUCAUAAUUAUUCUUAAAUUCACUUAUGGAUGUUGCACAACAAAAUAUUUGGAAUGGAGGUUUUGGAUUCUUGAACACCACUUAAAAAACAUUAUUAGUAAGUACUGAAGUUGACCAAUCGAGUUAAGGAUCUAAACCAAAAAUACAAUUUUCCAGUACUUAAGAUGGUUAAUCAUCUAAAUAACAAAAUUGAUUUUGAAGCCUUUAAAUUUGAAUCCGAGAAGUUCAUUAACAAGAUGGUCCGGCUUAAGAUACAAUUAGAAGAUCUUGAUGCAAAGAAAGCUUUUAACCACCAGAGAUAGAGUUUUUUUAAAUUCUUACACAUUUAGUUUUAAUUUUUGCUUUUCUAUUAUUAUUUAUUGCAUGCAUAGGCAUGGACAUUUUGGGCAACUAGUAUCUUUUGAGAAGUGCAUAUAAAAAUUGUCCCUACUCACAGAGGUUAUUUUAUUUACACAUAAAAUUUUUUUAUCAACCAUCAAAAUACACUCUAAAUAUUCUAAUCAAACGAAGAUUUAUGUUGAACACUUAAACAUUAUAUGCAAGUCUAAAACACUCCUCAUACAGUAUAUUAAUAUAUUUUGAAAAAGGACAAAAAAAAAAACAAAAUAUAAAUUUAUUAUAUUCAAUAUUCUAAUAAGAUAGAAAUGUAGACAUCUUCGUUUUGCAUCACAGAUAAUAUGUAAUCCCCAACUAAAUGAAAGAUGGACUCAUAAAAUUAAAGAAAAGGUAAACGAAGUUUUAGAAAUAUUUUCCACAAUAAUACUAAAUUUUAUAAAAUAAAACUUAAACUUUUUUAUGAAUAAAAUAAUCAGGUCAGAUUAUUAAAAUCACUACCACCAUUAAAUUAUUUUAUAGGUCCUUAAAAUAUAUAAAGAUUCUACAUACCUUGAUUUAAUAUAAUCUCAAUGAAUACAAUCAUGUUGUUCUUUUCUUUCUUAAAUAUACUUUAAAUCCUAAAAUAUGGUAUUUUUCUUAUAUAAUUUUUUAAAUGUAGAUUUUUAUUCGUAAAUAUUACUAAAGUACUUAUCCUUUAAUACCAAAUGAAUGAAUGCAAGUAUAUUGUUCUUAUUUGAAAAAGUAAUGUAAAAACAUUUUUAUAAAUUAAAAUAAAAGGAAAAUAUUUACGAUUAUCCAACUGUGUUUUAUCCGUUCUUCAUAUCUGUCAAAUUCCAUCUCAAUUAUCUUCCUCUCCAUAUAAACUAAUAGAUAGGAAAUGUCACACACACACACUUAUAUAUUUAUUUAUUUAUUUAAUAAAAGAAAAUGACACACACGCAUAUAUAUAUAUAUAUAUAUAUAUGAGUUUGCUAACUUGCGUACGCCUGUUUUUCAGUUGGUACAUUUUAGCAAUGUGUACCGGGUUUUAGUAGACAAAAAUACCCUUAUAUCAUGAAUUUUAAGUUUUAAGGUUAAGGGUAUUUUAAUAAUUUUCAUUCUCAAAAUUAAAAAAAUAAAAAAAGAAACCCCCUAAACCCUUACCCACCUCUGUCAUUCCUCUCAAUCAUUUUUCUUUCAUCUCUUUCACUCCAACCUUUUCUCUCUGUCAUCCCUAUUCUAGUUCCAAUUGAAAAAAAUCAGAAACACUUGCUUUAUUUUAAUCAUUUUCAUUUUCAAAACUAAAAAAAGAAACCCCAAACCCUUACUCACAUCCUUCAUUCCUCUCAACCCUUUCUCCUUCAUCUCUCUCACUCAAACAUUUUCUCUGUCAUCUCUGCCCUAGCCCCAACUAAAAAAAACAAAAACAUUCAUUAUUAAACGAUUUACUUUUGUAAAGAGUUGAGUCAUUGACAUAUUCAUCUUACAAAAAAAGUUCAUUCAAAAUCUCUUUAAUUUCAUUAUUUUCACUAUACAUAUUCUUGCCGACGGGCAUACAAAACAAAUCAAAAUACAAUAAAAUUCCGAUAAAAUCAAAUAAUAAAAAUUCUAAAUCUUGAAAUUUUAUUUAAAAUUAUAUAAAGAAAAAAUUAGGUGCUUUAAUUUUUUUAUUUAUGUAAGUAUUUUUUUUCUCUAACUAUUUUAUUUAAUAAUGAGUGUUUUUUUAGUUGAAGCUAGUGCAGAGAUGACAGAGAAGAUGUUUGAGUGAGAGAGAUGAAGGAGAAAGGGUUGAGAGGAAUGAAGGAUGUGAGUAAGGGUUUGGNGUUUCUUUUUUUAGUUUUGAGAAUGAAAAUUAUUAAAAUAAGACAAGUGUUUCUGAUUUUUUGAAUUGGGACUAGAGUAGAAUGACAGAGAAAAGGUUGGAGUGAGAGAGAAAAGGUUGAGAGGAAUGAGAGAGGUGGAUAAGGGUUUGAGAGAUUUCUUUUUUUAUUUUUUUUAAUUUUGAGAAUGAAAAUUAUUAAAAUACCCUUAACGUUAAAACUUAAAAUUCAUGAUAUAGAGGUAUUUUUGUCUACUGAAACUCGGUACACAUUGCUAAAAUGUACCAACUGAAAAACAGGCAUACGCAAGUUAGCAAACCCCAUAUAUAUAUAUAUAUAUAUAUAUAUAUAUAUAUAUAUAUAUAUAUUAUUGAAUAAGAAUGUCACCAUAACUACCAAUUUGUUCAGAUUAAAUGGUCAAUGAGACAGCAUGAUGUGACUAUGAAACAUUAUAGAGUUAAUUUGAGAAGAACUUUAAUGACUGAAAAAUGUAUUUGUUAUCAAUCUAGACAACGGAUGGGGAGUUUCUUAUAUCAUCAUGACAUCAAGAAAAAUGAAGUUAAUGAAAAUACAUUUGCUACCUGUGUUAUUUUUUUUAUAAUAAUAAAAAAUAAUAAAAUUAUUAUUAUUGUUAUUAUAAUUAUAAAAUUAAAAUAAUUUUGAAAAAUUUUAUUGUAAUUUUUAGGUAAUUAUAAAAUUAAGAUUAAAAAAGGUCAAAUAAGAAAACCAUUAUAUUUAAGUAAAAAAUAUUUAAAAGUUUACAGUUUAUAAAAUACUUAUUUUAAUUUUAAAAAAAUAUUUUAAAAAAAUUGAAAAACAAAUGUAAAAAAAACGGAAUUCUCUACAUAUAGAUAAUAUAUACGUUUGAAUUUAAAUUAUCAAAAUUUAUUUAUUUUAAAUAUUAAAGAUAUUUGCAAAAAAGAAAAAAGAAACGAAAAAAAAAACUAUUGAGUGAACAUAGUUAUAUAUUCAAUAGAUGACUACUUAAGUGUAACUUUACGUUUUUAUGUCUUUCAUUAAGAAGUAGUUACACGUAGGUUAGAAUGUAAGUGUUUAAAUUCACUAAAUAAAUAAAUGCCUCCCAUAAAUUUUUUCUUUUAAACCUAAUACAAGUGAUUUAAGUAUCUAAUUUGUAAAUAUUUGUUCCCAAAAAUGAGAUUUCAAUAAAAAUUAACUAUUCUUACUAGGGGUGGGCAAAUCGAACUGAACUGUACUGCACUGCUAAAAACUGAACUGAACUAUAAAACAGUUCACACAAACUGAACUGAACUGUAAAACAGUUCAGACAAACUGAACUGAACUGUCUUUUGUUUUAUCAAACUGAACUGAACUAUACUGAAUUGUACUAAAUUACAGUACGAACUGAACUGAACUAUUAACUGAAUUGUAAACUACACUAACUGAACUANNNNNNNNNNNNNNNNNNNNNNNNNNNNNNNNNNNNNNNNNNNNNNNNNNNNNNNNNNNNNNNNNNNNNNNNNNNNNNNNNNNNNNNNNNNNNNNNNNNNNNNNNNNNNNNNNNNNNNNNNNNNNNNNNNNNNNNNNNNNNNNNNNNNNNNNNNNNNNNNNNNNNNNNNNNNNNNNNNNNNNNNNNNNNNNNNNNNNNNNNNNNNNNNNNNNNNNNNNNNNNNNNNNNNNNNNNNNNNNNNNNNNNNNNNNNNNNNNNNNNNNNNNNNNNNNNNNNNNNNNNNNNNNNNNNNNNNNNNNNNNNNNNNNNNNNNNNNNNNNNNNNNNNNNNNNNNNNNNNNNNNNNNNNNNNNNNNNNNNNNNNNNNNNNNNNNNNNNNNNNNNNNNNNNNNNNNNNNNNNNNNNNNNNNNNNNNNNNNNNNNNNNNNNNNNNNNNNNNNNNNNNNNNNNNNNNNNNNNNNNNNNNNNNNNNNNNNNNNNNNNNNNNNNNNNNNNNNNNNNNNNNNNNNNNNNNNNNNNNNNNNNNNNNNNNNNNNAAGAGUAGAUACAGUUCUCACAGUUAACUGAACUGUAACUGUUAUAAGUUCAGUUUUUAAAAACUGAACCAUAAAAUAGUAUAAUGAAGUGUUAAUAAAAAUGGAUCAGAGAUACUUUUAGUAUAAUAUAGUACAGUUAACUGCAAUACAGUACAGUUCAGUUAUUUUUGAAUAGCCUAAAUUCUUACACAUUCUUUUUAGUACUGUUGUAUCUCCUUUCUUGGUUAACUUAAAACAUAUAUAGAAUUAUUUUGCCUAUUUAUCUUCCUUUUAAGAAAUAUAUUUAUGCUUAUAAGAAUUUAAAUUGACUGGUCGGUACAGUCUUGUCUAAUUGGCCACUAAAAAUAUUUAUAUCAUGUUAACUCUUUAUAUUUUUAAAUGGACUGUAAUUUUCCGAUUUGGUUCAAUCUUAUGUUAACCAAGUGCUUAUUUGAGUUGUUUUAUUUAUUUAUUAAAUAAAAUUAAUUUAAAAAAAAUAAAAAAAAUAUUUAUUUUGGGAAAAUCCGUAGAAGAAAUGAGAGGAGAAUAAUAUGAAGAUUAGAAAGUGAGAAAAGUAAACAUAUUUAAGAGUGAACACUAAUGAUAGAGAAAAACUGUUGGAAACGACGUUACUUGGGAAGAGGUUUUAGAUCUAACAACAAACGACAAUGGAUGAUCAUCAAUGGACAUUGCAAUGGCCAACAAUGUUCCAUGCUUUUUGGAUAAGGUCAUCACAAUUGCUCUAUCACAAUAUCAAUAUCAUAUCAUAAUCAACAAUACAUUCUCUCACUCAAACUUUUAAACCCUAAUUUCAAUUUCAUACUCCAAACCCUUUUCACCCUAAUUACACUAAUUAAUUGGUUCUAAGGGAAUAUUUUUUCAUUAAACUUAUUCUCUUUUCCUUAAUUAUUAUGCAUCGAAGCAAAGUUCAAUGCAUCUUUCUUUGCUUUUUCUGAAGCCAGACAUGACCAAAUUUUGUGAUUUGUUAGGACGAUGUUUCCAUGAUUGUUGGUUGGGGAGAACUAGCCACUGAAAAGAAAUAUACAUACACCCUUUAUUUAUAUCUACAUUCUGAUUAGAGGUUUCCAUCCAAAUUAUUGCUUCUCCUUUCAUUAAUGUUAAUAAACCAUUAAAUCUUUUAUUUUACGAGUUUCAACUAUAAGAUUAAGCAUUAAUUAGCACAAUUAAGGAUAUUUAGUGUUUUGAAUGAUGAACUUUAUGCCCAUAGAGACAUGGACAGCUGAGGUGUUUUGAAUCUUAAUUCGUGUAAGAAUAUUUAGUGUUUUUUUAUUCUACUGAUUAUUGUGUUCUUUUGAUGUUCCUAUUUUUUCUUUAUAUCGAUAAGAAGUUUAAGUUAGAAGACAACGUAAUAAUAUAUAGUAAACUUAUUUAUUGUAUUCUUUUACAAUCUCAUGAUCAUCAUCGUUUUUCUUAUAUAUAUAUUUUUUUGUUACUGGGUCACCACUCAUUAUUAUUGUCAUUAUUGAUGCUAUACCAUUGUUGCUAUUGUGUUUGUCAUCAUUACUAUCUUUGUAUUACCUUCACUAUCAUUGUUAUUUUUGUAAUUUUAAUUGAAAAAAAUUACGUAAAUGUAAGUUGACCACACCUACAACCUAUUUGGUAGGGAUAUGCAAUUGGACAAACCUAUCGCUCAACCUAAUAAAAGGAAAUCUUAGAUUGAAUUAAGUUGGAUUAAUUAGAUUAUAGUUUUGGCAAUAUUUUCUUUUUAUAAAAGUAGGAAUUUGAAAACAAAUGUUACAUUUUUAGAAUAUUAAUUAAUGAUUAAAUAUUUUAAAAAUAUAUAUUUAAUGUUUGAUCUGGUGCGAAGAUGAAAAGGCAGAGUGGGGGUGGUGGAGGUUAAUGGAAAUAAUUAGAGAAUUAGAAUAAUAGGAAGAUGAUGAGGUUGAAAGCCGACUUUGUUGAUUUGGUAUGAUUUGUGUUGGGUGUAAAAGUGAGUAAAAUCUCGAUGCAAGAGAAGCAAAGCUUGGAAUGAUGAAAAAGAGAAAUGAGAGAAUGAAGACGAAGAUGGUUCCAAAAUCCAAAGGCUUUUCUUUGGAGACAACAACCUAAAAUUAUAUUCCCAAGGUCCCCACUUCAUCUAACACAAUCACACUACCCAACUACCCUUCCUCCCAUUUCCUUUUUUUUCUUUUUGUUUAAUAACCAAUAUUAUCUUCAGUUUCGUUCAGAAAUUUUAAUUUAGUCUCUCGUUUUAAAAGUGAUUGAAAUGGGUUUUUACUUUUAAAAUUUUGAGUCAAAUUAGUCAUUUUGGUCAAACAAAAACAAACAACGUUAAAGGCUUGAUGAUUUGGCAGAAGAGAUAUUAUUUUAUAUAUCUAUAAAAUAAUAUCUCUUCUGCUAAAUCAUUAAAUCCUUAAGAACAUUUGUUUCUGUUUAACAAAAGGGACUAAUUUGACUCAAAAUUUUAAGAGUGAGGAUCCAUUUCAAACACUUUUAAAACGAGGGACUAAAUUGAGAUUUGUCAACAAAACUGAGGACAAAAUUAGCUAUCAAACCUUUCUUUUUCUUCUCUUCAAUUUUCACCAACAUUCUCAAUGCCUACUACACUUACAACCCAAAACAAGAAUAUCACGUGAUUCACUUUAUACUAUUUCUCCUCUUGCCCCUUUUCUCUUUAAUGUUCUCUCUUUUCUCACCUGGCUACAAUAGACAUAUAUAUUGAUCAUGCAAAAGUUUACCCUUCUACACUUAUUGGUGAGAAUGUAUUCAUUGAACGUAAAAGUGGCAUCCAAGUUGAGAAAAAAGGUUUGAAAAUGGGCCUUGGUGAUGCAUUUCGGCUCCCUUCCAUGACCCAGUUGGAACAAAGACAUGGAGAAAGAGAGAGAGAACUUAACUUUGUGUUGAGGGACCGAACUAGUGUGCUUGCAACAUUCCUAACAUGAAUCCUAUUUCUUUGUUCCUAUUACUUUAAAACAACAAAUAGUUGGCAGGCUUUGCCUAUUGUUGUCUUACUCAUAUAGGUCACUGUUGCCAUAGUCAACACCAAUAAUAAUAAUAAUAACAACACAAUGUUCCUUGUUUAGUAGAUUCUAAAUCUAAUAGGACUUGUUAUUACAUGAACCCUAAAUUUAACUUAUGUGUAAAUUGGGUCUGAUGGCGGGGCACGUGGGGUAGGAAGAAGUGGUAAACGUGCUUCCACUUAGAUGGAACAUUUACGUGACCUACCUUUACUAUGUUUGGAUCAACCAUGAAAAUAGUCGAAAAAAGAGAAAUAAAUAGUACAAUCUGUCACGCCACUCAAACACAUAAUUAUAUCUAUAUUUGUCCCUGCACUUUCUUAAAGUGAUUUCAAUCAAUAAUCUUAGACGCAGUACGCUUAUAAUAACGUGUUUCAACUUUGGGAAACUAUAAAUAAUUAUUUAAAAUUGAACUUUAUUAUUAGAACUAAUCCAAACUACACUAUUAUUAAAAGUGAACUUUAAAUUCAACUCAAUUCAAUAAAAUGAGAUUUGUAUCUUAAAAUAAAUUUUAAAUCUAAUUCAAUAUCUUAAAACUAGUUUUUAAAAUGAGAUUUAUACUUUGUUUAUAUAUUAUAAAUUAAUUUUAUAUUUAAUCUACAUAAAACUUUCAAAAUCUAUCAAAUGGGUUUUAUGUAAAGUAAAUUUGUCUGUCUGGCUGUAAAGCUAAUUAGUAUUUUCAUUUGCAUAAUGAGAUUGUUUUAUCAUGUUUAAUCCCAAGUUUUAUGCGUUGUUUUCUUAUAGUUAUGGUUUUCACCUCUCACAUGUAAUUUAUUAUUUAAAUUUAAAAUAUGGGCCACUUUGAAAAAAAAAAAGUGUAAAAGAGAAAUUAUCUCAAUCACGAGCUGUGAUACAUUUAUAAAUAAUUUGAGAGUGAAGGAAAUUAAAAUAAUCUUUAGUUAUAUUUGGAGUGAGAGGAAUUCUCUUUGAACAUUUUAAUCUUAUAAAAAAAUUCUACAUCUUGGAAUGAUUUUUAAGGCUUAUCAAAUUUCAUUUGCAAUACUAAUUUUUAUGUUUUUUUUUUCUAGCUUCUUCUAUACAGGUCAGAAUUUAUAUUUCUCAAUUAUAAAAGUUUUAAAAUCAAUUAUUGAUAAUAUAAUUUUCUAAAUCACAUUUAUUCAUAUAAUUUGAUUAGUAUUAUGAGUUAUGUUCAAUCCCUAGUUAAGUCCAAAAGGAUAAAAAUAAUCUUGUCAAUAUGUCAAUGCAAUAAAAAAUCUUCCUUCGUUUCUCUUUAAUAAAAUAUUAUUCAUUUUAUUUCAUUUUUUCAUUUUUCUCGUUUGUUUAUUUUUAUCUAUUUCAUUUCUACCAACGUGAAUAUCUGUUAGCUGUUUGAUUGUGUACCUAAAAGUAAAAAUUAGAGAAUGAUGUAAAACGAUUUCUACGUUUAAAUUCCUUAAAAUAUAUUUCAUUAUUUCAUAAACAUGGCCCGACCCAUCUACAAAUAAGUAAAAUGGGCCAAUUACAUUUUAUUGGAUUUUUUCACUGUUCUGACUUUGCUGAUCCAUAAACUAUGUGGACUACGCAAAAUUCUCAACCCAUUUUCACUAAUGCAACUCACCCUUGUAAUUCACGUUCUAAUUAGCAAAUAAUUUUUUUUUUAACUCUUUAAGCAUUAUAUUAUUUUUCUUCUGAGGUAAAUAUAAAAUAAACGAUAAAUUCAUUCAUUGAGAAAUAUUAAGAUAAAAGAGACAUAGUAUAAACAUCCAUAUCUACUGCUUAUGUUAAUUGUAUUCUAAUUCUAGGGCAUAAUCAGAACUUAACUCAGGAAAUGACAUAAUUAAUUUAAAAAAAAUGACAUAAUUAAAUUGAACCCAAGCUUUUUACACUUUAAUAUAUUUCUAGAGAAUCUUUUAUUCUGUUUGACUGAUUAUAAGUUAUAUAUAUUAUAGGAAAAUGAUAUUUUAACAUCAAUUUCUGAUACUAUUUUAAUACUGCACAUGUGUUAAAAUGUGGUUGAACGAUUUUAAAUUAAAAAAACCUGAGGUAAAAAUAUAUUUAGAAGAAAAAAAUUAAUUUUUUUUUUAAUUUGAAAUUGUUCAACCAUAUUUUAACACGUAUGCAAUGUAAAAAUGGUGUAAAAUAAAGUUGGUGUUAAAAUAUUAUUUUCCUAUAUUAUAUUAUAUGUCAUCUUGUUAUAUUCAUUUUGGAAAAUGAUAUUUUGACAACUUUUGGAUGACAAAUUUUUAACACCGGUGAUGGGUCACGUUGUCAUUGGUCGACUUUUAAGAAAAUAAGAUUUAUUUUUUUCAUUUUCUUAAAAAUCGACUAAUGAAAACGUGACACGGUGUCAAAAAUUUAUCAUUCUCAACGUUGUGAAAGUAUCAUUUUUCAUUUAUUUUACUUCUUAUCAAACACACCAAAACUAUCCUCAUAGCUGGUGUAGAUUGUGAUAUGAUUCCCCACACUAUUUUAUCUCUCACUCGUUACCUUUCAAGAACGAAAGCUCCAAAAGCAACGACCACUGCCAUGAAACCUGCAACUUCUUCAGAAAGCAACACAUUUCAAGAACCUCUCUUUUGCAAUGCUUUGUUCCUCUCUACCACCACUUUUCUUCUUCCUCCUCAUCCCCUCUGUACUUUCAUUCCCUCUCUUCUCCUCCGACAACCUCACCCUCUACGGUGACGCGUUCUUCUCUCACAAAGCCAUCACUCUCACCACCCACCAACCCACCUGCUCCUCCUCCUCCAUCGGCAGAGCCUUCUUCAUCUACCCCCUCCGUUUUCUUGAUCCCCAAACCAACUCCACUGCCUCCUUCUUCUCCCGCUUCUCCUUCUCCAUCCUCUCCUCUCCCUCCUGCCCCUCCGGCGAAGGCCUCGCCUUCCUCAUCGCCUCCUCCACCCACUUCCCUGCCCUCUCCAUGGGCCUCCCCCAACCCUCCCCCAACUCAACCUCCUUCUUAGCCGUCGAGUUCGACACUAACUUCGACCCCUCCCUCGGCGACAUCAACGACAACCACGUGGCCCUUGACGUCAACAGUGCCUCCUCCUUUGCAUCCGUCGACGCCUUCUCCCGCGGCAUUGACCUCAAGAGUGGCAAACUCAUCACUGCAUGGGUGGAGUACCGUCAUGCAAUCAAGAUGUUAAGUGUAUGGCUCGCUUAUUCCUCCACCAGACCUUCCACUCCCAUUCUUGUUUCUCAAAUAGACCUCUCCGAGAGACUUGAAGACUUCAUGCACGUUGGUUUCACGGCCUCCAAUGGGAAGGGGUCAAGUGAUUACCUUGUUCAUCAUUGGCAGUUCACGACUUUCGGCCAUGACUCUCGCUCCAUGGACGUGAUCGAUGAAGGUGACUGUUUCUUGUGUUAUGAAGGGGAUUCUACGGAUUUCGGUCAUGGUUCGAACAUGAGGGUGAAUGAGAGGAAGAAAAAGAUUAAGGAGAUGGCUCUUGGGUUGGGAGGGUUGACGGCGUUUGUGGUGUCGGUUUUGGCGGCGAUGAUUGUGGUGUGUGUUUUCUUGACAAGGAAGAAAGGAGUUGUUAGGAAGAAUAUGGAGCAAAGGCAAAGUUGUGGGACUCAGACGAGUAAAGUUCCGACUAGGUUGUCACUCUCGGAGAUUAAGUCUGCGACAAUGGGGUUUAAUCGUGACAGGCUUGUUGGGGAGGGUGCCUCUGCCAAGGUUUAUAAAGGGUAUCUUCCCUUCGGAGGGGAUGUGGCAGUGAAGAGAUUUCAGAGGCAAAAAGAUUUGAAUUGUUUACAUAACCCUUUUGCCACCGAGUUUGCCACCAUGGUGGGUUACUUGCGGCACAAGAAUUUGGUUCAGCUUAAGGGGUGGUGCUGUGAGGGAAAAGAGUUGGUCCUGGUUUACGAGUUUCUUCCCAAUGGAAGCCUGAAUAAGGUUCUGCACAGGAACUUCAAUUCUUCCAUGGUUCUAUCGUGGAGGCAAAGGGAGAAUAUCGUUCUUGGGGUUGCUGCUGCUCUGAUCUAUCUUCACGAAGAGUGUGAGAGGCAGAUCAUUCACAGGGAUGUGAAGAGCUGCAACAUAAUGCUUGAUGCAGAUUUCAAUGCGAAGCUUGGGGAUUUUGGGCUUGCGGAAGUGUAUGAGCACAGUUGUAGCAGGAGGGAAGCUACUAUACCGGCAGGGACAAUGGGAUAUCUUGCUCCAGAGUAUGUUUAUUCUGGUGUUCCUACUGUGAAGAGUGAUGUGUACAGCUUUGGGGUGGUGGUGUUGGAAGUGGGAAGUGGGAGGAAGCCUGUGGAAGAUGAUGGCAGUGUGGUUGUGGACUAUGUGUGGAGCUUGUGGGAAAAGGGGAAACUGAUUGAGGGUGCUGAUCCAAGAUUGAUGGGGAAAUAUGAUGCAGUAGACAUGGAAAGGAUGCUAUUGGUGGGGCUUCUAUGUGUGCAUCCUGAUCAAUCGAAGAGGCCAACAGUAAGAGAAGCAGCAAGAAUGCUUAAUAAGGAAGCAGCACUUCCUCUUUUACCUCCUGUUAAACCAAGGCUCAGAAUUAGGCCUAUUUCUCCUCAAACACACCAUGUUCUUGGAGAUUGCCUCAACACAGAUGAGCCUCCUUAUUUCACCCCCAGAAGCCACUUUUACUAGGAUUUUCAACCAAGGAAAAGCCUUUCUUUUCUUGUUUACAUUCUCAAAUCAAAUUUCCCCCCUUGUUUCAAACUCUUUAUCACCAGAUUGUAAGGUUUUCUGACUAACUCACAACAAUCUAACUCACCAACGCCUUAUUUACUAGCUUUUAUUUUUUUUUAAAAUAAAAAUAUUUCUUAUUGGCUAGGAAAAACCGAUUAAUACUCCAAUGUAUAAAUGGAUACAUCUCACUGUUGGUAAUCAAAUUACUAUCACCGAAAAUCAUAUAUAAUAAUAAACUAGUAGAAUUAUAAUAAUUCUCAUCAAUUAAAAGUUUGAUACAUAGCUAAUGAUAAUCCAAAAAUACUAACUACAUUAACAUCAUUAAAGAUUCUAAACAUCAAUUCAUAUCAAUUACAUUAAAUUAUCACACUUUACAUUCAGAAAUAUCUUAUAUAAAUCCAAACUUAUUCAUAAUUUAUUACCUCAAAAUAUAUUAUUCACACAGACAAAACCAUCUAUUAAAUUUUUAACAUAAUUUAAACUCAAUUUUUAAAAUAGUGAUGUAUUGAGAAAAAUAACAUAACCAUCAUCCUUAUCCCAAAAUCACUUUGAUGGAUUAAUUUUUUUUUUUUUUUCUGAACUCUCACCACCUAAAUCUCAUUCUUUAAAAGAGCACACAAAAGUUUAAUAAUGUUAUUCUUCAAAUCUCUACUAAAUACCAAUUAUUAUAUUAUAUAUAAAUAUCAAUUAAGUUUUUGUUAAAUAUCUAUAAAAUAGUUUUCAUAAUAUUAUUUAACAUAAAUAUUUUUUAAAUUGAAGUUAAUUUCUCUUACUCUUAAUGUUAACUCAAUAAAUCCGAACAACAAUAAAUAAUUUAUGCAUUUUAAAAUAUAGAACAUGUAAUUUUAAUUCAAAUAAAUUUUCUCAAUACAUUAACUUUGAUGCCAUCAAAAUAAAUUUAUAAAAAUUAUAUAAUUAUUAUAACUUAGUUAUUCCAAUUCUAUUUCAUAUAUUUAUAAAACAAAUUUCAUCAAACUAUAUAUUAUGAAUGUUACUAAAAAUAAUUGAGCAAGUAUUAUAAUUAAACCAAAGUUCCUUACUAUACUAAUUAUUCCAAUUCUAUUUCAUAUAUUUAUAAAACAAAUUUCAUAAAAUUAUAUAAUAUAAAUGUUACUAAAAAUAAUUUUACAAAUAUUAUAACUAAACCAGCUUUCCUACCAUUUAUAAAACCGUCGGAAAAAAAACCUCUUGUAAAAUUAAUUAUUUUUGUAGUAAUGAAACAAAUCAUUAUUAUAAUUAGAAUAGGAAACAAACCAUUAUUAUAAUUAGAAUAGGGGUUGCAUCGUUAAGAAGAGGGGGUGCGCAUAGUAAGACUUGCCCAGGCCUAAUUUUCUGUUCUCCUUCCCAAACCGAAAACCCCAUUUUUUCUCUGUUUUCAAAACCUCUUAUUCAUCUUCAUUUCUCUCCAGCCCCAUCUUCCCCCAGUUCCCCCGUUUCAGCUCAGAUCACCGCAGCUACAGAUCCCUUUGACGCGCCUCCGUUUCGGUUGAGUCAGGCUGCCGUCGCUGGGGUCGUUGCCGCCCCCACCUGGGUUAUCACGUUUGGGGUCUUCCGCUCCAUCUUCUUCUUCUUCUCUAACACGUGCAAGGGAGCGAGCAGUGUCUCUAUUCUUCCUCUUUCACGCAAGGCGCAUCCAAGCCAGGUCCGCCGCCGCUGUGCCACACACUGCCACCACCGCGCAUCGCCGCUGCUGUCCGCUCUAAGUCAGGCCAAAGCCACCCUUUGUCACUGCGCAUACACGGGGAAACGCAGCUUGCACAGUUUGAAAGAGUCUCACUUGGAGCAAGUCCAUUAGUAAACCAAUCUUUAUAACUAUAAUAUGAUUCGGCGCUAGGUAUCAGGUAUGAUUGUCAUAGUUUUAUAAAAUGUAUUGUGGUUAUAUUUCUAGCCAUUGUAGGACAUCUUAAAAUAUUCUUGUCAUGCCAAGACUAUAUAUCUUCCAUUGGCCCAAUAUUUAAGCUAGAUAGACUCUAAAAUCAUAUUAGAAAUGAAUUGGUCUUAAGCCCAAAAAACGGGGGAGCAUUAUCCAAGUUUUACAAAGAGUGUAUUUUAACACUGUAUUUCUAGUAAAUAAGAUAUAUCUUAAUAUGGGAUACUAAACGGCAACUGAAGAAUAGUGUUAGAUGCACAGGGUUAGAAUAUUUUUUUAUACUGUUCUUUAUCUUGACUUUCUUCUUUUUUUAUGUUCAUGUAAAUGACCUGGAGAAAGUAUACUCAUUACAUAUUUAUUGCUUCAUCAGUGACUUACAUACAGGCAGAGGAUUGUUCAGUUGGGUGCAUUUUUGUAGUUAUUUAUUUUGUACCAACUGACUGCAUUUCACCUGUAUGAUUUAUUUUGUGUCAACUGAUCUCAUAUUCAUCUGAGGCUAAUUUUUUGGAAAGUAAAGUAUACUAUAAGAAAAAUCAUUAUGUAAUUAAUAAUCAUAAGUGUAAAUCUACAUACCAUCUAAUUUAAAUCAUUAUGUAAGUAUUUAUAUACAAAAAUACAUUGAGAAAAUAUUCUGCACCACCGUUUUAGUUACAAAGAUCAGAAUUAGCUAUUCACUCUUCACGUAUCUGCAGGAUUAAAGUAUUGGUUAUAAUUUCUAGGGACAAAGAGACAAAGACCUAUCCUCAAUUAACUUAACAUAUUUUGUUAAGCAUCUGUUUAUACAUACUAACAUUUGUGAUAGAUGUAACUUUCAUCUGUAGGUCCCUAAGUGAAGAUUUAAUGAACGGUGGUUUGGCGUCUAGUAACUUAAGGGCAGCUUUCUCCCAUUGCGUACAGCAAGUGCGAAGUUAUGAUUAUCAUCACUAUCUUUGCCUUCUGGAGCUGCCUCCAUCCAUGCGGAAGGCUGCAUUUGCUCUCCGUGCCUUGAAUGUUGAAACAGCUAGAGCUAUGGAUAUUGCUUCCGAUCCCAGGAUUGGCCUUAUGCGUCUUGUCUGGUGGCAGGAAGCCAUAGACAAAAUGUUCGCCAAUAAAUUGAUUGAACACCCAACAGCACAGGCCCUGUCAUCUGUGAUAGCUGAGACCAAACUUAGCAAGAUAUGGUUGAAACGAUCGGUUGAGGCUCGGAUCAAUGAUGCAAAAAGGGAGGUUACUGACAUGCCAGAAAGUAUCGGAGAGUUGGAGAAAUACGCCGAGGACACUGUAUCAACUAUGCUGUACCUGACACUUCAAGCAGGUGGUAUAAAGUCUACUGUAGCUGAUCAUGCAGCCUCACAUAUCGGCAAGGCCAGUGGCAUUCUCUUGCUCCUCAAAUCACUGCCAUACCACGCAACUCGCAACCGACAUUUUUCUUACAUCCCAACUGCAAUAGCAUCCAAGCAUGGGUUAAUAGUUAAGCAAGGAGAUGGGGAAGAGAGGUGGGUGGAUUCUCGCGAGGGCCUCUGUGAUGCUGUUUAUGACAUGGCAUCAGUAGCCAAUGCACACUUAGAAAAGGCUCGGAAGUUAGCUGCAAGUGUGCCUGCUGAGGCUCUUCCAGUGCUCCUUCCAGCAGUGCCUUCUCAGAUUCUUUUGGAUUCCUUAAGAAAGGUCCAAUUUGAUGUGUUUGAUCCAAGACUAACAGGAGGGGUGCUGGGAAUACCACCUUUGUGGUACCAUCUCAAACUCAAGUGGACUUCGUGGAGAAGGAAAUACUAACAUGACUAAGCUUUAGUGAAUACAUAAUAAAAAUUUGUUGAGUGUAUGUUUAUGCCUUUUCAUUCUGCACAUAAUAAAAAUUUGUGUACUCGUCCCUUCCUUGCGGAAAGGUUAAUACGUUUUGUUUACAAUUAGUUUUAGAAUGUAAUUUGAGUUGCACAAGUUAAGGUGAUUUUUCUUGUUAGUAUAUUUUCUUUAAAGUGGUUUGGAAUACAAAUACUUCAAAUCAGUCUUGUUUUGUAUAACACGGUUUGUUCUUUGAUCAGGAAUUAAGGACUAACUCAAAUCUAUUUAAACAUGCAUGAAGACCGAACUCCUGGUAAUAUGCUGUGAUAUCAAGGUUGUUUAUUAUUUAUCAAUCGCGUUAUAUUGAUCUUUAAUAUGUGUUCUGGGCAUAGUGAUAAUAAUUUACAAUUCUAAUCAAAGUAACUCAUUGGUUUUGAAAAAUGUGAAUUGUAUCGAGGAAGAUUAGUCAUAAACUAAAUCAAUAAAUACUUCAUCACACUUAAAUAUGUAAUAUGUAAUAAAAUAUAAAAUGAUGUACAUUUUUUGUAUUUCAUUUGUUUUACAAUAAUUUUCUACUAUAUUUUACUUGAUAUGAUAAAAGGUGUAAACUUGUAGAGUUAUAUAGCUUAAGUGAACAGAUUGGACCAAAAGUUAGAUGCAUUUCUAGAUAUUAUGUUUACCUAAGAAUGAGAUAGUCGAUAACUAAACUAGACUAUUUUUAUUAAUGUAGUGUAAUUUCAUUAUGAAAUGACAAAAUGGUGUACUUUUUAAAUUAUUAUAUUACUUUCUUGUAUAAAAACAAAAUUUCAUAAAUUUCUAACAUUAGUCCAUUACAUCUAUUUAAAUUAUUAUAUCACUUUCUUGUAUAAAAAUAAGUUUAAUUUAGUUUAAAAUCGUCCCAGAUAGUACCAUCGCAUUAAGUAUAAAGUAUCAUUUUUCAUUCAAAUAUUAUACAAACGAUUAAGUUGUAUUCACGAUUUUGAUUGGGAAAAAGUGAAGUAUCGUAUUUAAUAUUUGCGACUUCACUCUUCUCAAUUUUUUACAUUACAAUUUAUUUCUUUUAUUUCAGUUAAACAUUGUUUAAUAAUUUGAUUAAUAAAUUAAAAUUUAAAUAUUAUAAUAUUAUCAUAUAACUCUUUUACCAUUUGAUACUGGAUAUGAGAUAAUACUGCAUAACCAUAAGAGUCAUUGUACUUAACCCUACCUUUAACUUAUUUUCGAGUUCUUUUUUAACUAUUUCAUUAGACUAUACUUUAUUAUCUUAGAUUCAGUAAAACAGAAUACCUUAUAUUCGUGGCAUUGUUAUCUAGACAUUAUAUCUUUGGAUAAUGAUCCAAAACCAGAUCUGUCAUAACGUGACAGCUUGGCUCACUAAGAGCACUUGGAAACCUAGGUUUGCUUAAAUGUUAUGUUUUUCAAGGAUUAUAUUCAGAGUUUUCUUAUGCACAGAAACCCCAUGUAGAGGCAAGUGCAAAGCAUACUAACUUUGAGAUAAGCUACUUCUCUGCCUUCUUCAAUCUACUAAAACCAAUACAUAAUAAAGAAAAGGAGUUUCGAGGGAGAGUUUAGAAACUCAUGGUUCUUAGAGGGACUGAAAAGAUUUUAUUUAGUUGCCCCUGCCUCUAACAAAUAAGAUGUUUCCUUAUAUAGAGGAAAAGAGGAUUACACACAUCCUAUUAGAUAAAAAAUUUCCCCGAAAGGAUUGGCUCAUCUAGAUUACGUUGAGUCCACCUUAUCUUAUCUAAAUUACAUCGAGUCUACAUUAUCUUAUAACAUUAUUAGGGACCUCUAUAGUAUAAACAAUCUUAUCUUGCUUUGUUAGAAAGCAAUGACUUUUACUUUUUACAAGAAUCUUGCUUACUUUAUAGCUGCUGAUGCGAACAUAUUCAGAACUGACAAAGCAAGAUAAGGUUGUUUGUACUUUAAAGGUCUCUAGUAAUGUUGUAAGAUAAUGUGGACCCAAUGUUAUCUAGAUAACAUAAGAUGGACCCAAUGCAAUCCAAAUGAACCAAUCGCCUCGGAGAAAAAUCUUAUCUGAUAGAAUGUGAGAUAAAGUGUGUAAUUAUCUUCUCCUCUAUAUAAGGAGACAUUUUGUUUGUAUAGAGACAAAAACAACUAAAUAAAAUCUUUUAAGUCCCUCUAAGAGUCAUGGGUUUCUAAAUUCUUUAUCCCUCUCUCGAAAAUAAAAAUAACCACAUAUAAAUUUUAAUAUUCAAAUUAUGUAAAGAAAACAUGAAAAGUUAAAAAAAAAGUUUAAAAAGAAAAACAAAUUAUAAAUUUUAAUUUUAAUUUAUUAAUCAAAUCAUUAAAAAAUAUCUCAACAUAAAAAAAAAUAUCUAUAUGAAAUUUAAGAAGUUCAUAUGUCAAAUUACUAAAACAACUAAAAUAAAAUAAUGUUUAUGUAGAAAUUUAUUAAAACGUUAAAAAAAUUAAAAUAAAAAUACAGUGAUGUUUAUUUUAUUGUUGACCCUGUUAUUUAAAUUUAAAAGAGUUAACUAUAGAUUGCUCUCUUCAAUUUUAAAAAAAAUAUAUUGAUAAAAUUAAAAUAAUAUUUUUUAUUGACAAUAGUGUCUUUUUAAUAAUAUACCAUUGGAUAUGCUUUUAGUCUGAUCUUCACAUGACUGCAUAAUAGCUUGUCAAAAGUUGAUAGCUAUAGAGAAAAACGACAGGUUCUCUUUUCUUGGUACGAAGAACCUAUGUCAGAAUUUGGGUAUUCAAUGGCGUGGAAUAAAUGAAGAAAUUAGAGAUCCAAUUUUAUUGUUUGAAAAUUGGUUGGGGUAAUCAUAAAAUUAGCAAAUAAGGUGGUUUAGCAUUCCUGAUUAGACAAUAAUGUAAAAUGCAUUUAGAUUACCAUUGUAUUUCAAUUAAAUCGAAAAUAAUUAGUAUCAAGCUUUAUCUAUAAUAAUAAUAGUAAACAAACCAUACUGGAUAGUUAAACAGUUUUUUACAUUCUUGUUUAAUUAUAGAUUAUCUUGUGUAAUGAUUUUAUUAAUUUCUAUAAUAAAACUGUCACUUUUUAUAAUUUAUCACUGUUAACAGAGUCAAUUUCGAAAACUUGUAAUCUAUAAUAUAUGCAUUAAAAGCUUCAGAUACGGUUCAAGGCAGUGUGAGCUAAUUUAUAAUAUUCAUCAUAGUCAAAUAAUAAUAAUAAUAAUAAUAAUAAACUAGAGAUGGAAAUUACUAAAAAUAAGUAAUUCUUAUAAAAAAAUAAAAUAAAAUUGUAAAUAAGAAAAUACUAGAAAGAAUUUGGAUUGAAAUAUGCAAAACUUUGUCUUUAAAGAAAGGAUAAAGAUACUUAGACAACAUUUUUUUGACAACAUUUGAACACCAUCAUACGUGUCACUGUGUGAUUGGUUUAUGGUAGUGUCAUUGUAUCAUUUGGACCAAUCACACAAUGACACGUAUGAUUGAUGUUCAAAUGUUGUCAAAAAAUGUUGUCUAUCUAUCAUUACCCAGAAAGAAAAGACAUUCUUACUAUGCUGGACAAUAUAAAAUAUUAUAUCAAAUUAAUAAAUUGCAACCAAAAAUCUAUAAUUUUUAUAAACAUUGAUGUUUUAAAAGAAAGUAUAACUAUUGUUUUUGUUGUAUAAUAUUUAUAAGAAAAAAAAAUACUAAUAAUAAUAAUAAUCAUAAACAUAAUUGUGGAGUAAUUUUUGACCAAUCACAUGUUGACACGUAAUCAAUGUUCAAAUGUUGUCAAAAAAAUGUUGUCUAAAUAUCAUUAUCCUUAAAAAAAUUAUCACAAAAAUAAAAAAUUUAACUCGUUAAGGGUGUGUUCACUUGGAGGUGAUGAUGGGAAAGUAAUUAGGGGAGAGUGAUUGAGUGGAUUUGAAGGGAUUUGAGGGUGAUUUUUUCUGUGUUUACUUGUGUGGAUUUGAAGGUAACUGAGAAUGGAUUUAGGGGUGAAGUUUGUGAGAAUUAGUGUAGAAUUUGAUUGAUGUGACAGUUUUAAAAAAUUUGUUUAAUUGGUAGAAAUUAAAGAUUAUCAAAAUGUCCCUAAGUAUUAAAGUAAUAUAAAAUAAUAUUUGUUAAUGUUAUAUAUUUAAUUGUAAAAAUGUUUAUUAAGAGUAAAAAAUUUAGAAUAAUUAUUAAAAAUAGAUUUAAAAAUUUAAUUAAAUUAUAAUUUAGUGAAAUUACGUGAUACACACAAUUAAUUCCUCCACCUAUACAAAGUACAGUAAAUAAUCCCUUCAAGGUUAACCAGUGUGUUUUUAUAUAUCUAAGUGAACACACCCUAAAAAUACCAAAUUUGAUCAUUUUAAAAAUAAAAAACUAAAUUGAAAAAAAAAAUAUUUAAAAAGUCGAAUAGAACCAAAUUUAUGAUUAAAUCUAUUUAUUAUGAAUUAUCAAUACACAUAAAAAUUAAUAAUUUUUAUUAUUAAAUGGAUUUAACAAUUAUAAUUGCUGUUUUAAAAGAAAAAUAUUGAUCGUAUUAAAAGAAGUGGUUAGUAUUUAAAUAUAAAUAUGAUAUACACAAUAAUAUGCUAUUUUAGCAUUUUAUAAUUUUAUAGUAUUUUUUAUCAAUUACAUUUUGUUAUUAAUAUAAUAUUACCUAGAAAGGGUAUUUAACGGUAAAUAUUUGAAUAUAUAAUAUUGUAUUAUAGUUUUUAUUGAAUCAAGUAUUUUUAGCUUAUAUUUGUGUUUGAUUUUAUCGAAUUAUUUUGUAAGUUUUUAAUGAUUAUAUUGUUUUUUAUUAUUAAAAUUUAUAUAAUAUUUUUUAACGAGAGCAGAGGGUAUGAUAGUAUAUGAUUGUGACUCUUAACAAAUUUUCUUUAAAGAUGUAUAAUUUUAAUUAAUAUAUUGUAAUAUUUUUAAUGCACUAGGCUAACUUUGAAUUAAAUGAUUAUUUAAUCGGUUUUUUUUUUUUGGUACAGGGUUAGGAUUAAAUCAAAAUACUUAUUUAAACUUUUUUUCCAAGUUUCGUAAAAGUGUAUCUCAAAAAUAUUUUGUUCAGUUAGUAAAGUAAAAUUUUAAUUUUGAAAUAAUGUAAUUAUUUAUCCUUUUAAUAUAAAUUUAAUCAUAAUCCAAUACUUAAUAGGUAUACUUUAUUUUUAACUUGAUUCGAAUCAUAAUGUACUGCUGUCAUAGAUCACUUAUUCAAUAAUUAACCAGAUAAUCCUACAAUAUCAUUUUAGAUUCAAAGGUAAUAUUUUUAUAUGUUUUUUAUUAAUAUUUCUUUCUUAAAUAAUCUAAUAAGAACAAAAAUAUAUCGAGCUAAAUAGUUAAAUAUAUUAAAAAAUAAUAAUAUAAUUAAUUAACAUGCCAUAUUAAGAAAAUUAGCUCAAUUUUUUUUAUGAGAAAAACUUAUUACAAAUUAGAUUUCAGAAAGUUAUUCACUCUUUAUUGAUAACACAGGAUAUUAUUUAGUCUUACAAUAAAUAUUUAGAAAAUUAUUUUUAACAUAUUUUUGUUUGAUUAAUCGUGUUAAAAUAUUUAGCGUAUGAAGACUAAUCUCUAACAAAAAUACAAAUCACUUAAAUUUCAUUUAUGAUAAUAAGAGUUUAAAAUUCAUGUUAUUAUAUUUCAAAUUAAAACACGAUGAGAAAUAUCUCUUCUAAAAUGAUAGGUAAUUAUAGUUAUUAAUAUUUUAUACCUUAUAUUAAUAGAAAAAUGAUUUUUCAUUAUAUUGUUGUUAAACUUAUAUUCAUUUGUUUUUCUACAUGAAUUCUGUAUCUUCCAGGGAAGAGAUAAAAAUGUUUAAGUCACAUAUUAAUAUUAUAGGUGGUGAAAAUUAAUCCAAAAGUAUUUAGCAAAUUAAUAUUUGAACUCGAGUUAUGUUACAUUGAAUUUAAAAUUAAUAUAUUUAAUAUAUUGCCUAUUUUAAUUUAAUUUUAUGAUAACGUGCUAAUUUAUUCUACAGAUGUUAUAUAGAAGUGUGAGAAGAGAGUAGUAAAAAAAAGGGUUUAAUUGUUUAUUUUAUCUACCGUUUGGUUGAAGUGUGUCAAAUUCGUCACCGAAAAAUGUCAAUUUCAUUGUCAUAUAGUAAAAAUUUGUGUCAAUCAAGUUAUCUUCGUUAAAAAUUAUUGUUUUCAAAACUCACUUUAUCCACUGCAAAAUCAAGUAUCGAAUCCAUGAAGUGAAGUUUUUAACACUAUUAGUUUGUUUUGGAUGGAUAUGACUUGAUUGACACAAAUUUUUUUCUAUAAGAACAAAAUUGACAUUUUUUUUAAAAAAGAGGAAUUUGCCACAUUUUAACCAAAUUAAAAAAAAAACAAUUAAACCUAAAAAAAAAAUUUCCCAAAACGAAAAUGUUGUGCAUGUUGAGAGGAAUCAAAACGAGUGCUUUCUUUUCCCCCUUCUACCAACAAUUAUGAUUUAGUUUUCAGCUACACUUCCCUCUCAAAUCAGAACAACACGUCUUUCAUCACGAAUCCUUCUUCCAUAACCCAUUAUAACCCUUCGCGCUGCUCCAACGUCUACAUAUUGUCAUCAAAAUGGUCAGUUUUUUUCUUUCCCUUUUCCAUACGAUGAUGGAGUAAGGUUUUCUGUUCUGCGGGCUAUAAAAAACGUUACCCUUAGGAAUAAAAAUUGAAAAUUUAUGGUGUUUGUUUAGUGGGUCUCUGUCUUUGAAGAUGCGAGGUAAGUGGUUUUUGUUUUCGGUGAUGUAAUUUCUUCCGCUGAGACGUUGUUUUUUUUUCAUUGUGCUGUUAAUUUGGUUGGUAAGAGUAAUGUGUUAUAAAUGACAAUUCCAAGGUUAUAGCAUUCUGGUUCUGUAGAAUAGUUGUGAUUAUAGUUUGGGAAUUUUUGAUUUGGUUACCAUUUUGGAGAUUCCUGUUGUUGGUUUGUGGAACAGGCAAUGCAAAUGAUGCUAUUGUGAUCUCUACUGUUGUUGGUUUGUGGAACAGGCAAUGCAAAUGAUGCUAUUGUGAUCUCUAGCUAAUAUUGGACCAUGAGUUGAAAAGGGGCAAGUGUUAUUAGUGUUUUGGAAUUGUUCUUUACAUCAACCCAUAGAUACAUGACUCAGAAGAUAAGCAUAAUAUAUGAUUUGGCUUUUGCAUGCAUCUAUAUGUUAUAGUAUUUUAUGGAAGAGGGCGUGAUUGGAAUUGCACUUGUGAUAUUGUGAACCAUUUCAGUUAAAUCUUUAACCAUUGUUGUAGGAAACUGUUUGUCUCAAGUGUGGCGAUAAAGGCUUUGAAGUUGCAUUGGUUUUUUGCUCUGGGUGUCAGGCUUAUGCGCUACAUAGGUACUUAUUGUCUGUGCCCUCUUUCUGCCUUCUUGGAUGCAGUUAUAGCAAUUUAUUAUAUCAUACUUAGCUGAAAUGCCACUACUACUUUAUGCUGCUUGAACAUUCUGUAGAACUUCUAGAGUAAAAACAAAGGAUGUAAGACUGUACUCUCUAUAGCUUGAAAAUCCAAAAAAUAAUUGGAAUGAUACUCACUCCUUAGUAUUGAUACCCUGAUUACUUUUAUAGUGUGUAGUGAUUUUUUUAUCCAUCACGUCUUUGUAAAGCAUAUAUGUGCUUUUGGAGAUCAAUGUAAGUUCUUUUAAGAUUAUGAUUUACUUUCUUAGCCAGCUUUUAACAUUAUUACAUAGCUGAUAGUGCCUCUCUUUUUACUGCCAUACACAACCUUGAAAUUUAUAUUGGUAUUGAAGGUGUGACCAAGGAGUGUUCCCAUUACAGCUGGUUUGGAUAAACCGAAGGAUUAUUGAAGAGACAUGCAACAUCAUUGAAUAAUUCCCUUUUUAAUUGGAUCUAUUUUUCUCCCAAUGUUUUAUAAAAAUAGAAAAACUUCAAUUUGUAAAGUUGCGGUUUCAUGUUCUUUAACUCCUUAGUUGACCUUUGAUUUCUUAAUUGUCCUUUUUUAUAAGGUACUGUUUAAAGGGAGCUGUGAUUUUCACUGGUCCUGUUAAAUGGUUCUGUGAUGAUUGUGUAAAAAAGCUAAGCUUACCACCUUCUCUCGACCAAUCUACACCUCUUUCAUCUGUAACAAGAAACUACAAAAAUUUGGAAAAAAAUGCAAUCCAAACCAAAAGAGUAUUUACAAAUAUCGAAGAGAGAGUGAAGAAACGCCAUAAACUGCUAAAAAAGAAGACUAAAAAGGAACAUAAGAAAGGAAAAGUCAACUCUGCCUUCGUUGAUGAAACAAAGGGUGUACUAUCCGGUUCACAUGACCUUCAGCAUCCUCAAAACAUUAUCAGCAGUCAGGAAGAACGUGAGGUAACGAAUGAGCGUGAAGCAGCUCCAAGGGAUGUAACUAGUUCUGAUUUAGGUCUCCAAUCUGUUCCAUUUUCUGAAGGAGCUACCUGUAAUGAUUCAAGUUGUAUAGAACUAUACGGUUGUGUUCAUGCACAGCCUUUAAUUGAUCCGAUCUGGAGGUACAAAAGUUGUUUUAUUACCUUCAUUUGAAAUUGGUGAACUUCUACAGCUGUUGUGGUGAAUAUCAUUUUAAGUUGAAUUUUCUGGUUAAUAGGGGAAGUAUAUACUUCUGCAAUGAAACUAUUGGUGCUGUCAGUGGACUUCUUGCUCAUAUGUCCGAUUUAGCAUGCUCCAAAGUUGUAGAGGAGACAGGACAUUUCCCAGAAGUGCUUCAUGCAGAAUUGGUUCCAAGGUCUACUGUGUGGCCUGAAAGUUUCAAGAGUAGGGAGCCAACUGAUCAGGACAUUGCUCUUUUUUUCUUUCCCGACAGUGAAGGGUGAUUUUUCUCAGACACUUUUUGCAUAAUGUUACUCUUUUUUUUUCUUUAGUUUGAUGUACCUGAAUAUUUCUUCCUUGGCAGAGCUGAGAAGGUCUUCGACGCUCUGGUUGACGAUGUCAUUUCCCAUGAAUAUGCCAUAAGAUUUGUGGCUAAAAACGCAGAGCUUUUAAUUUUUCCUUCCACCGACCUCCCAAUCUCUUGUUGGAGUGAGCUUCGUUUAUUCUACCACUUUAGGGGUUAAUUUCAGUAUAGCUUUAUCUGUUUAGCUUGAGAUUACAGUUUAACUCGUUUGUCUUUUGGGCAGGAUUUGAAGCUAAAUAUUAUUUGUGGGGUGUCUUCAAAAGAAAGCAAACUCGGGAACAGAGAAAUAAUGCUGCAUGCAGAGAUUGACGAAGCUCUUAGGUUAGCUUAACCAUAGCCAUAGACAUAGUCCAUCAUCCAAAAAGCAAUAGUGCUAACAGCUACAGUUCUAAUGCGUAGCACUCCUUUGCUCACUGUCACUGAUGUAAUGAUCAUAUUACAAGCAUGUUGAAGAUUAGAGUGAAUAGAAUAGAAUAGAAUGUGAUGAAAGCAAGAGAUGGGAUGGCUCAUAGGUACACGCUUGUUGUGGCUAGUUCAUUGUCCGAGAUAUGAGCAUACAUGGAUGUUGUAGGAACCUUUUGAAACUUCCUGAUUUUUUCUGACCAAAGUCUUUGAUUGUUGUAACUGGUAAGCACUGUGGCAUUUGUUCAACAGUCUCGGCCUUAAUGUGCCAUAAUCUGUCUUACUGAAACGUUUUUUAUCACAACGUUAUUUAUAUUUCAGGAAGGUUUGGGCCUGUAACUUGUAAUCCCACCUUUGUUCUAUGCGUAAAUAGGUGGAAACCAUGCAAAUUUAUGUUGAUAUUGCAUGUUGGCACUGUUAAUGUGACCCUGCACAAAUAUAGUGGGCCAAAACUGGUAUGACGUACCCGUUUUCUCUCUAUCUAAGCUUGGAUUGGACUAUAUAGCAUCAUGAGGUUACUUCCUACACCACUCCACAUUGUUCUCUGCACCACUAUAUUUUUAAAAAAUUCCAAAACUAUCUUUUAUAUUUAAAAAAUCCUACACCUCCACUUGUUUUCUUCAUAUAUAUAAAAUUUCUCAAACAGAUGUUGAUAUUUGUUAAAGUUUCCGAAAAAUCUUUCAAUGGAUGUCAAUAUUUAUUAAAGAAAUUUUUAAGCUUUCAAUGAAUUUCGAAGUACGUUGAAGUUUUCGAAAAUUUCUUCAAUGGAUAUUUUUUGUAUGUGAUGGUAUAAGAAGCAACGUGGGUGGUGCAGGAAUAAACCCUCUAACAUAAUCUUAUUAAGGAGAUAAUAAUUUUUGGAAGAACUGAACUUGAAGUAUUUCUGAUUAACGUAAAGAUUAAGAUAAUUUUACUUUCCUAUUGGAUACAUAAGACAAAUAAUAUAUAUGAUUGUGUAAAGCACUAAUCAUCAGAUAAGAGGGAAAUGGAGAGAGAUGUAAAUGUGAACAAAGAGUUUAAUGUUAGUGUGCUUUUUACGUGAUCAAGUAAAUAAAAACAAUUUUAGAUGACUUCCAAGAUAGUUACUAUAAAACUAGUAAACUUCUAUAUAAUAUGUAUUAAGAGUUAUGUAAAGUAAUAUAUAUUGCUAAUAGGUUCACAUUAAACUCAUGAAAAAAAAAAAAAGUUAACACUUGAUGGCUGUUUCUUCCUGUACCCUAUUACAUUUCUUCCUCACCCCAUUUCUUGCACUCUAUUAAAUUCCGAUAUGAUACGGGAAGAAAGUGGCACACUUAAUAGUUCUUCACCUUGUUCUAUGAUAGAAUUGGGCUGCUGAGAUCACUGUGUGCGUCGAAUUGUAAUGUUUUUUACUGAAAAACAGAGAUUGAAGAAGCCGUAGCCUCCUGAAGACUCUCAAUUGAAUAUGCACAUUUACAGUAGUGAGCACAUGUGGUGUCGCAUACAAAACAAUGUAGCAUCACAUCAAUACCAAAUUAGACAAUGAAACAAUUUUAUAUGAUGAAUGCAUUAAAACCAACUUUGCAUUUUCUACAUUCAUAUCAUGACGAUAAUGUAUGACAAAAAAUAAAAUGAUAAUUUUUAAAAAAUGUUUUGGGUGUAGAUUCUGACCAAACUUAGUUAAAGUUUGAUGGAUAAAAUUCUUAGUAUUGUAAUAAAUACAUAAUAAAAAGUUUAAACAAUCAUAUAUUUUAUUUGAUUUGUGCUUAUAGUUUUUUCAAUAGACUUUUCAUUAGAAUUAGUUUCAACUUCUUUUAAAUCUGAUUAGUAACAUAUUUAGAUUAAAUAAAUAUUUAGCUAACUCUACUCUACUAAUGACCAAUCAGUUUUUUUGGUAUCAAAACAAUCAGUUAUAUUAUUAUAAUGGGUAUGUACCGGUCACCGUUCCUCCAUACAUACAAUAAUGUAGGUUUGCCAAACUGCUUCAUUGGUAUGAAACUGGAACCUUCUUAAUUUACAAUUGCAGAAGGACAAAUUAUAGCAGUAGUCAGCACAAGUAUCACGCCCCAAACAAAAAACAAUGUAACAUCACAUCAAGAACAAGUUAAAUAUGUUUCAUGACAAUGUUGUACAUACAGUGAACGCUACGAUAUUAAAGUUGGGCUUUUUCCCAAAUUCUUUUUGACCAUGGAUUUUCUAAAUUCACAAGUUUAUAACGUUGUAUCAAUAUGUUAAAAAAAAGGAAAAGAAAAGAAAAUAUAGUGACAGAAUUGUAUACUCGUAUUUAGGAAUCAUAAUGUGCUUCAAAUUACAGGGUUUUGGUGUUUAUCUCCCUCUGGUUAACAACAAUAUUUGUCUAUAUGUUUUGUUAAUUUUAAUUUAAUUUUUAUAUUUUUAUAUAAGAAAAAUAAGUUCUCUAACUUGUUUAAAUAUCUGGAUUGACUCUUUAAUUUAUAAUUCUUUCGCUAAUAUAGUAAAACAGUUACAUAUUUUUAGAAGUUAUAAUUAUUUUCUUGAUUUGAAAAUACAAAAUAAAAAGUUUGACUAAGAAUAUAAGAUAAAAACUAUUUUUUAUUAUUUUCAGCCAUCCAACUCUACAUUAUGUAAAUCCUAUUUUUAAUAUAUAUGGUUAAGAGUUGUUUAAAAAAUAAGUUUUUUCAUACGAAAUAAAAAAAAACAAAUGAAUUUAAAUAAUAAGUUCUUACAAUUGCGUCAAAUUAAAUGUUUUCAUUUAUAUUUUUUGAGUGAUUGUGAAAACUACAAAUUCUAUUUGUUUGGCAUUAUUAGAGACAUAAGUACAAUAAUUAGAGGGAUAAGGUUGGUUUUGAGUGUAUUAGGUAGCAAAGUAAUGCAAUUUAGUCGUAUAAUAAUUGGUUACAAGGAAGAAUGCAUGAACACCAAAAGAGAGAUCUAUCUCCCCUCUCCCAACAUGGGUUACGUAAGUGCUUACUCAACCUCAAUACAUAUAAAUCAAUAGAUAGCUAAGAUGAAUAAAAUUUAAUACACGUAAAAUUAUAAUUUAACACUUAAUUAAUAAAAUAUAUUUUUUAUAUACAGUUUUUAAUGAUGUUACCCCUCUAUGUAUAUUUAUCGGACAUGAAAUUGUGUUUAUUUUGAUGAUACGAUUGAGAAGAAAUGAGUGACAAAAUGUGCGUACGUCUCAAUCAGUGAACUACGUCCAACCUAAUUCAAAUUUAUUAUUGUAAAUUUGACCAUUAUAGAUAAUAUCAAAUAUGGUUGGAUGUGGAUGGAUAAUGGGUCCAGAUUUAAGUUAUAAAGAAGAAAGUGAGUCAUCAACCACAAAAGAAUGUAUCAGCGGCUGACAUUCCACAAACUUAACCACCGUUUUAAAUCCACUGCAAAACUUUUUAUUUUAUACUCAAAUCACGAAUCGGGUCGAAUAUCCAGAAUCUGUAAUUUAAAUUUCCACCGUUUAAACCUACUUUAAUCCAAAUAUUUAUAUUAAAAUAACCGGAAUUCCUAUAACCCGACCCAGACCUCUAUUUUUCCAUUAAUGGUUUCUGAAAAGUGAGUGAUUAUAAAAAAAUUGGAAGAAGCUUUGUAGUGAUGGAUGAAAGAAGGAAGAGAUGGUAGAAGGUAGAAGAAUAAUGUGUUCCCCAUAUUCUUUUAUGGGUCCAAAAGACUUUCUUUUGUCGGUGGUUCUGCAAAUCGUAAUUGGAAACAAGGAGAAAAAGAAAGAUAGUGGAGAGAAUAUAAAAUAGUAAAAAGAAUGUUAAGAAAGUGUACGGAACUCAGUACCCAUGAAGUAGCUCAAUCUUCACUUUUUCACAAAUUUCUCAACUUUUCCUUUUUUUAAUAAAAAAAAAUAUUGUAAUUAUUAUUUAAAAAGAAAAACUGAAGUCAGUUUUUCAUUUUAAUUAAUUUACAUUUUCUUAAAAUGAUUUAAUUUGAUUAUUUUGGUUAAUACUGUAUCAAUGAGGUUAAAAUUAGUAUCACUGAUCAAUUUAUAAUUAUUUUAAACAUUUUAUUUUUUGUUUUAAAUUUUUUCAUGUGUCAUGUGGAAUGAUUAGUGUGAUAUCACGUGAAUAGAGUGUCCAUUUGAUUAUUUUUUGUUUAUUAAAUCUAAUUUAGUUUCAAUUUUUUUUAAAAUAAAUAAUAUUAUUUCUUUUUAAAUUGGAAUAAUUCUUUUUUAUAAAUUUUAUACUAUUAUUUUUAGUAAAAUUCAGUUUUGUUAAAUAUUUUAAAAUUAUCUUUAAAAUUAUGUUAAUUAGAGUUUGAACUGAUUAUUCAAUCUAAUAUAAAAUGGAAUACAAAUAUAUAUUUUCUUAAGAUUUAAGCAUUAACUCUACAUUAUUGUUAUUAUUAUUAUAUAUUUAUAUUGUGAUUUAUCUUAAAAUAAAUAUUUAAUUUUAAUAUUUUUUAUAAUAGAUUAAAUACGUUUUUAAUUUCUUAAUUUUUAACUAAAACUAAAAUUAAUCUCUUUGAAAAUUUUGUUUAACGUUUCAAAUGCGUUCUCAACUAAUAUUAAAAAAAGUCAUAUCAAAAGAUAUAUAAUUUAAAUUUUAUCAUAAAGUAUGUUUAAAAUAUUAAAUAAAAUUAAUAAAAUUUGAUUAAAAAUUAAAUCUAUACAUUUAUUGAAUAGAAAAACUAAAUUAUGUUAAUGUUUCAAAGAAAACUAAUUUUAAUUUCACGAAUUAAAAAUAUAUUUAAGCCUUUUGUAAUUGUUGUCUCUCUCUCAAAAAUUAUUUGUUUGUUUCAAUUUGAUAUAAAUUUUAAAGUUAAUUAAUUUUAAUAUAUUUUUCCAAAUAUUUAAUAAAAAAUUAAUUUUAAUAGAAAUACAAAAAAUAAAUAUUUGUCUCAAUUUGAAUAGUAAGAGAGACGGUUUUUUUUAUUUUUACAAAAAUUGAAAUUAAAUUAAAUAUAAAAAACGAAGAUAUAAAUCAAAUUAAGACUUUGCCCAUAAAAAAAAAUUACAAGUUAACAAGUGACAGUAACUUUAACAACGUUUGAACAUUAUUGACAAAAAUAAUCCAAUUAAAUUAUUUUGAAAAAGUCAAAACAAUGGAGAGAAAAAAAACUAAAAAAAAUGGACUUGACAUUUUUCAACCAAAAUAAAGAUCAACAGAAUAAUAAAAAAAAAAGGACUCAUUAGUUUUAAAUCAUAUAAAAAAAAGCUUAAUCAGAUUUAGAUAUUCACAACAUUUUUUGAAUCCUGGAGUAUAUUCAUGCAUAAGAAAGCUAUUCGCAUAAUAAAGCCUACAAGUUAACAAUUUCUUAUUUUCCUUUUUUUAUUUUUAUAUUUAAACAAGUUAUUCUUCUUUAUUUAAACUUUGUAGCAUAAAUAAAAUUAAAUAUUAAAUGAAAUUAGAUUUUGAUUUAAUAGAAAGUUGAUAAAAAGAUAUUCUGUUCACAGGUUCAUGAUUAAAAUAUAAAAGUAUUAACAAUGGUAAUCAUAUUAUUCAUAAUUACUUAUAAUUUACUGUUUGCUGUAUCCUUUUUAUGUCCAAUAGAGAGAUUCUUUGGUAUUUUGUGUAGUAUACUACCUUCACUUUCUUUUUCUUUACACUCCAAAGCUUGCUUUCUUUCUUUCUUUUCCUCUUUUGUUUUCCUUUAAUAGUCCCAAAGCUCUCUUUCUUUCUAUUUUUCUUUCUUUAAUAUUAGAUGAACAAACUACUAAAGGAUAUGUUGAGCAAAACUAUUUUUUUAUUAUUUAAAUUAGUAAAUAAAUUAUUUUUUAGUUAAUAAAGUAAUUUUUUGGGUAUUAAUUAAUGUUUAUAAAUUAAUUAAACAAGUUAGUUGUCAUCUUAUUGACCUUAAACACUCGUAAUGAAAUUUAUUUUAAUAAUUAAACAAAUUAUAAAUAAAAACUAUGAUUUUGAAGAAGUUAGUAUGAGAGAUUUUGAAUAGAAAUAUUUGAAGAAGUUAAUAUAAUUUAUAAAGAAUAUUUUUCUUGUAAAAAACGUUAUUAAAAAAUAUCAUCAUAUAUAAUAAGUUAUUAGAGAGAGAAACACAGAAGCAAAGGCUAAACCAUGUUUAAUGUGAUCAGAAGCGACUUCAUCUUUUUAAAUAAAAAAUUCCAAACUUUGCAAAUUAAAAAAAAAGGAGAGAUUUUAAACCAAUAAUAUGGUUUAAAAAAUCCAAAAAUUAUUUUCUGUCUUUAUUCAAUACCAGCAAUAUUUAUAAGAAAAAGGUAACUAGAAGCUUACAAUAAAUAAAUGUGCAGUAAACAUAGAUACUAAAAUGCACUAACUUUAGUAGACAGAGAUCUAUUUGAAUAUUUGAUGGAACCCAAUUGAGUUGAGAACGCAAAUACCUUGAGAGGAAUGUUACCACAACUAUAUAUAUAUAUAUAUAUAUAUAUAUAUAUAUAUAUAUAUAUAUAUAUAUAUAUAUAUAUAUAUAUAUAUAUAUAUUAUUUUUUUUUUCUAGGGUAUGAUUAUGAUAAUUAACAUUAGGCUGCAAACCAACUUACUAAAUUACUUAUAUUUUUAAAGGUUAUCUUUAUUUAGUUUUAAUAUAAUCGAUUGCAUAAUAAGCACCUAAUAAUUUUAUUUAUUUAUGCAAUAAUUAUUAUAAAAAAUAAUUUAUUAUUAUAUUAUUUAUGUAUUUAUUAUAAGUAUUAUUUUAUGCGUAACUACAUAUACUAUUUCUUAAUUGAUUUUACGAAAAUAAGGUGAGCAAGAAAGAAAAUUUGAAUCCAUAAAAACAAGAUGAAAGUUUGGAAAUAAAAGAACGUGUGGUGUAAAUAUCUUUUCAUACAAAGAUGAAUAGUAAUGCAAAAAAUAACACAAGAUAAUUUGUCAUAUGUUUUUUUAAUCACAACAAUUCACAUUAAAAAUAAUCACAUAAUUAACUAUAAAAUCAAUUUCUUUAAAAUAUAAGAAACAAAAUUAGAUCACAAAAUAUUAAAUCACAGUAUAUGAAUAAAAAAAAUAUAUGGUAAAUGAAUUAUACUAAAAAAAGUUAUUAUUUUUUGUAAUUCUUUUAAUUAGAAUUACUUAAUUUUUGACUUUGUUACUUUACCUGAAAUCAAAGUCAAAAAGUAAAGAGAAAAGAGAAAUAGAAUAAAUAAAUGAAAAGCAAAAGAGUUAAAAGCAUUGGCACCCAAAAAGCCUCGAUCAAAGCAACAAAUUCGCCUCAAACUAAACAAAUAUAAAUUUAAGGGAGGGAGCUAUCAUUUUCACACAAUAAAUCAUAUAUGAUCUUAAAGUUUCGGAUUUAAUAAUUUUUUUACAAUAAAACAUGUAUUACUAGGUUUAAUUAAAUUAAAUUUUUAAAAAAUAUUUAAAACAGAUCAAUCAUAAAUUAUUUAAUAUAAAUUAUAAAAUAAUUAUAAAAAAAAAUUUAAAAUCUUUUUUUUCUUAAAAUUUGGGAUUGAGAUAGGUAUUCGCAUUUUAUUUGUUGUUUUCUUUUCAAUGCCAUAAAUUCAAGAACUAAAGUUUACAAGUUAACAUUGGUACAAACGUUGACAAUGAAUAAGGAACAAAAUGAGAAUUGAGUUGGGAGAUAAGAAACAAAAUUAAACUUAAUUAGGCACAAAAUUCCAUGUGACUUGCUUCGAAUGUUGGGUCUGCUUUAGUAUUGUUUGCCAUGCUUGCUAAUAAUAUAUGCUACUCCACUUCUCUUUUCUCCUAUGAUUCAUAUAUAAUAUAAAAUGCUCUCCUAUGUUGUUGGGUUUUGCAUGCAUGUACAUAUAAUUUAUAGGUUCAUUCAAACCAAUCUACUCCUCUUUUUAUUAUUAUUUUCAUCACCACCAUUCUUUAACUAUUCAUACAAAACAACCCAAUCAAACAUGUUUACAUGUACAGUAGUAAUGCCACUAUGUAUUUAUUUUUUAUUUGGUUCUCUUUCACCGUGAUGUCGAAAAAUAUUAAAAUAUGUAAACUUUAAGUUUAAUCUAAUUAUAUAAAAUAUGUUUAUAUAUAUAUAUAUAUAUAUAUAUAUAUAUAUAUAUAUAUAUAUAUAUAUAUAUAUAUAUAUGAUGUUGAAAGUUCUACGUCGACUAGAGAUAAGGCCAAAUUAUGAUAUAUAAUUGAGGUGCAAACCUCACCUUACAAGCUGGUUUUAUAGGAUUGAGUUAGGCUUAAAACUCAUCUUCUAACAUGGUACCAAAACCAGGUUAAAGCCUAUCCUAACGAGUUCUAAGUAGGUAUUUCUGUUUCUAUUUCACCCGUUGUUGGGUCGGACAUUUCUAUUUCUAUUCCACCCGUUGUCGACUCUUAUUAGACCAUCCAAUUUCUACUACCACAUACGAAAUGCUUAUAUAUAUGACUAUAAUUUGAAAAAAUAGAUUUUAAGUUUAACUUAAUUUUUAAAAAUGAACUUAUAUGAUGAUUUUUUUUAUUCAAUUUUGAUAAGAGUCUUUCAAUAAAAUAAUUUUAAUUUCUUUUGUCUUCUGUAGGUUUAUAUAAUAUAGAUCAAUGUAAAUAGCAAAUAUGAGCGUUAUCUCGAGCACCAUCACUUACGAAUACUAUGUACAAGUCUAGUGAAAAGGAAAAGUGUCGUAUGAGAAAACUUAUAAAGUAUUGCUAUUAUUCAUGACAAAUCAUGCACAUUGCAGUAUUUUAGAGGAAAAUGAUUACAGGGUAGAUCAUACUGCUAUUAUAAUGAUUCUAUAAUAAUUAACUUAAAAGUCAUAGAUUUUUAACUAACUAUUAGUGUGAUUUUUUUUUUUUUUUGAAAAAGGACAUGACCAACUGGUUACAAGUGGGAGUUUAAAAUCCUAAACCCUAAAGAUAAAUAAAAAUAUCAUCUUUGGAGUUGCACUCUUAAAAAAUAAGUUUUAACAAACCACAUAUUACAAAAUACUAUGUGGGAUUUUGUUUAAAAAUUAAAUUAUAUUAAAUUAAUUUGUACCAAUUGAUUUUUAAUAUGUUAUAGUAUUUAUCAUUUUAUAUUAAAUUUAAUCUUGCAGUUAUUUUCAUUAAUUUCUAUGAAAACAUAAUUGGAAAAUGAAAAUCCAAAUAACCAACCUACUGCAAAUUGAAUAUAAUCACAGAUUAACUUAAUUAUAAGUGAAUUAGAAGGAAAAAUGUUUUUUAAAUUAAUUUUAAAUUUAUAAAAUAAAAUUCAAAGAUUUAUAUAUAUUCUGACACCGAUCAAAUUGAAUUAUUGAAGGAUCCAUUUUACUUUACCCACAGAAAGCUACAGUAAAAAAUGACAUUUAAUAUCGAAAUACCAAAAAAACAUAACAUUAAUAUAUGAAUAUUCGUUGCAUUUAAGUCUAAAAUGUUAUAAACUAACAAUAUAAAUUUAAUCAUUAAUUUGUAAAACUGAAUAUUUUUAUAUGGUUCUCAAAAAAAUAUAUUAAGAUUUUCUCACACAAGUCGAACUCAAACUUAUUAUAGUGGUUUUUUGCCCAUUUACAAGAAAUCUACACAAUUGCAGAAUAUUCUAAAAGAUGUUUUUGAUAUUACAAGUAAUAUUUUAAGUGAAAAUAAAACUGCUACAGUCUUUUGCAAUAUUAUAUUUUGGCUAAAAGUGAUGUAGUCAGUUUGAUCUUUUUUGGAAUUUUGGUAUUCUGGAGACGAAAAUGUGUGUGAUAGAUGAUUCUCCAAUUGCUUUUAUUUCUUCAAAAGUAUAUAUAUAUUUUUAAUUAUACAUCGAUAUAAAAAAAAUGAGUUGUUAGGAAGUCUUAGAGAAAUUAAAAAAAAAAAUAUUUUAAAUUUUCAUCGGUUUUUUUGACUAGGACGAAGAAGAUGCGCGAAAAUUUUAAUUUGGUUCUAUUAAUUAACGUUCUCAGUACAUAAAAAGAAAAUUAACUUUUUAAGGAAGGCGUCUACAGUUUAUAAGAUUAAGUUGUCUCAAUCAAAUUGAAUUUCAAAUAUUGUUUUUCAGAUUUUUAAAAAAAAUGGAGAGAAUAAAAAGCUUUUAGAAAUUAGUUAAUUUUGAAAUUAUCUCUUUUGUAACUUAGCCGAUUGAAUGAUGAAUUCGGUGGUUUGGUCCUUUUUCUGGAGAUGGAAAAGCAUUUUCCUUCUUUUAGCCUCCAUUACCAACGUACACGUAAAAUGAUGGAAGACAAUGCCACAAACCGACCACAAGUCUAAAUAAUUAUUAUUACUAUCCCAACUUGACAGUGACUAAUUAUUUAACACAAACGAAAAAUUGCGAUGAUUUUUGACGCCAUAUAACUGAAUUAUUCACCUUCUUCUCAUUAUGCAGUCGAAGCCAGAAUUUACAUUCCAAAUAACAAAUUAAACACACAUCCGCUGUUUCUGGGAACAACACAUUAAGAUGCAGACAAAUAAAACGGUGAAAAGGAAAGGAGAAAUGUUACUACUACUAUUACCAUGUUUGUUCUAUAAAUGCAAAGAUUCUUUGUACCACCCGCAAACCCGUCAUUUCGUGUUUUGUCUAUCUCUUCUUCUUGUUCUUCCACACACGCUUCUUUAUAAUUCGGCUUCACUCCAUUUAAUGCAAAUUUAUGCACCAUUUAUGUCUCUAUCUCUUUCCUGAUCAUGCAUGUAUGCAUGUUAUGCUUUUCUGCUCGAUUCAGCUAUAAUAUAUACAGGGACUCAAGGACCACGUUUGGUUAAAGCUCCUUUUGCUUCUUUUCUUUAUUAAGGCACACACUUCGCUCUUCAAUCUUACACAUGAUUCUUCCCUUUCCGCCUUUUUCUCUCUGAAGGGAAUGCUUUUGUGUGAGUUGGCAACUUUGACGGGAUCACAAUUAUUCACUCACAAUUAUGUACAAAAAUUUAACUCUCAGUCUAAGUUUCACGUUAAAAAUGAAAAAAAAUUAAUUGUUUUUAAAAGAUUUUGAUUUCAAAUUGAUAUCAAAUUGAUAUACUUAGGUUUCAUUACUAUUGUAUAUCUCGAAAGCUCCAUCAUUAUGAACACAUUUCUUUUGUAACUUUUCAUGCAUUUAAAGGACCAUCUCACAAGUAACUCUCCAGAAGCACAUGCUGCUCACUAUAGGGUUCUUGUAAACACGCGUUGCUCUCUCGGUGUGAGGUUUGCAUGCCAAUAUCAUAUAUAUACCUCUCGUCAUUGUACUUCAUCUAUACUCUAACUGCAUAUGCAAAUGUGCUUUCUCAAAUUGAUCAUUCGUGUGUGCUCAGACUUCAGCUUAUAUUGAUUUGUAUUCAAAGCUGCUUAUAAUAAAUGUAUUAGCAGAAGAACUUUGUCGAGUGUGUUUCUUUUUUCAAAACCUUGCCUUGUUCAUGAUCUCUUUUUCUGUUUUUCUUUUUUUUUUUUAUGCCUGUUGAUGUUACAGAACAAGGAGAGCGAGGUUUUGAGCAGCAACUAGAAGGCAAAUAAAAUGGAGAAGUUUUGCAGUAUGUUUUGUGGGGAAGCUGGUUGUUCAGUGCCAGGAGGGAAUCCUUGCAUUUAUGAUUUUGAGUUUCUGAAAGAUCCAUCCUCGUGUAUCAACCAUUUGCUAUUCAUUUGCAUUGAUGUGUUGCUGCUGGUCAUGAUCUCAUUUGCAAUCCUCAAGAAGUCAUCAGAGAAACCAUCUCAGGGUGUAAUCAGAGUGCAAAAUUAUUCCAAAUUGCAGCUAGUGUCUGCCAUAGCCAAUGGCUCUCUGGGGCUGAUACAUCUGUGCUCAGGCAUUUGGCUUUUAGAGGAGAAUCUGAGGAAGGCACAAACUGUUUUUCCUCUUGAUUGGUGGAUGCUAGAAUUCAUUCAGGGAUUCACUUGGUUGCUGCUGGGUUUUACAAUAAGUCUUCAGCUGAAAAAACUUCCUAGAGCAUGGUUAUUUAUGUUUUCUAUCGUAAUCUUCUUGGUUUCUGGUAUUCUCUGUGUUUUAUCCUUGAUUUAUUCAAUUGAUAACAGAAAACUAUCCCUGAAAAUAGUUCUAGAUGUUUUAUCUUUUCCAGGGAUAAUUCUGUUGCUAUUAUGCAUUUACAAGGAAUCUAAGUACAGAGACACCGAUAGAGAAAAUAAUGGAAGUCUGUAUACCCCUUUAAAAGAAGAGACCAAUAAAGUUGACUCUGAUAGUUAUGUUACACUAUUUUCAAAAGCUGGAUUCUUCAGCAGGAUGUCAUUUUGGUGGAUGAAUCCGUUGAUGAAAAGGGGUAAGAAGAAAACACUUCAGGAAGAGGAUAUUCCAAAGUUGAGCGAAGCAGAUCAAGCAGGAAGUUGUUAUUUUCUGUUUCUAGACCAAUUGAACAGACAGAAACAGAAAGAACCAUCAUCGCAGCCAUCAGUUUUGACGACAAUAUUUAUGUGCUACUGGAAGGAGAUUUUGAUAUCAGGAUUAUUUGCUUUGUUAAAGGUGAUCACUCUCUCUUCUGGCCCUUUGCUUCUGAAUUCCUUUAUAUUGGUUGCUGAGGGUCAUGGGAGUUUCAAAUAUGAAGGCUAUGUCUUGGCCAUAUCACUAGUCUUCACAAAGAUCAUAGAAUCCUUAUCACAAAGGCAGUGGUACUUCCGCACCAGACUCAUUGGUAUUAAAGUUAGAUCAUUGCUCAUUGCCGCAAUUUAUAAAAAGCAACUAAGGUUGUCUAAUGCUGCAAGAUUGACGCACUCUGGUGGUGAGAUAAUGAACUAUGUGAAUGUGGACGCCAAUAGAAUUGGAGAGUUUCCCUAUUGGUUUCACCAAACGUGGACAACAAGCGUUCAGCUAUGUAUUGCAUUGGUGGUGCUUUUCCGUGCUGUUGGACUGGCAACAUUUGCCUCAUUGGCGGUGAUAGCUCUAACUGUGCUCUGCAAUACUCCACUUGCUAAGUUGCAGCAUAAGUUUCAGCGAAAACUUAUGAUGGCACAAGAUGAGAGAUUGAAGGCCACUUCCGAGGCUCUUGUGAGCAUGAAGGUGUUGAAGCUAUAUGCGUGGGAAACCAAUUUCAGAAAUGCAAUUGAAAAGUUGAGGGAUGUGGAACUGGAAAGGUUGUCUGUGGUGCAACUGAGAAGGUCAUAUAGCAACUUUCUCUUUUGGGCCUCACCUGUUUUAGUCUCUGCUGCUUCCUUUGGGGCAUGUUACUUGCUUAAUGUUCCUUUGCAUGCAAAUAAUGUUUUCACUUUUGUAGCAACUUUACGCCUUGUUCAAGAUCCUAUUAGAACAAUUCCUGAUGUAAUUGGAGUGGUCAUUCAAGCAAAAGUUGCAUUUGCAAGGAUUGUAAAAUUUCUUGAGGCGCCUGAACUGCAAAGUGAAAAUGCUAGGAGAGGUUUUAGUGACAAUAAGAGGGGCUCAAUUUUGAUCAAUUCCGCUAACUUUUCAUGGGAAGAUAACUUGUCAAAACCAACACUGAGAAACAUAAAUUUGGAGGUUAGACCAGGGAAAAAAGUAGCAAUCUGUGGAGAAGUUGGCUCAGGAAAAUCAACCCUUUUAGCAGCAAUUCUCAGAGAAGUUCCUAUUACUCGUGGAACUGUAAGUUUUAACCUCUUGUAUGCUUACAUAAAACACUGCAAUAACUUGUGAGAGCUUAAGUAGUUUCUAGCACAUAACUUAAAUUUAAGGGUAUUUUAUUCCCAUCUCCAUUUCAGUAUAGAUUUCAAUAUUGUACUAAUAUAUAACUGAUUUUCUUUUUCGAAUUACAGAUUGAAGUUCAUGGAAAAUUUGCCUAUGUUUCUCAAACAGCAUGGAUACAGACAGGUACAAUACGUGAGAAUAUAUUGUUUGGAGCAGCCAUGGAUGCUGAAAAAUAUCAAGAAACAAUCCAUAGGUCUUCACUGAUGAAGGACCUUGAGUUGUUUCCACACGGUGAUCUCACUGAAAUAGGGGAGAGAGGGGUCAACCUGAGUGGAGGUCAGAAGCAGCGAAUUCAACUUGCUCGCGCUCUUUAUCAGAAUGCUGAUAUUUAUCUCUUGGAUGAUCCAUGCAGUGCUGUUGAUGCACACACUGCUACAAACUUGUUCAAUGUAAUGGGAAAAAAAAACACCAGUUCUUCAUAUACCAUAUUUAUGUUUGCCUUUUAUUGAUAGACGCCUUUGAAACUUCACAGGAUUACAUCAUGGAAGGACUUGCAGGGAAGACAGUCUUGCUUGUGACUCAUCAAGUUGAUUUUCUUCCAGCCUUUGAUUCUGUUUUGGUAAUUUUCUCAAUCUUAAAAGACAUCGAUCAUGUGAAUUCUAAUUAAUGACUUUAGAUUUGUUGUUUCGAUUCAAAAGUUAUGUUUUUUUGUUUGUUUAAAGCUAUGAAUGAUAACAAGAUGUUUACUUACAGUUGAUGUCGAAUGGGGAAAUCAUAGAAGCUGCUCCUUAUCAUCAUCUGUUGAGUUCAAGCCAAGAAUUUCAAGACCUUGUUAAUGCUCACAAGGAGACCGCUGGUUCUGAGAAACUAGUGGAUGUCAGUUCUUCUAGUAGAAAUUCAAAUACUGUUACAGAGAUUAGUAAAAUAGAAAUGGAGAAGCAGUGUGAAACAUCAGAAGGCAGUAAAUUAAUAAAGAAAGAGGAGAGGGAGAAAGGAAACAGAGGGUUCAAACCUCACUUGCAGUAUCUAACUCAGAACAAAGGAUAUAUAUACUUCUCUGUGGCUUCUAUUUCUCACCUUAUUUUCACAAUUGGCCAGAUAUUUCAGAACUUAUGGAUGGCUUCCAGUGUUGACAACCCUUAUGUCAGCACAUUAAAAUUGAUUGCAGUGUACUUGUUGAUUGGGUUUAUUUCUGCAUGUUUCUUGUUCAUCAGAAGUCUUGUUGUGGUUGCUAUGAGUAUUCGAACAUCAAAAUCUUUACUUUUACAGCUACUGGACUCCCUUUUUCGUGCACCUAUCUCAUUUUAUGACUCCACACCUUUGGGAAGGAUUCUUAGUAGGGUAAACAUAUCAAAUAAUAUUUUUUUUUCCUUGCUGUGAAAUGAAAUGAAAAUUUUAAUAUUUUUAAUAUUAUCUCCUUGUUCAGGUCUCCUCAGAUCUAAGCACUGUUGAUCUCGAUGUCCCAUUUGGCCUUAUUUUUGCUGUGGGAGCUACUGCAACUUGUUAUUCAAAUCUUGCAGUUAUAGCAGCCAUUACUUGGCAAGUCCUGUUUAUCUCUGUACCAAUGCUUUACAUAGCAUUUCGCUUGCAGGUAUAACACAUUCUUUGAUUUAACCAUGUAAUAGUAUCAUAGAUUACUUUUAUUUGAUAGUUAUUAAAAAUAUUUUAAAAAUAUAAAUACAUAUACUUUUUAUUCUAUAUUAUAUUAUAAAUUAUGUGUUUAUCAUUUUAUAUAUAAUUAAAGAAGGUACACAGAUAAUAUAUAAGAAAUACAAAAUGAAAGUUCUGUGAUUGAUUACCUUAUUUAAAUAAUAAAAAAUAUUAUUUAAAAUACCCUAAAAAUUAACAGUAAGUUAUAAAGUUUAAUUUUAGGUCAUUUUCUUAUUAAAGAAAAUAAGAAAUAUAUUACUUAAUUGAAUUAUAUAUCUAAAAAUAAUCUAACUCUCUUUAUUUAAAAUAUUUUAAUUUUCUUAACUAAAAAACAUAAAAAAAAUGGUAGGAAUCUAAACUUACGUAAAAAAAUUGCAGUCUAAAAUUAAAGGAGAUCAUAUUCACAGGAUUAAGAAAUUAUGUAAGCUUUUAUUAUGCAUAACUGUGUUAAUACAAAAUAUUGUUUGCUGGAAACAUAGUCUAAUAAGAAUGUUAUUCUGUAGAGAUAUUACUAUGCCACUGCAAAAGAAUUGAUGAGGAUGAAUGGCACGACAAAAUCUUAUGUGGCUAAUCAUCUUGCCGAAUCUAUUGCUGGAGUUGUGACAAUAAGGGCUUUUGAAGAGGAGGGUCGUUUUUUUGCUAAGAAUCUUGAUCUGAUUGAUGUCAAUGCCAGUCCUUACUUUCAUACCUAUGCAGCAAACGAAUGGUUGAUGCUAAGGUUAGAAACAAUAAGUGCAGUGGUUUUUGCAUCUGCUGCACUCUGCAUGGUGGUACUUCCACCUGGGACUUUCAACUCUGGUGAGCCUUCAGUUUUUUCUAUCUUUGAAAUUAAUGUCACUGUAUGUGUUCUGUAAUAGCUUACACAUUAUGUUCAUUGUCUCACCAAACUUUAACAUUCUAUCUUAUGCAUGUAUUUUCUGUAUUUCAGGGUUUAUUGGCAUGGCUCUCUCAUACGGCCUUUCAUUAAACUCUUCCCUAGUGUUUUCAAUUCAAAACCAAUGCACUCUAGCAAAUCAAAUCAUAUCAGUGGAGAGGCUAAAUCAAUACAUGCAUAUACCAAGUGAGGCCCCAGAAGUGAUAGAAGGAAAUCGUCCACCUACUAAUUGGCCAGCUGAGGGAAAAGUAGAAAUUCAUGAUUUGAAGGUAAUAAAGUGACUAGCUUCAAGUUUCUUGUUUUGAAAAUUAGGUGGGACUUGAUCACUGAGACACAUGAUUUGUUUGAUGAAAUACCAAACAGAUAAGGUACCAGCCUGAUUCACCACUAGUAUUGCGUGGGAUCACAUGCACGUUUGAAGGAGGGCACAAGAUUGGUGUUGUUGGCAGAACAGGAAGUGGAAAGUCCACUCUUAUAGGGGCCCUAUUCCGUCUGGUAGAACCUGCUGGUGGGAAAAUAGUAGUUGAUGGCAUAGACAUUUGUUCUAUUGGACUUCAUGAUUUGAGGUCACGCUUUGGUAUUAUACCUCAGGAUCCUACUCUUUUCAAUGGAACAGUCAGAUACAAUUUGGACCCCUUAUCUCACCACUCUGAUCAAGAGAUAUGGGAGGUAACAAUUAAUAGUAUCAUAGUUUUCAACAUGUACAUUAAGUCUGUUUGGGAAAACUUUUUCAUGAGCCUUUAUAGCAGAGGAAAUUAGAAAGAUAAAUUGAAUUUCAGAAGUUAAAAUCAACUUUUAUAAUCUGCACCCUAGUUGUUUGAUAAGUUCAAGAUAACUUACAUCAAAAUUAAGUUCACAAAUUGAUUUUAGUUUAUAAAAGAACUAGAUCCAUGUUUUGUUCUUAUUUCUUUCCUGCAUGAAAAAGUUGAUUCUGGUAGUUUAUCUUUUCUCUGAUUUGCUGAAGUGGACUAGUUGUUGCUUGCAUGUGAAGGUUCUUGGGAAAUGCCAGCUGAGAGAAGUUGUUGAAGAGAAAGAAGAGGGGUUGGAUUCUUCAGGUACACUUUCAAGCUUCCUUGAAACAAUAUUACAGAAAUGAAGCCUUGCUUGAUUAACUAAUUGCUAGUGAUGAAACUAUUUUGCAGUUGUGGAGGCUGGGGCAAAUUGGAGCAUGGGGCAACGACAGUUAUUCUGCUUGGGGCGUGCCCUUUUGAGGAGAAGUCGGAUACUGGUGCUUGAUGAAGCAACUGCAUCAAUUGAUAAUGCAACUGAUUUGAUUCUACAGAAAACAAUCAAGGCAGAGUUUGCAGAUUGUACUGUAAUCACUGUAGCGCACAGAAUACCAACCGUGAUGGACUGCACUAAGGUUGUGGCCAUCCAUGAAGGUAUGUUGCAUCUUAUUUACCUCUAGACACAAGUUUUCAUAUUAAUCCAUAUACCUUGCUAAUGUUGACCUCAAACCAUCCUAAGUCGACCAGGUUGGUUGCAAAUGAGAUGAGAUGUUCUCCUAAUCAUUUGGUUUGAUAGAGAGAAAAUAUGAGGUGUUUGAUUGAGCAUUUUAAGAAGAUAAUAAAAGAUUAUUUGAUCUUGUUUACUAUGAAAAAGAAAAUUGAGUGACUGUUUUUUCAGGAGAAUUGGUGGAAUAUGACGAGCCAAUGAAGUUGAUGAAGAGAGAAGAAUCACUGUUUGGACAGCUUGUGAAGGAAUACUGGUCUCAUUUGCAGGCAGCAGAAUCACACUAAAGCUAGAAAUGUUUUCUUUUUAUGCAUCUCGUGUGUUCAUAGGUGUUAAAGAGACUUGUUGUCUAUGAUACGAGUCAAUUUACUCCAACCAAAUUAAAAAGUGACCUGAUUUAGCUCCAUACAUAAUGGAUAGGUUGAAGUGAGUUAACUCGUAUAAACUUUUUCGUUUUCAAAAGUUUCUUCAUAUCUUUAUUUUCUUAUUCUUUGAGUUUGCUGUAAUGAAUUAGCACGUUGCAUUCUCCCUCUUUUUAUUUAUAUUCUUCUUAUAUUUCUGUACUUUUUUCUUAAUUUUUUUUAUUAAACUAGAUAAACUAACUCGUGAAUUCACGUAAUUAACCCACAACUUAUAUUUUUUAAUUUAUAAAAAAGUUAUAAAAAUUUAUUUUUUUUAAAACCAUUUUAGAGGUGUGGCAAAUUAUUCUUAAUGUAAAAAGAAUACAAAUAAUGAUGACGACACGAUAAUAAUUGUUAAAGUAGUGCUACGUUGACUCCGUAUUUUUCCUAUUCCUAUUGGUUCAUUUGAAACUGUUGUAGUGGGAAAUGAAUUAUUAGUUUGUGGGUCCGACUUUGAUAGGAAGGAGAAGGCUAAAAUUGUAAUUUUAUGAAGGGGUAGUUUGGUCAGUUACGUUAUUAUAUUUUAUGAAGGGCAUGAUAUAUUUUGAAACCAUUGUCGUUGAUAUGAAAUUGCUUUGUCAUGGCAUGGAAUAUUAUAGGUUAACAAUUU